AAAAGCAAACUGUUGUCACGUAUUUUAUAUUUUUGAAAAAUGAAGGGCGUUUUAUAAUGCUUUCUGCAAUUCCCUUCAAGGGAUGUAAUCAAACUUACAUUCUUCACUUCCAAGAUUAUUUUGUAAAAGAAAAAUUCGCUAAAUAAAUAGUAAUUUAAAAUUAAUUGAUUAAGAUGGCAAUUUUAUGAAAUACAUAAUUAUUGAGCUUUGAAGAGUUGAUUAUUGACUUGUUCCAAAUUAAUUGAAGUUGAGAGAAGGCUAAUUUCAAUGUUACUUAUUUCCCUCCUUUCUACAUAAAAGAAAAUUAAAAAUACCAUUACAGAUCGGAUCUAAGAAAUAAACCAUUACAGAAACCCACAUGCUUUGGCUUGUAAAAAGUAGGAGAAUAUACACCUUUUCCUUUUUGAAUCUCUUUUAUUUGCAAUUUACUACUUUUUCUAUUUUACUCCUUGCUUUUUUUAGGCUUAAUGAAUUUUUUUGCCACGAAAAAAAUUAUUUUAUCUCUUUGUUUAACUUUUCCCAUUUUUUAGCUUUUAAACUUUUAUUUUUUUUUUGUUAAAUCAUCCAAAAUGAAUGGAAAAAUUAAUGUUUGUUAACUUUAAUAUUAAUGUAGCAUUUACGUGGAUGACAUGUCAAUAUUUAAUUAGUUUUGUUAAAAUUUAAAAAUAUUAAAAAAUAUUUUUAUACUUUAAAAAUUUUUAAAAUUUUAAAAAAUUAAUUAAAUACUGACGUGUCGUUCAUGUACAUGCUGCAUUAGCAAAGUUGACAAACACUAACCUUUCUACAUAAUUUAGGAUGAUUUGAUAAAAGAACAAAUAAAUUUGAGGACUACAAGAAAACAAAAUAUUAAAUAAAUAGUUAAAAUAAUUAUUAUUUAUAAAAUUAGAAGGUGAAAUAAAUCAUAAUGUCCUUUUUAAUUAUUUUGCGUUACACAUGGCACAACCUAGAUGGUCUCCCUUAUAUUUAUUGGAUAUCAAUGGUCGGUACUUUAUGUAAUACUUUGAAACAAUAGGGGCCUCUCUUAUCACAUUCAUAGUUGUAUAUUAUUUUAAUUUAUAAUGUAUAUAAAAAUACGAGUUUAAAAUUUUUUUGAAUAAUGAGAAAAAUUUUUAUUUUUAAUAAUAUUAUUAAAUUUACAUUUUAAAAUAAAAAAAUUGAAGUAAAAUAAAAGUGAUGAUAAUUAUACAUUUAAAAUUAAUUAUAAUUUAAUAGAAGUUGGGUUAAUUGUUAUACAUUUAAAUAUAUUAUAAUUUAAUUUAAAAUUAUUAGUUAAAAAAAUAUUGUGCUAAUUUUAAAGUAGAGUUAUUACUUAAGUAGAAUUAUAAGUAUAAAAUAUAGGAAAAAAAGUUGUGAAAAUUAUAAUUUCAAUUAAAAGUAUUAGUUGAAAAAAUUGAUAUAAAAAAGGUUGUGCUAAUUUUGUUGAUGUAAAAUAAAAUUAUUACUUGAAUAGAAUUCUAGGCAUUUUAAUUAUCACUUAAUUAAUAUAUUAGAGUUAAUUAUGUUAAUCAACUAUUGUUUUGAAUAAUGCUUCUCCUAUUUUUAAAUCUAUAAAACCAAUAAUAUAAUAUAAUAUAAUUAUUUUAUUAAUAGUGUUUUUGUUAGUUAUUUUAUAGUUAUUAUCACUUAAUUAGACUCUGCAUCCAUAUUAAAUUACACUUAUUAUUUUAGAUUAAUUAUCACUUAAUUAGUAUUACAAUUAUAUAUCAAUUAAAACUAAUAUUUAUCACUAUAAAUACAUGCGUUAGUAAGACAAUAUCAUUCCAAUAGCAUACGAGGAAUUACUGGAAAAUCAUUAUUUCAUAUUAUUUAAUAGGUUUUAUUUCCAUCAAAAAAAAAAAGUAUGACUUUCAUUAUUAUAAUUUGAUAUGUUUAGUUAUUAUUAUUUAAUAUAUGAUAUUUACUAUUAUUUGAUUUCAGUAAGACUUACACAAUUUUGAAUGUUCUUUUACCAUUGUGUUUUGAAAUAUUAUCUCGAAUGCAAUUAAGUAUUAAAAUAAGGGUAGACUACAAUUAGUCACCCAACUAUUAGCAUGUUUCUGUUUUGGUCACUGAUCAUUUUCGUCAAUAAUGUUAUGAUUUGUUUUUGUUUUGGUCAUCCUACGUUAAAUCAUCAACAGAAAUAAUGAUGUGACCUUUUUAAAUUGGUAUAAGUACACAUUUAGUCAUUGACACUUACACAUUCGAUCAGUUUAAUCUUAAUUCUAAAUAAUUUAAUAAAUUUAACCUUAUAUAUUUACAAAUUUCAUCAAUUUGUAACAUGGGAAAGCAAAAGCUGCAUAAUCAUUCACCUUGUUGGAUGAUUUAAAAGAAAAGCUUCCUAAAAUUCGAUAUUUAAUGAAAAGGGCCAUGACUAUAACGCACAAAAAGCAAAAGUGUAGCAAUUUCCUUUUAAAGACUUUCUCCUCUAACAAUUAUGAUCAUUACUUUAAUUGCACUAUUUAAUUACUAUAAUUCAUUGAUUUAAUUAUUAAUUUAGAUACUAAAAUAUGUAUUUUUAUAAUAAUAAUUGGAUAAUUAUUUUAUAAACAAGAUUAAGAAGUUAAUAAGUGUCUUUAAUUAAUAUUAAAAAAACUAGUUUUAAUCCUCACGUGCAUUGCACGAUUAUUGUUUUAAAAUAAAUAAUAUACAAAAUAUUUCAUGUAAAUAAUAUUUUAUAAAUCAAAGAAGUUGGAGAAGAAAGAGAAGAGAAUAAAGGGACAAAAAAGUGAAUUCGAUCUUUGAGGGUUUUCCUUGUGGGUGACGAGAAUUGAAGGAAUGAAUGAUUGUGGUCGAGGUAGGAAAAGCGAUUGUGAUGCAGACUAGGUGGCGAUGGAGGGUGGUAGAAGAGGCGACCGUAGUAGCAACACCACUGAAAAAGGAUAACAACAGGGACCACGAGAACAAGAAUAAGAAACAAUGAGUGCAGGGGGUCAAUGAGAAGUUAGUUGUUGCAAUGUUUAGGGAGGAGGAGAAUUAAGCCAAAUUGAUAGUGGAAAGUUAAAUUUAUUGAAUUAUUUAGAAUUAGGAUUAAAUUGAUAGAAUGUGUAAGUAUUGAACACUAAAUGUGUAAUCAUAUCAAUUAAAAAAAGUCAUGUCAUUAUUUCCAUUAAUGAUUUAGUGAAGGGUGAUCAAAACAUAAACAAAUGAUGACAUUAGUGACAAAAAUGAAAAUUAUGGUGACAAAAACAGAAACACGCUAAUAGUUGGGUGACUAAUUUUAUAGUUUGCCCUUAAAAUAAUAGUUCUUUGUAGACGAAACUUUUACUCACAUUCUAAUGGCAAAUUAUUUUAUUUAAUUGCUUAAUAUUUUACUAUAAGUUGUUUCUCACUUUUUUUUCAAAUUUAAUUGGUUUUUAUCAUAAAUUAGACCAAUAAACAUUUAACUAAUAAAUUACAUAUUUGAAUUAUUAAAAAUAUUUUUAAUAAAUUAAAAAAUAAACGCCAAGUAAUGCAUGUGAUAUUGGAAUUAGUAGAUAUAAAAUUACAAAUUUGAGAAAUUGAUAUAAAUACUUUUUUUUUUAUUAUAUUAUGAAAUUCACAUUGAAAAACAACUAUAUAUUCUAUAUAUCCAACUUCUUGAUUUUGUCAUGAAGCGAAGUUUUAUAGCAUUAAACCAACAAUUAUAAUUAAACUAACAAAGUAAAUAUAAAUGGAUAUGGAAAUGAUAAUUAAGCAUAAAAUAGAAAUUGAUUUUGGUUAUAUUUUUUUUAGAUACAAUUUUAUCAUUAUUUUAUAUUACCAUAUUAUAGCCAUGAAACCAACAAUAAUAGAGAAUUAAACUAUCAAUUAUAAUUAUUGAUAUAAAAAAAUAAAAUUUAUACCACAAACAUGGUAGUGAUUGAACUAAUAUGGUUCAAAAUAGAUAAAUUCUUUCUCUUUAAAAGUAAAACACCAAAUUCAACUUCGUUUUUCCAACAGAAGAAAGGGGAAACAAUGUUUUCAAUCUCAUUUUCUAUAGCCUUCGCAGUUAAUUUGGAUAAAAGAAUCCUCUUUUUACUGUAACUAUUUCUUCUUAAAAUAGUAUUUUACUGAAUUACAUUUUUAUUGUAAUUUAAAUUAUUCAAAUUUAUAAAUAAGUAUUAUCUUAUUUUUUGAUACAAUAUUUAUGGGUAGGAGAUGGGAAUAACACAAUUCGAACCCACACCAAAUAAGUGUCUAACAAAAACUUUAAUCACUGUUCCAUUUAAGUCAAAACAUUUUUACAAUAAAAAGUUUGAAUAUAUAUGAUAAAAAAAGCUAUUGAAUUAGACUUUAUAUUAUCUUGAAUUAUAUUUUUAUUGUAAUUUAAACUAUUGAAAUAUACAGAUAAUAGUAAUAUUUAAAUUGUUUUGUAUUAUAUGAAAAAAAUAGUAAUACUGUACUAUUAAAUAAUAAGUAAUUACAUUAAUUUCUUUUGAUACAAAUUCCUAGAACUAUUUCUAGUUCUUCCCUAACCCUUCAAUAAGAGGAUAAAUAUAUUUCAGCGUGCUCGAAUCGACGUCCUCCUGCAUAGGCAACAAUAUCAAUGCCAACCUAACUAGAAUACAAUUGGCAAGUAAUUAUAUUAAUUAAAUGAAAUAAAAAUAUAAUUAACUAAACAAAAAUAAUUACACAUGUAAAUAGACAUGAUACGCAUUAUGACAUAAGAAAUUAGUUUUUUUUUUAAUUUAAAAUUAUGAUGUUUUCUUUUAACUUUUCAAUGUAAAAUGGGAGGAAAAAUUCAUGUUUAAGAGUAGAUAUAACAUAAUUUAGUGGAGUUCCAUGCAACCCUAGAAAUAGGAUAAUUAAUAUUAAGAUAAUUAUUAAGGAUUAUUUAAUUUUAGGAUUUAAUUUUAUUUAUCUUUAUUUAUCUUCAAUAAAUGUAUUUAUCUUUUGAGAAUUUAAGUAGGAUUAGACUAUCUCCCCUAGCACUAUAAAUAAGGGGUGAAGUGACUCAAAAGAGAUCUAUCUUUUUCUGUAAACACUCUCUCCUCAAAAGUCUAGGCUUUUGUUCUUCUCAUAUUUUCUUUCAAUAAAAUCUCCAUUUUUAUUAUUUUUAUUUUCUUUUCCACCACAACCAUGAGCCACUAAAUCCAUCUAGCCGAAGGUUGUUGAUAUUCCCCAAAAAGAGUUCUUGAGGCUUAGAGUCCGUACUUAGCCUCCUUGCUGAGUAUUCAUCGUUUCUCCGCACUACGGGGCUGACGCUUCCGUCCAUGUCCCUUAAGAAGUAAGCUUUUCAACGUAUGCAAAGGCGGCCGCUUUGUAUGUUUUGGGAAGGUUGCACAGUUGGUUUGUUAGCUUACUGCGUCAGAGGUUGGCGAGCCCAAGAGACAAAAUGGCGUAGGAUUCGCCAUUGAGAAGCGUUGAUCUAGCAUGAGAUAAUCCUACAAAAGUGAUUGUUGGCUAGAGUCAGGUUCCAUUAAAUCGUAAGUUUAAAUCAUUGGAGCUAGUGGUCGUAGGCGUCCUCUUCCACUAUAACUGGCUUAUUUGGUUUGGGAAGGAUCAUCUAAAAGCCGAAGAUUGAACCCAAGGCGGAAUGAGACAACUGGAGGCUGGAAUCUCCCAUAAGAAUUUCCUUUCUCUCAAAUCUAUUUUUAAUUUCUCGAAUCUUUAAUUCAACAUUCUUAAUUAUGUUUUUAUUUUAUUUUUCGUUUCCAGAUCCAAACCUUUAAUUAUGUUACUUUCUUAUUUUUUUCCAAGAACGCAGGUUUUCUUGGGCAUGAUUCUGCUUGAGAUUUCAUGGAACAAGACAUUGUGCAAAUCCAGUCCCUGAGGAUUUGACCUUACUUCCCUUUUACUAUUCUUUUUAAUUAUUUAUUAGGGAUAGAAUAUUUUUGGUGUUUUCAACAACCGCAUUAGUUAAAUAAUAGGAAAAUUGUAAUUACUAGUACUUUUAGUUCUUGUGGAUACAAUAUAUUUACUCACUGUAGCUAUACUAUUUAUCGAUAGAUGCACUUGCCUUUGUUGUAUUUUUUAGUUAGUUUCGUGACUAUCAAGCUUGUUUGUCAGUUGUAUGCUAAGUUGCAAUUAAAGGAACAAUUAAAGGAGGAAAUGGUAGAGAUGGACAUGCGAAUUGAUUAUACAGUUCAAAAUCCAUUUUUAUUGCUGCAGGGUCUUGUCCAAAGAGUAACCCACUGUAAAUCAACACAUUACUUGUGAUUUUAGUUCAACUCACUUAUCAAAUUAUAACUUUACUCCUAUAUAUCAAUGAAGAUCACUCUCAUUAAGAAUUUCCCCUUGAAAGCUUAGGUACAAACUUGGCUCUAAAAACAUGUUCCUCUCGAUGAACAAAAUAAGUGCUUUCUCUAAUUUGUACACAAAACUUUGGUCUAAAUACAUAUUUCUUUCGAUAAACAAAAUAAGUGCUCCAUUUAAUUUUUACACAAUUAAAUAAACAAGUAUUCUUGAAAUAAGAAUUGUAGAUAAUCUUCAACCAGUGUGAACAAGAUAUGCUACUGGAAUUGUGCCCCAAUUGGUCUUUUAUAUGACAUCAAAUAAGUAGAGAUUUUCUGCGUUUAAACUUCUAUAAAAACAUGAUCUCCUUAAAUAUGGUAAUUCGAUCUCACUUAAACUCUUCAAAUCGAAGUCUUUGCUUGAAAAAUAUUCAACAUGAUCAAAUCCAUAUAAUUGCUACUCAAAAUCCUCAAAGAGAUAUGAGAAAAAUAAUCACAUGGUUUGACUACCCUAAUCAGAAAAUUUUGCCAAACGACUUUGUUAAUUUAUUACAAAUAUUUCUACAAUAGGAACCUUAAACCAAACUUAAUUUGACUACCUUGAAAAUUUAACUUCUAAGGAAUUACUUCUUAAUUACAAUAUAUCUAACCUCGAGGCGAAGCCUUUGAAGGGAUCCCCUUCUUAUUUGCAUGACAUCAUACUGACAAUGAUCAUCCCUCUAACACGGUCUGGCUUGACCCACCUCAAUAUCCUUAAUCAACCAACGAUUCUUACAAAUAUAGACCAAAAUUCUGUAAGUUCAAAAGAACUUAGUGAGUUUUUUUAUCGCAUUACUAAAAAAUAAACCCCGUUUUACAGGGGUAGUAAUUGUAAAGAAAUUAAACACGUUUAACUCCCUGAUCGUUUUGGGACGAUUUAUUUAAAUCUAGAAUGGCAGACUCCAGUUUCUUUUUUCAGCUCGUUUAUUGGCAGAUAAAUCGAUAGGUGAUCUUCCCCUGGUCAAUUUUAUUGCCAUCCAACUGGUUUUGGUGAUUUUUUAAAUGUCUCGCAAUAACUAUGGAGUUUGACUUUUCUUUGCUUGCAUUAUCUCUUUCACCAUAUACUUAUAAGGUUGUCCUCCUAAACUUCUACCCUAAGGACACUUUGGUUAUGUCUUCAUCGGCGUAGAUUCCAAAUCUAACUAGUCCUUAGCAGACCCUUACUAUAGUCUUGAAGGACUUGUUAACAUCCUAUCAAUCAGGUUAACUAAUGAGGAUCCACACCACUUUGGCAAACUCAAUCUCAUUUCACCCUCCACUCGCGCUGAAAAUUUGGUUAGAUUACUUACUCGUAAUCCGCCCCUACUUGUGAUACUUUGCUUUUACGGUGUAGCUUGUCCGUCUACGGUAGACAGUUUUGGCUUACAAUAUCUAGUAGACUGUUACCUAAGCGACCCUUCAAUUUUAUGAUUUCUCUUGUAUGAUGGUUCCUUAUGGAACUAAAUCUAUGGCAUGUGUACCGAUAGUGGUUUCCCCUCAAAGAGGAAUAGUCUUGACAGUCAUAACUGCCACUUAGAUAGUUCCCUAUCAGUUACCCUUUCUAUCCUUACAUUCCAACUAAUCCCCUCUUUACAAACUUGAUUAUCCGGGGUUCAUACAAUUGAACCUCCCCAUAUAUCUACGAUUUUUAUCGAAGCCUUAUACUGGGAGUGAAUCUCUCGUUAACCUUCCAAAGUCUUCUUUUGACGUACAGAGUUUCUUUUUAGCACUUCUUGGAGGUUCUUAAUGGUAGAUCCUUACCUUUGAUCUACGAAUAAAUCCUCUUUCAUUGCCUCUAUACCAGGUAUUAUCGGUAUGUCAUUCCCAUAACUUAUUCUAGUUAGGUUACCACCCUACGCCUUACCGACUUAAUUGUUUAUCGCUUUGGCAGAUUUUUCCCAUUUCUAUUAUUUUUGCCCAUUUUUUCGAUGAAUUCUUCAAAAUCCGUUGGUUAGCUAUUACUUGCCAACACUUUAAAUUUUCCUAGUUUACGUGAUUUUCCAUGAUUACCGUCCUGGCGAAUUACCCCAUUUUUAUUGUCCUAGCGGACUAUCACAUAAUUACCAUCUUAUCGAAUUACUUGCAUUUAUUAUCCUGCCGGACUCCAUAUGUUGCCAUAGCCGAGCUACGAUCUUACGCAUCAUGCCCUAUGUUUAAGUCUCGGUGGACUCUAUUGGUUGCCAUAGUCGAGCUAUGGUCUUAUGUCAUAGGCCACAGUUCAAAGCCCAUGACUAUCGCAAAAAAUGCAUCCUAUGGAGGUCUAUCGGUUAGAUGGGAUUCAUUUGACCCAUGAGAACUAGCUUAACUUUAAAGAUCUGAUGAAAAAUAUAAAAAAACUUGAAGGGUCUUUCAAGACUAAGGUUUGGAUAAAAAAGUCCACAAGGACUGGUACGAACAAGCCCGCCAAGGAAGGUAUGUAAGAAUCCUUGAGCGGGUAGUUGAAAAGGAUACAAAAAGGGUUCAUAAAAGAAAGCCGAUUAAUGACCAUGUUAGAUAAAGGUCAACGAAAACCUUUAGUGAGGGGAAAGUGAAAUGAAGGAAGGAUAGGUUCACUAGCAUGAUGAAGUACCUGGGAUAGAAUCAAGUGGAGAGUUUAACUAAAAGAAGGACAGUCAGCGAGUAGCUUAGAGGAUUUGGUGGUGUCCGCCACCUUGAUGUCAAAUAUUCGCCUUGAGCAAGUAGGGAUUAAUCCUUAUUUAUUUUAUAUUAUUUUACAUUCGUUACCCUUGUGUGGUAGGGUUAUUUAUGGACAAUAAAGGAACUCAGUAAGUUCAUUUGAUCUUACAGCAACAUGCUGAUGUUUGCAAGACUAUGCUGAUGUUUGCAAGACUUGCGAGGAUGAUCGAGGACUUCGAGGAGGGACUAAGCAAGAGGGAAUGAUGAGAUCGGGGAUAGUAGGAAGUUAGGGUCAUGCACAUUGGAAAAGGGGUACUGUCAGAGGCUUCGCCUUAGGAGUUGUUAUAUUGUAUUCUAUUAGUGCCCUAGAAUAUGGGUUUUUAGGAGAAAUAGCCUUACUUAAAUUAUGAGAGUUGUUUUGUAAAUAAAUAGUCAUAUUAGGAACCGAAAUUGUGAGAAUAUAAACAUUCAGUGGCUUUAGGUUUUUGUUGCAAGAAUUAUAAUUAUUGUUUUCAUUUAAGUCUGUUUAUAAUAGUCCAUUGAUAAAAAUUAAAGUAUAGGUAAAAUAGGUCCAAUUAUGACGUUCCAUACCUGGAUCCAACAGACAGGUCAAACGUGGGGUGUUAUAGUGCUAUAAUGGAAGGCAAGUCUUCAAUCAAAACAAUGGUAGUGCUCCUUGAGUGUUGCUCUGAUGCGGUAGUGAAGGAUGAGUUGGUUGUGAUCAUUAGGAAAAUGAAUGUACCACCAAAGGUUGAAUCCUUUCUUUGGUUGGCUUGCCAUGAUUGUUUACCCUCAAAAUAUUUUUUUCAUGAUUAGGUAAAUGUCGACGGUGUUUUCAUUUUGAUAGCGGGGCCUAUAUUUUUUUCGAGUGCUAUUAUUUUUUAGUUAUAUGGUCGAUAGUGUUGUGGUGGUGAGGUUUUUCGUGGGUUAUGUGAUAAGUGCAUAAAAUGCCAAUUUAAUUGUGAUAAAUUUCCCUUUGAAUUGUACUAUUUAAGUCAUUAAUAUUUUAUUUUAUCUCAUUUUUUAUUUUUCAUGUAUUAGGUGAAAGCAUUGGAGAAAGUGAGCUUAAAGAUUAAUUUUGACAAGUUUUUGUGUAUUGGACUUUCAACUUAUACUGCUUCAGUAUUUUGGUCAUACUUGAGCUACAAAACUCUGAUUUGGGCCCAUAGUUUACCAUUUUGAAUGGAAUCAAAAGAUUUGCUGGACUUACUUCAAAAGCAAAGCCUAAAAAAAUUUCAAGAAGAUGCCCAAAACGACCUAGAAAUUCGAAACACAAAUCUAUCAAAAAGCUAGAAAACUCCUUUAAUUUAUUAAGGGAAUUUUUUCUUUUCUCCCUUAUGAGAAUUUUUCCCUACAAAUACAUAGUUUUAGAUUUGGAAUUGUAGUUGGUCACCUACAUCAUCUUUUUUUUUUUUUUUGCAUUUGUUUUCUUCAUGUGUUGCUAAACUUUUUUUCUAGUCAAAGGGAUUUUGAAGUUUUGAUUCUUCAUGUUUAUGAGAUCAAAUUUGUUCUUAAUAUUUUCUUCAUAAUUUUGUAUUCAUAUAUAUUUUAUUUUAAUUAUAAAUAUUUAGGUUUGUUGAAUAUAGGGACCGAUAUUGGAUAACUUAGAAUGUAUUAUUUGUCAAUUAGAAUUUAAUUGUUUAAUUGGUUCUAAUAUAUGUGACAAAUAGCAUGAUUGAGUAUAAGCUACAUAUGCAAUUCAUGUUAUGUGGAUAUGUAAUUUAGUCUAGAACUCUAUUUGUGUGUUUGUUAGCUAAAUUGGGUCUCUUUUGUUCUUUAUGCUAUUGAUAAAUUAAAUCUUAAGCAUUCAUCAUAGGAUUAUUUAUCGAUAAGAGAAAUAAUUAAUGGUGUUCAUCUUGGUUAUUGAAAAAGUAAGAAGAGAAUAGUUGCUAGGCAUUAGCCGAUAACUAUAGCCAAUUUAUUACAAAAUAUUGAAAUUUAUCUUUACAUCACUGAUUAACUCACAAAUCAAAACUGAGAUUUUACUUUUGACUAGGCUUACAUGGUUUUAAUUUUAAAUUUAGUCUUUAAAUUUAAAACCCCUUUCUUAUUUUAAAUUUACUUGUUUUCACUAAAGAAAUAAAAUUAUGAUGGGUCUCUAUGGAUUCGACCCUACUCAAUGUUAUAUACGAAAUUUUAUAUUUUUGAAUAGGUUUUUUUUUUAUUUUUGUUGGUUUCCACGCCCAUUAUUAUGCCACAUACGAUAAAAGAUUUAUUCUUCAAUGUUAUGAUGUUCUUUUCUCGAGUGUUACUAAAAAAAAGAUGGAUGACUAUCUGUAGUACAACUCUUUGGACGUUAUGGUUUAUGAGAAACUCAUCAGUUUUUGAUAAUAAAGAAUAGAAUGGCUUGGAAGCUGUGUUCCUUCACAAACUUAGAUCUAUGAUCCGCAUUAAUGUCUUGGAGGGUUUUAAUAACAUUAUUGAAGCAUGUUGGUGGGUUUUUCCAAGACUCUGCUAUACAUGUUUUGUUGCAUCAAAUUGUAGAGUUGGUGUUUCUUGGUCUCUUCUUGAUAUUAAUACCAUGAAGUUUAAUGAGGAUGGUUCUUCACAUGGUAAACCAAGUCUAGCAGGGUGUGAUGGUGCUUUAAGAGAUGCUACAGGUUGUGUUAAAGGUUCGCUUUUUAGUCUUUUGGGUAUUGUCUGUUUGAAUGAAAUUUAAUUGAUUGCUACCAAAACUACCUAACAACUUUUUUAUUCUUUACAAUGGGUGCAUUUAGUUCCCAUUGUUAUUAAAUCUAAUUCAAUAGUAGCAGUUUCAUGGGUGUGCAAGAAUGAAUUUAGGUCAUGAAGAUUGUGGAAGAUUUUUAACAAGAUUGAUCAAUAUGUUGACUUUAUUAAGCAAGUUUCAUUUGUUAAUGUGUUUUGAUAGGCUAAUGGCUUAGCCGACUCCCUUGCCAAGCUUGGUUGUUUGUCGAAGAUCUCUAUUUUAUACUUGGCGUCAAUGGUUCUAUUUUACUAGUGUACCUUUAUAUUGGUUGUUUUAAAUAUCAUAUCUCAUUUUUCUUGAGAUUUCUAUUGUGCUUUUGGUAAAAAAUUCCAAAGAGAGAGAAUGUCAGUUACACAUUCUAAUUGUACCAUCAGUUAUAACUCACUUUAUAAUUGAACGGCUGUGUAAAAUACCAUAUAUGUUGGAAUAUUUUGACAUGAAGUACUUGAGUUUCUUUAUAUGUCUCUUUGAAAAUUUUAAGCAGAAAUGAUCUAAGAAUGAUCAAAUUAAAUUACGAUUAAGUGGGAUAACGAUUGGAAGAGUUUAUGUGUGAUCAAGAUACCAUAUAUAAGCAGAUUGAGUUUCUAUUGAAGGUUAAUUCGUGAAGAUUUUUGCUUAUUUGAUGUCAUAUAAAAGUCUAAUUGAAUCAUAGUUCCAAGGGCAUACAUCAUUCACACUAAUUGAAGAUUUACAAGCCUACAAUACCUAUUUAAAGAAAAUUGCUUACUUUAUUAUGAACGAGUUGAAGAGAGCAUAAACUUAGUUCAUCUUAGGAACCGUUGGAGUUUUAGAAAAAAAAACUUAUGGAAAAGAGAAAAUAACAAAGUCAAGAGAAAAGUAGAAGUAAUUGGAAUGGAAUGAGUAUAUUUUAUUGAACUGGAACUAGCGUUUAUAUAGUAAACAAGUUAACAACUAUUGACUAAAAAUAUGCUACUAACAGAAUUAUAAUAUCUAAAAAAACUCUAAAAAUAUGAAAAAAAAACAAAAGAGUUAUAAUUAUAUCUAAAAUUAGCUAGAUUAUGGUAAUUGAAGAAAAUUUUCAACACUCCUCCUUGCUUCAGUUGCUGUAAAUUCCAAGAACAUUUUGCAGCAUAGCUGUUAAUUGCUUUGCAAGAUCUGCACCAUAUUGACAGCUAUUUGUUGCCCCUCUAAUGUUGACAACAAGAAAAGGCUUUACAAGCAAAGCCAGUUCAUCAUGCCAUACUGAAGUAACACUUCUUAAUGCAACUGAAUCAACCAGAUGAAGAGCUCCUACAGUAAGAACCACAUGCCUAUCAAGAGGUCUACGAAGAGUUAUCCACCUCUGGUGAAACCAAGGAACUUUUCUCAGUCCAUGAGGAGUCAAUGGAUAAUAAUCAUGCUAGGAAGUAACCUCUAAAUCAAACCUAUCCAACCAUGACCAUGGAUGUUGUGUAUGAACAGCAAAAACAUUUUCUAUAGCUAACUAUUUAAUGGGGCUCGUAAUGGAAAUUGUAACCCGACUAGAUAUGAUGACCAACAAAGGCAUGUUAAAUUCAUCUUUGGCAGUAAAACCACCCAAAUUAGCAACAGGUCUAAGAGGUGGUUCUUCUGAAUAUGGAUGAGAAAUUCCAUGAGGUGUAACUGAAAAACCAAGCCCCUCACCAUCAUUCUGGUUUUAUACAGUCAGAGGCGAUAUCAAUAUCUCAUUCUCUUCAUUUGAAUCACUAAGAACAAUAGCCUUUGCAUUUCCUACUAGUGUAGAUUGGUUUUAGUCAGUAAAUUCAUGUGCUGAAUCUGUUAAUACAAAACUCCGGUAAGGAAAAUCUCGAACACACGAUCAGAACUUGAAAAGAAAAGAAGAAAUAGGACAAGGCUCCAAGGCAUAUAUCAAGCCACUAUCUUUAAGGUUAUAUUCGCCCUCACUUAUCUUCAGUGUGCAAAUGAGUUCCAAGCAAAUUAACCUCGAGGAUACAAUGAAGCCAAUAACUAUUUGCGUUUUGCACUGACGAGAAUAGUCCACUUUGCACUGAGUAAUGUAUAACAAAAACUCAAUUUCUACAAAGGAUUUUUGCAGUAAUACUUUAUAGAAUAAUCUAAUAAUAUUAGAAAAUGAAGGAAGAGAAGAAAUAAUAUUAGAAUUUGUUGAUAUAUUUCCAAAUGAAAACCCAUUCCUAUUUAUAGGAAUUUUCUUGUCUCUUCAUAGAGACAUCUUUCAAUAGGUGUCUUUAUGAAUAAAUAAAUAAUAAUAAUUAUUCAUUUAAUUUUGUAACUAUUCAAAUAAUAUUUUUUGAAUAAUUAUAAUUCUUUUUUAAAAAAUCAAAUGAUAUAACUUUUGACCAAUGACCAAAAGAUUUAUCUUUUGAUUAAUUACACCCAUUCAUUUAUAGUUAUUAGGAUACUAUAAAUAUUUGAAAAUGUUCCAACAGAAUCUAUGUUUAGAGGCACUGAAUCAAGUUUAAUCUCAUUGCUUGUAAAAUUCAUAAGUUCCACCAACAUCCUAAUUUACGCUGGCAUCUUCACACCCUUACCACUUCCGGUAGCGCCACUACUCACUGGUAUAAUUUUUUGCUCAUGAUGUAGCUUGUUUGGUAAUCUAGUAAAAGAAGAGUUGUUUAAGUCUUCAGGCUUGCUAAAUUGCCAGUACCGAUUUUGAUUAUUCUUUAUUCUGAGUUUCAAACUUGUAUAUCCUUUAAAAGUAUCUUCAAGUUUGAUCUGCUUCAGAAUUCCAGCUGUAUGAUUGAAAUGUCCAAGCUCUUCUGCGAAACUUCAGCAUGAACAUUUGUUGAAGAGAGCGCAGCUUGCUCCUCCUCCAAUGGAUCAAGUACAAGGCUCUUUUCUUUCAUUUUUACUUUGAAUGCAUCGUUGCCAUUUGCAUAUUAGAUUAAACAUUAAUUUGAUUCAAAGAUAACUUUGAAACCCUUUUGAAUUACCUGGCUAACACUCAACAAAUUUUGACUGAUGUUAGGUUCAAAUAACACAUCUUUGAUAAAUUUUGUACAUAAAAUUCUUUCAAUGGAAACUAUGCAUUUUCCCUUUUAUUGCAAUGUACUCAUCAUUGCCAAUCUUUACUUAGAAAACUAUUGGACUAUCCAAGUCUUUGAAAAGCUCAUGAUGAAAAGUUAUAUGGUUGGUACAACCACUGUCAAUGAGCCACUUCUCACUCGAAUGACAGGUUGUAAAACAAGUGGCCACAAAGAGUUGCUCAUCUUCUUCUUCGUCAAUGACUUGAGCAACAUUCUUUUGUUGCAAAUGCACUUGCGCAUCAGUCUUUUGCUAAGUAUUACUUCUGUAAAAUCUUUGAUGAUGUCUCAUCUUCUGACAUUUUACACAUUGCUAGUCUGAUUUUCUCCAACAUUAGAAAGGUGGAUGAUCCUUUCUUCCACAAUGUUUACAAAGAGGAAAAUCAUAUUUUGUUCUUGUAUUUUUACUGAAAGAAUCAGAACUUGAAUUUCCCUUUUUGUUCUUUUCAUGUUUCUUUCCCUUUCCUCCUCAACUAUUCUGAGCUUCUACAACUAAUGCACCUUCAACAAACCCUUUAGUUCUCACGAGCCUUCUAUGUUUUUGUACUUGCAAAGCAUUCAUCAAUUUUGCCAAACUAAUCUUUAACAAAUCUUUAAUGUUUUCCAAAGAGGAAAUGGUAGCUUCAAAUUUUUCAGGAAUAGUUACAAGAAUUUUUUGAACUAAUCUGGAAUUAGGAAAUUUAGAACCAAGUAAUCUUAGUUUGGUUGCGAUUCCAAGUAAUUUGUCAAAGUACUCAUUCACCGUCUUAGAGUCCUUCAUCUUCUAGAGUUCAAUCUCUCUAAUUAGGUCUAACAUUUUCAUGCAUUUAAUCCUUUCAUCACCUUCAUACUCCUUUUUCAAGAAAUUCCAAACUUCAAAGGCUAACUUUAUUGUCAUGAUUCUGAGAAAGAUGUUAGAUGAGACUGCAACAAAUAAUGUAGCUCUUACCUUUGAUUUUCUUCAUUUCUUCUCCUUGUGAUUCUUCAUUUGUACCACUAUCAAAUUGGUCGAUAACGAAGGAACUUUGUAGUCCUCCUCUACAGCUUCCCAGAGAUCAUUUGCCUCUAGAUAAGCCUCCAUCCUUGCUACCCAAACAUGGUAAUCAUCACCAUUGAAAAUGGGUGGUGCAAGUGCAGUGAAAGGAAUUUCUGAAUCCAUGAAAGAAAAAAAUUUCCACAUAGAUCCUUCAAGAAAAAAACUCUUGAUACCAAUGUGUUUGAAUUUGAUAGAAAAGCUUAUGAAAAAGAGAAAGUAACAAGGUCAAGAGAAAAGUAAAAGUAAUUGGAAUGGAAGGAGUAUAUUUUAUUGAACUGAAACUAGUGUUUAUAUAGUAAACACGUUAAUAAAUAUUGACUAAAAAUAAGCUACCAACAGAAUCAUAAUCUCUAAAAAAUCUCUAAAAAUCUGAAACAAAUCAAAGAGUUGUGAUUAUAUCUAAAAUUAGCUAGAUUAUGGUAACUGAAGCAAAUCUUCAACAUGAACUUUUUUUAAUGUAAGUCCAUUAUGAGCAAAUUAUUUUGAGGUUCAAAUUUGUAUCUAAGAUUUAUAGAGGAAAGUCUUAGAAAAAAAAAUGAUUGUAACAUCUCAAACCCGGUCCAGACGUUAUAGUUGAAUCUGGAGAAAUUACAUUAGUUUGUUUAAAAAAAACCCAGAAGUUAAAUCAUAGCUUUAGAAACCAAGAAUUCUAAAAAUAAUAUUUUUAGCAAAACACUUAAAUGUUAUUUUAGAAAUUACGCACAGAGCUUAUUUAUUUUACAGAAUAGCUCUUAACUUGAUCUUAUUCGAAAACUUUUGAUUUCAAUGAGUGUUUAGAAAAUAUAAAUAUAACAAACAUUCGUUAAAAGCUAUUUAUUCGUUUAUAGAAAAAAAACUUAAGAAAUUACUUAAUUUGUAGCGGAAAUUUUUUCAAAAUUUUAGUUUUGAAAACUGUAAUCCAUUUUGUUAACUCGUGUGAUUUUGUAGUUUCACAUUCGAAAAUCUCAAAUGUCGAUGAAUUAAACAAAAACCAAAACAAAGCUCAAAAACAACUUACAAUCCCAAAAGUCCAAAAUAGAUAAUUACAAAUAUCACCAUAUUUUAAUUAACUGAGAAAACAACCCGAGCUCCUGUACAUCGUCUGGUCCUAAGUUUGUAGUUCACCUGAAACGUAUUAACAAACGAGUGAACUAGAAGUCUAGUGUGCAACUUGAACCACAAAAUAGAAUUUCCAUAAAACAUACACAAAUGUAAAUACUAACAUAGAAUUUUACUUAUAAUGUUCACACAUAUGAAAAAUCAUACCAGAAUGGCACCAUACCAGAAACAUAUUAUCAAAAUAGAAUAUCAUAUUUCCAGAACAUAUAUCAUAUCAAAAUGUCAUAUCAUAUUGGAACAAAUCCUACCCCAAUCUGCUACACACCAACUCUAUCCAACCAAUCACACUAAUAGGACUACAUGAGUCCAUCCAUCCAAUCACAUCGAGUCGUGGUGAUAUGCCACUCAUAAUGGUGCAGCUGAGUUGCCAAACAUAUAUUGCAGUUUAAUCGCCAAAAUUACAGUAAAACUGCCAUAAUACACUUCUUCCUUUCAAUAUUAACCCAACCUAAUGCGUGUGAUAUGACAUAUAGAAACAAAAUCAGAACAAUGACAUGUUUAUCAUGCAAUCACAUAUGGCAAAUUCUGAAGUUUAUCUCAUAUUAAGAGAUCAGAUUAACAGCAACAGAAUCGUACCAUAAUAUCACAAACAUGAGUGUCAAAUUACAACAUAUUCAUUAUCACACAACAAAUCGAAAACUGCAAAAUACAAGUCAGAGCAGUUGCCUUAGAUUUAGAAUUAGUAAUCAUUUUAGUACUUCCCAAUCGUCACUUAAUCACAUUUCAAAACAAAAUCACACGAGUUAACAAAAUGGAUUUCAAUUUUCAAAACUAAAUGAUUAACACAUAGUUUUUUUUACUUAAAAAUGAUUAACACAUAGUUUUUUUACUUAAAAACCCAUACUACUUACCAUAUCAUACUAUCAAAUUUCAAGUUUUCAAGUCUUAUUUAAGCCGAACGGACCCCACGAAAGGUCUAAUUAUGAAUUUCAGAGUCAAACGGGCCUAGGUGAAAAUUUUUAAAAAAUGGGUCCACACAGUCGUGUGGCCCAUACGACCCAACUAGCCCAACCCAUGUGACCCAUAGGUUUGCCACACAGCCUACCACACGGCCGUGUGACCUAUACAGUCUGCCACAUGGCUUGACACACGGUCGUGUGAUGAAUAGUAGUUUCGAAACAACUACUAUUUUCACAGAUUUUCCAGGUUCUAAACAACGUUUUAGUUUAGAAUCACACACCUGAUUGUUGAUUUGGUCAACUACACAACUGAGACUCACGAAUCCUGGAAUCGAAAUUAAAACGCAUUGAUUACCUAGCCAAAAUAAUCCCAAAAUUUCUCAUAAACACACCCUUUUUCACAACAAAAAACAGCCCAAAAAACCAUGCUCAAUCACUUACUACGAAAUUAACAGUUGCCAAAAUCGUUCCUAAUUAGUUGGCGAACCGUCGAGCACCUCGCGGUUAUCUCCUAACAAUAUAAAAACACACAACACAGAGAUUAAAUUCGAACAAUUUUAAGCAACACAAUGCUUAACUUAAUCCAACUUGAAACACUUGUACACUUAUCGAGCUUGUCACAACUUCACAACGAAGAACGAAAAAUAAACCAAACUAAUAGUAGAAUCACAACGAAAAGUAAACUUUUGAUGCGCAAUACCCAAAAAUUGAAAACAAAACCCACCCAAAAAUAGUAGAGAGAAACCAAGCAAAAGAGACUGUGGAAGAAACAAAACCCACACAAAAAAAGGAACGUGAGAAGCACAAAGAAGUGGACAGUUAAGGUUGAGAAAAAAUAGGGAUUUGGAAAACAAGUAUUAAAAUAAAAUAACUCAAAUUUUAUCCCACCAGAUUUCAUAGAAUUUAAAUUAAACUCUAGUACCCAACAAAAGCCUGAGCAAAAAUAUUUUCCACUUGCGCACCACAAGAUUCAAACACAAAACCAAAGCGUAAACUAACAAGUUAACCUUAUCACUGAACCAACAAACUCAUUUUGUUAUCAUUUGCAUGGAAAUAAGAUUUAAGUCAAAAGACUAGGGAUAGGAAUUGAAAUAACAAAAUUUCAAAGAUAAAAUUUAAACUUAGGACCUCACACACACAUACAGAACACAUAUCAACUAAACCAAAUUAAAUUAUUUUUCAUAAUUUUCACAACCUUAAUUCAAUGUAGAGCGUGAACACUCUUGAUUCCACUAACCCAAUUUCUUUUAACCUGGUUUUCGGGAUGUGACAAUAAUCUUAUAUGGUUGAUGUAAAUGUGUGGGGUUGUAACUUGAUAGGCGAGUUGAACUUAAAUCCUGACUUGUAUUGUUGAUGUACAGUGAAUUACUCUAGUAAGAUUGACUCCAAAAAUUCAAAAUAGAUUUUCGAAUUGCAUAAUUAGCUCUUGUAUCCAUCUCUAUUUUUUACUCUCUUAUUAAUUCAUCCACUUAUAUCUUAACUAAUAGUUGACCAUCAACACAAUACUUUCACAUUUAAUAAUCUUCAAUUUUUGAAAUUGCUAACCUUUCGUAUCAUAAAGACCUAAAUCAUAUUCUUUAAAAGAUCGUAACCUAUAUGUAGUGAAAUAUUGUACAUUCUUUUUUUUUUUUAACUUACAAUAUUAUACGUAGGUGGAAACUUGAGUAUAGUUUUUAUAAAAUGCUAGGGAUGCAAGAUUGACGGAAACAAAUACAGUAUCGAAGACUACAAAUGGUUGCUCUAUUGACUCAUCCUUCCGAUCAUAUAUAUAUAAAGAAGAUAAACCAAAGCAUGAAUUCAUUAUGUAUGUAUAUGUCACUUAGUGGAAUUGGAUAAUAUAUGGGUAUAUAUUAUGGAUUCUUCCUUCUUUUACUUAAGUAUUGACCAUAUCAUUAAUUAACCCACUCUUGACUUGAAUCACCUUUUUCACUGGUAUCUUUUGGACUCCCAUGCUCAUCUUUCGAAAGAUUAUUGAAUAAAUGUUGUUGAGGGAAGAAUUAUAUGGAUAUAGUACAAUCAAGCAGCAAUCAUUUUGUUGAUUAAUGUGGCAACUAAUAUAUAUAUUUCAUUUGUCGAAAGAAAAGUAACUGGGUAGCUAGUAAUGUAGUGCACUAAUUAAUAUAUUAUAAUUAACCAAAGGAAAAUUGCAGAUACGAACAAGUACAAUGAUUGUGGGUGCUAAAUCAAAGUGCUUCUUCAUGAUAUGGUUUUAUCGAACCUUUUUAUUUGUGUAAUAUUAAUUAAGUAGCAAAUUGGGAUGAAUGAGUUAUGACAAAGAUUAUCUGUUUUAUAUGAAUGUGUUUAUAUGUAGAUAGAUAAAUAAAUAGAUUAUUUUGUUUGCUUUUGAAUGGAGCUAGAGAAUCAUGAAAAAUUAUUUAACACCCACAAUUACAAGCUUUUUAGCUCAAUCAAACCAAAAUGAUAAUGUACACUCGUGCAAUGCCAUAUAAGAAGAUCAAGGAUUCUCUUUUUAGGCUUGUGGGAGGAAAAGCUAAAGCACACCCUCCUCUCUCUUUCUUUCAAGAUACCACCUUUUUUUAAAGUUAGCUAGGUAGGGACUAGGAACCGUCCAUUUAAUUUUUCUUGUAUAUAAAAUAUUAAUACAUUUAGGGAGAGACGGUAAAUGAUGCCUAAACAAAAUAACAAGCCUAAAAAAUUGAUUGAUUAAACAAGGUCGCCAUCAAAUUAAAGUUUCACUAAUUAAGGAAAUUGAAGAAGACAAAUGAUAUGAAGUGGGAAAUAUAUGGGAAGGCAGAUUGUACAAGUGAUGAUUGGGAGUGUUGGAACUGAGAAGGAAAAGACAAGGUUUCAUUCAAAGUCUUUGCAUAAAGGAAAAUUCAAAUCAAAUGCAAAAGCUAGAAAUUUACUGCUUUUUUUAUUACAAGUUGUGGAAAAGUGAUCUUUAUAGGAUCAUUUUACCAAUAAAGGCCUAUUUUAAAUUUUAUUUAUGUAAAUGGGUCACUUUUUUAUUAUUUAUCGAAAUAGGCUGAAAACACUAAAAUAUGUCUACGUAGGAGCGUUUUAAGGAGAAAUUCCAGCAAAACGAGUCCCUGAGGGAGUGAUUUUGCCAUGUCACCACAAAAUGCGCUGACAUGACAAAAUCGCUCCCUCAGGGAAGCGUUUUAGCCCGUGUUUUUCUAAGGUUAGAGCUAUUUGCAUGUUUAGUGCCUAAGGUUUGUGGGUUUAGAGUUUUAAGGUUGUAGUGUUAGUGUUUUGUUAAAAUAAUUUAGGAUUUUAUUUAUUUAAGGUUUGAGAAUUUUUUAAAAAUAAAUCAGGGUUUAUAAUUUUUUUUAAAUUAAUUAAAUUAGGUUUUAAGGGUUUUAAAUAAAUAAAUUAAAUUAAAGUUUAGAGUUUUUAAGAAAAUUAAUUAAAUUAGGGUUUAAUUUUUUUAAAAAUAAUUUUGUGUUUAGCUUUUAGGGUUUUUGUAAAAGGGUUUAGGUUAAGGGUUUAGAAAAAAUUAUAUUGACAAGAAGGAUUUUGUUUUUUUUUCUUUAGUAGUUUCAGAAAAAUUAAUUUUGAGAAGACGGUUCUGAAAAAAUAGUGUUGAAAACGCUUCAAGUAAGAUGCACUAUCAGCAAAAUUACUGAAAAAAGCUCCCACGUAGACGCUCUUUUUCUACAGUUGUUCCUGAAAAAAUAAUUUUGAGAAGACAGUUCUGAAAAAAUAGUGUCAAAAAAGCUUCAAGCAAGAUGCAUUGUCAGCAAAAUUACUGAAAAAUGCUCCCACGUAGACGCUCUUUUUCUAUAGUAGUUCUUGAAAAAAUGAUUUUGAAAAGACAAUUCUGAAAAAAUAGUAUCAAAAACGCUUCAAGCAAGAUGCACUGUUAGCAAAGUUACUGAAAAAUGCUCCCACGUGGACGCUUUUUUUCUACAGUAGUUCUUGAAAAAAUUAUUUUGAGAAGACAGUUCUGAAAAAAUAGUGUCAAAAACGCUUCAAACAGGAUGCAUUGUUAGCAAAAUUAUUGAAAAAGCUCCUACGUAGACGCUCUUUUUGUACAAUAGUUCCUGAAAAAAUAAUACUUAGAAGACGGUUCUGAAAAAAUAGUGUAAGAAAUACUUCAAGUAGGAUGCACUAUCAGCAAAAUUACUGAAAAAAGCUCCCACAUGGACACUCUUUUUCUACAGUAGUUCCUGUUUGGCCUUAGGCUAUAAAUGAGCCAAAAUUUAUUCUCAUUUGCAUAAGUUACAGCAAGAAAAAUUAGAGAGGCUAAGCAGAAUAAAAAUUAGAGAUGAGUAAACGUAUUAGUGUUGUUAUUUACUAUGAUGGUGAGGUCCAUGACACUGAGAAUGGCGUUAUUUUUUUAUCAAAGAACACAACGCGACUGGUUUGACAGAACUUCGUAAAAGACUUAGGCACAAAAUCUUCUGGACGACGCCAAUGAGAGUUUUAUCUAUUAAGUAUUGAUUUUGUGCUUCGAUUGAUCCCGUGACAUAUGACUCAUUUGAUAUCAAAGGUGGUCGUAGCUUGGAGGCGAUAGUGCAGACUCAUCUCGCUAGUGGAUCACCCUAUCUUGAGUUAUAUGUACAAUUUUCAUCGCCAAAUGAAGUAUUUGCAACUUCAACAUCUAAUGUUGUUCGAGAGGAAUACAUGACCCCUACCUGACACUCCGUUAGUGGGAGGCAGAACAACGAAACGCCCAUGUUUAGUGGCAGUAUGAAAUACACAACUCCUGCACGACACUCGGUUAGUGGAUGGGACAUGCACCUCAAUGGGUUGAUGUUCGAUGCUGGAAAUACGUACUUAGGAAUGUCAUCAACUUCUAGUGGUUGACAAUCUACAUAUGAUUGGGGACGUUACAAAACAUCCACAAGAAGGUAUGAUGUACUCCCUACGACGUCCAUUGGUGAGAGAACCUCGUACGUUGCAAAUGAUGGUGGGUUGGAUGAUGAGUUCGAUGUGGACCCACCUCGAGAGCCCGGCCUCGAUAGUGCAGAAGUUACAUUAUUUUCUGAACUGGCCUGUUCCAACCAAACCUGAAGACAAUGAAGGGGUUCAGAUGAUGAAGAAGAAGAUCUGCGAUUCACGGCGUACUCGCCUCCAGCCCACAUACAUAAUGUUAAUCUAUCAGCAGAUGAUGCGUUGGAGUUUCCAGAUCUACCACACAGAAAGCGUGAUCGUACAAGUUCGUCAUUGGAUUCAGGUGAAUUAGAAGUUGGUAAGGAGUUUUCCAGUAAGGAUAGUUUUCUUAGUGCAUUGAAACAACACAACAUCAUGAACGUGGUUAACAACCACGUGGUUAAAUCUAAAUUUAAAAAGUUCGUGGCCAAGUGUGAAGUGCAAGACUGUACAUGUUCAUGGAAAAUCAUAACUUCGGUUAGGAAAAAGACAGGCUUGUGGGAGAUAAAAAAAAGUACAAUGGUCCACAUACCUGUGUUGCUAGUACAGUAUCACUGGGUGUUUAGGAUUUUUGAAUAAUACUAUUAUUACUUAAUGUUGCAUUACUUAACAUACUUUGUUGACAGGUGUUUCACAAGAUCAUCCCAAAAUGGAUUCAGAUAUGAUAGCUAGCUUAAUACUACCGAUGGUGAAGGUAGAUCCCAGGACUUGUGUCAGUCUUAAUUACCAAUAUUCGUAGCCAAUUGACGUACACGCCCUCUUACCGCAAAGCUUGGUGUCAGGUGCUGGAGAGGUAUGUCCCAGGUUGUAUAAUAGACCUUAAAACGGGCCUUGUGUACUACAACGACCGCUUUCUCCGUGGAUGCCAACUGUUCAAGCGUCUGUUCUAGAGCUUUAAGCAAUGCCAGGACGCAUUUAUGUACUGCAGGCUAUUGGUACAAAUUGACGGUUCCUUUAUGUAUGGUAGAUAUACCUAUCGGCUAUUGUCAACUGUGGCACAAGAUGGCGGUGGGAGAAUCUUUCCAAUUACAUUUGUAAUAACACCGGGAGAGUCAGGUGAUGACUGGGAUUUUUUUCUUUCUAAGUUAAGGAGGCAUGUCUGCCCCCAACCUGAUAUCUAUGUUAUAUCAGAUCGGGGUACUGGAAUACUAGCCACAAUUAUGCGACAGGAAAGACUAUGGGAUCGCACACACCAUCGCUAUUGUCUAAGGCACAUUGUGUCCAAGUACUAUGGGCAAUAUCGGUGUACCCUGAACGACGACAAGUGACCAACAUGGGUAUUAAUCUCUAUUAAUAUAAUUUCGUUUGUAAUAUUCAAUUUAUUCUAAAUGGAAGAGUGGUAAGUAAUUUUUGCUAUCAACUUAUAUUGAUAGGGUACGAGAUUAAUAAUGAUCAUUUUCAUGAUAUGUUGGCGAUUUUAUGGUCAAUUAACGAUCAAGGCGUAGACUACCUCUGUAACAUACCUUUCGAUCAGUGGACACAAGUAUAUGACAGCGGCCUACAAUAUGGUCAUAUGACCUCAAACCUGGCUGAAUGCAUAGAUCCUAUUCUAAAAUAAACGCGUCAUUUGCUGAUAACCUCGGUUGUGUGAGAGACAUAUUUCUGUUUGGCGAAACUAUUUCCAAAGCUAGUGAGUUAUAAAGGCCAAAUGCAGGGAGGCCAUGGUGCGAGAAGAUAUUGCAAGAAAUUAACAAGGCGAAGGCGCGGGCCAACACCAUGCACACAGUGUGUUACGAUGGCAACAACUUAUGGUUUUUUGUAACAGAGUUUAAUAGACCGAACCAAGGUAUUACCGGCGGGAAAUAUCGUGUACACCUGAGAAAUAGGACUUGCGACUAUGGGACGUUUUACGCACUUCGUUAUCCAGGAACUCAUGCCAUUGCAACUUGUCAGAAUCUUCAUUCGGAUCCCAUGAGCUAUGUCGAUGAAGUGUACAAAAUAGAAUACAUGUACAAUGUGUGGAGACACGUAUUCCUACCGGUCCCAGAUGAACGUAAGUGGCCACCUGUAUCGCUUACUCUAUUUAAGUUGUUACCAGAUAGAGAAUUGCAUCACAAACUAAAAAGUCAACAUUGCUCGAGUAUAAUACAUGAUAAUAUGGAUAUCCAGGAAAGAAUGAACCAACAAAAGUCGUGCGGAUGGUGUAGGAACCCAGAUCAUACAAUUCAAACAUGUCUAAAUCGAAAUAGUUGAUAAUUGCUUAAAUUAAACUAUGCUGCAUUAUUUCUAUUGCCUUAUUCAAAAGAACUUUUAUUUUAUUAAAUAGGAUAAAAUAUAAAAAUAAUUUACUAUUAAAAUAUUCAAAACAACUUUUAUUUUAUUAAAUAAAACAAUAUAAAAAUAGUUUGUACAAAUAUAUUAAAAAAAUCAAUGUAUGUGCCAUUCGAAAUUAGGGCCACAUGGGGGUGGUUGACAGUUACGCGCUGGAUUCCUUCUUGAUUCAACUUUCGGCACGGGCUGUGGUUGCUCCGGCGAGGGUUGUGAUUGUUCUGGUUAUGGGUGUUGGGAGGAUGACCCACCUUGAUAGAAUAAAGAAUACGGAGGUGUUUGAAUCACCCACGGCAGAGGUGUUUGAAUCUCAUAUGGCGAUUGGGAUUGGAAAUGAGAUAAGCUCCCUGACGGUGCCUCAUAUGAUCCCUCCUGAGACGAUGGUCUAUAUAUCUUCGGUUGAGUCAGAGUGAUCGGAAAAGGAGAUGCACUGGGUCAUACAUUCCAACCUGGCAUAGGACUGAGAAAAGAAAAUAUAUAAGGGUUAUGAUACACACCUGGCAUAAUCUGAAAGGGCUGUGGUGUGGGCAUUGUCGCUUGAGGCAUUGGGCCCGGUAAUUGUGUGGGCACUGUUCAUAAGCCCGUGCCGUCAUCCUUUCUCAUUGGAUUUAAAGGGCCCCGUCGUUCUCUUUCGACAUGGAUUUGCCAAUGCCUAUACUCUUCUGAGAGCAAAUAUGGCUUGUCAUAGAUCCUAAGCCAUGGCAUGUAAUCCGGUGCGCACGCUAACUCUAGAACGAUGAUCGGUUCGCGAGUAGGUAUAUGAACAUACCGAUUUUCCUAAUUUUCGAUAUAUACUGAGAAGAAUACCAGCCAAUGCAUAUUCAAUUGUCGUAAGUCAAUUUUGUGCUCAUCAUCGAGCACCUCAGGUGUCACGGAAAUUAGUUGUCAGAAUCUAAAUUGCUGCAACACUCUAUUUGUCUGGUGCAUUUCGAAAGUAGCAUAGUUGACCAAUGGGACUUUAACAUGCCAAAUGUUCAGAUUUCGAGAGAAUUCAUCUGGAAUUACUACCUGAAUUGUCGGAUCCUCAUAUGGUGUCCAUUAAAAUUAUAUGAAUGUGAUAAAAAUAUUAAUUAUAUACAUAAUACUAAAUACUACACGCUUCCGACCGUUGGUCUAAUAGAAUCCGUAUAUCUUCAAGAACGGUAAGUAUUCCAACAUAACUCGCUGAAUGGUUCUACCUAAUUAAAUAAAUUUUUAGCAAAAAAAUUAUAUUUUAAAUCUAUGUAAUUCUUGUAAAAUCUAAUAUAAAAUUUACCUCGUUAUGAGUGGGAAUGUAUAUAGGUGGUUUACUCGAGGACGUAAAAAUGGAAAACGAAAUCGAACCCAUGAUUAUAGUAGUGACAGGCAACUUCCGAUUUGGGCUUUAUUUGGUUUCGUCGCCCUACACAUCUCCCGGUACAAUGUUGUGAACACGGAAGACCCCUAACUAAGUUCGCCAGCUACUUUAAAAUUAACGAGUUUUAGCAGUCACCUCAGAUGUACAAGGUUUCAUGACACGUCCAGCAUCCGAUAACCUCCAAUGAUCUCAAGGAUGUAUGGCCGAGCAUAUCAUAUUCUUUCUAUUUCAGUCGAAUCAUUAACCGGCUCCAGAAAUGUGUCUUGUAACCAGCCAUCUCGAUCUAACCUCUGUAAAUAUUAUCUGGAAGCAUACCCAAAAUAUCGUAGCAUAUGGCUCCCCAAUCAACAGUUUGAGCGAACCUGGUGAGUACGAAACCAUCCACCGGCAAUCUCAAUUGCUACUGCGCGUCCUCUAAAGUGAUGGUACACUUUCCGCAUGGAAGAUAGAAUGUGUGCGUCUCGAGUCUCUACCUCUCUAUGAACGCACUGAUGAGUUUCGGGUUUAACUUGUACCCCCGGACUAUAUUGGCCACGUGCCAAAAACCCGCUUCCUUCAAGUAAUUUUCUAUCAACGGUGAUGGAGGACUAGAUAUAUUACGAAUAUAACAUUGUAACACCCGAUCUACAAGUUGUUAUGAAAAAUAUAAAAUAAAAAUUAAUUAAAAUUACAUAAAUGAAAAAAAUAUUAAAUAAUAUUCAAAAAUUGGAAUUAACCCUUACCAUUUUCAUUUGUUCGACGGAGAUAUGUUUAUGAUUGAGACGAAUUAAUUCUCCGGCCAUUGCUAACACUAUCAAAUAUUUUUGAAAUUAUAAAAAAUAAUACUAAUUUAGAAAAAAAUUAAAGGAAAUAAUUAAUUAAGUAGAGCUUUGAGAAAUUUAGGGAGAAAUUUGAGAGCUUUUUUGAGAAUUUUGGAAGAAAUGUUUGUGUGAAAAAAAUACGAAGGGGUUUUUAUAGUUUUUUUUUACCGUUGGACCCCCAACGGUCAAAAUUUUAAAUGACUAUUGGGGGUCAAAAACACAGGCUAAAACACGUCCCUGAGGAAGCGAUUUUGCCACGUCAGCAAAGCGCGUCCACGUCAGCGCGUUUUGUGCUAACAUGGCAAAAUCGUUCCCUGAAGGACUCGUUUUGCUGGAAUUUCCCCUUAAAAUGCUCUCACGUGGACACGUUUUAAUAUUUUUGGCUCAUUCCAGUAAAUAAUGAAAAAAGUAGCUAAUUUCCAUAAAUAAGGUAGGAAAUGACUUUUAUUGAUAAAAUGGUCUUUUUAUACAUUCAAACCAACUUUAGUUUCUUCUUUUAUUUUUUUUAUUUUUUUUAAUUUCACUAUUGCAUUUCAUACUUUAUUAAUGUACAACAAAUUUUUAAUAAACAAAAAAAAUUAUUAUUUGUUCGGUAUAAAAAAAUAGAUAUUUGAUGGAUUAACAAUGUACUUUUUUUAUUCUAUAAAUAGUCUUAAAAAUUUGAUGUGUAUCUCUUUUUUUAAAUAUCUAUUUUUUUAAUAUUUUAGUACACCUGUACAGGAUAGUUGUCAAUUCAUUGACAUUGCUUGUGGAAUUUAAAGACUCGACUGACACUGAACUAAAUAUUUUCUCAUAAAAAAUGGAUAAGUAUUUGGUACAUUGACAUUGAACUUUUUGUAUUCCACAAGCAACUAAAAAUUCUACUGUUAGUGUACUAAAUGUUAUUCCUAAAAAAAUUUAAAAAAUAUAUUAAUAAGUAGAAGGGUUGAUAUUUAGUACACUAACAAUGUACUUUUUUAUUUCAUAAGCCGACUUAAAAAAUUAUCACAUGUAUCUUUUUUUUUAAUAUUUUACUAUAUCCCUAUAGAACAUUUGUCAACCCAACCCUUACUUGUAGAGUCUAAAAACUUCGCUGGUAGUGUAACAAAUAUUAUUUUAAGGUUGUGUUUAGUAGGGGUGAGCAUUCGAUCGAAUCGAAUUGAAAAUUUUCGAGUUAAUCGAGUUUUUGAAUCUCAUUUUAUCAUCCUAACUUUAUUUCAAGUUUUCUCGAAUCGAGUCGAGUGAGAUGAAAUUCGAAUCGAAUCGAAUCGAAUAUAUUUGUUCGAGUUAAAUUUUAAAAAAUAAUUUUGGGUCCUUGUAACCACUGUCACCCAUCGUAAUAAAAUUUGUCCACCUUAAUCAAAUUUUUUAACUUUCAUCACCUCAUAAUUUAUUUAUUAAUUUUUAUAUACUGGUUAGCUUCUUUGCUUGCUUAGUUGUUUCAAUUAUCUUCAGAUUCUUGUCACUAUGUAUUUUGGAAUUAAAAAAUAUAUUAAAUGUAAAAAUAUACUUUUUAAUAAAAGUUAUUUUAAAAAUAAAAUGUGAAAUUGAUACCAAUAUAAAAUUUUAACACAAAUAUUUAUGGCAUAAUUAAUAAUUUAAUUUUAAUAUAAAUAUUCAAUAUGACUAAACAAUUCAAUAAUAUAAAUAAUAUAAAAUGUGAAAUUUAAUUUAAUAAUAUAAAUAGUAGAUAUAAAUAAAAUUAAUACUACUUAUGUUUAGUGAUUUUUUUUUGGAUAAUUUUGAUUUUUUAUUUGAGAGUAAAAGGGUGAGAAGUAAAAGUUUAGGGGGAAAAUAAAAAGUUUUGGGAAUAAAAGUUUGAGGGAAAGUAAAUAGGGGAGUAAAAUUUUGGAGGAAAAAUAUUAAAAAAAUUUGGAGGGGGGAGGGUUUGGGGUAGAUGGGAGGUGGGAUGGGAAGGGAAUAAAAAUUUUAAGGGAAAAGUGAGAGGGAGUAAAAAUUUUGGGGGAAAAUAAAAAGUUUUGAGGGGUUUUGGGAGUAAAAUUUUGAGAAAAAGUAAAUGGGAAAGUAAAAUUUUGGUGGGAAAUAGAUUUUGAGUAGAUUGGGGGGUUGGGAGGGGAGGGGAGGGGAGUAAAAGUUUUAAUAUAAAAUGUUAUAGUUUGAUAUUCGAAUUCGAAAACUCAACUCGAUUCGAACUCGAAAUUUGAAAAAAAAAUUCGAGUUGAUUCGAAUAACUCGAUUAAUUCAAUUCGUUUAACUCGAAAUUUAAUUUUUUUUAUUUUUUCGAGUCGAAUCGAGUUUUGCUCACUCCUAGUGUUUAGCAAUGCUUAAAAAAAUACUUUUGGCUUGAAAAACACUUUUUAAAAGAAAAGUUGCAUUAAACAAACAAUUUUUGGCUGAAAAGAGUGGAUUUUCAAGAGCACUUUUACUUAAAAUUUUUAGUUUUUCUUAAGCCAAAACCACUUCUGGAAACAUUCUUACUUUUUCAUCCCUCCAUUUUUCUUCUCCCAUUUUCCAUUCACUUUAAAUUGCAAAUGUUAAUGUAAAUUUUUUAAUAUUUAUAUUUGGUAUAUAAAUAUUACCCUUUUUUGAAAAUUUAAUUCAAAUACAUGUAAUAUUUUAAUUUGUUAGGUUUAUGUGUUUUUUUUAUGUUAUGUUAAUAUCUAAUAUGUGUUAUAUAUUCAAAUUACAUUUUAAAAUAAAAUUAUUAAUUAAAAAUUAAAAAAACAUUUCUUAAAAUAAUACAAAUGUGCUAAUAUCUAAUUACAAAUAUUUAAUAGUUAUAUUUAAAUAUUUAAAAUAUAGUUUUAUAUUAUAUUUAAAUUUUAUAAAUAAUUAAUAUUAAUUACUUAAAAAUAUUUAAAAUUUAUAUUUCAUAUAUUAAGAUAUUAACAACAAGUUAUAAUAAAUUAUUUUUCUAUAUUCUUAUAAAAAUAUAAUAAUAUUAACUAAUUUGAACAUUAUUUAAAUGUUUAUUUGUUACUUUAUAACACCAUGUCUAAAAUGUGCAUUUUAUUUCUUAGAAGUACUUUUUGAUAGCAAUACUAAACACUUAAAUCUUAAACCAAAUAUUUCAAAAGUACUUAUCAAAAUUAAUUUUCCAAAGCACUUUUUAAAAGCUUUUCAAAAAUACUUCUAAAAAUCACUUUUCCAAAGCACUUCUUAAAAACAAUGCUAAACUAGCCCUAAGUAGAAUUCUUAAUGGAAAUAAAUGUUAAAUUUAUUCAAAAAUUGGAUAAAUAUAGUAGGUAAGUUUUAAAAAAUAUUAUUAUUUCUAUAUAAAACUAUAAAAUAGACUAAAUUAAACAAUGUCUUAAAUCCUUAAAGUACCUUUAAUCACUCAACCAAUGAAUGUUGCAUUUUUCUCCCUUCAACUAUAAUUCCAAUCAAGUUUGGUAAAAGAAAAAGCUAGGAGUAGACUAGAUUGAUUUCAAACUAAUUUAGGAAUUAAAUUGAAAAUUAAUGUAAAAUAAAAAUUUAAACACAAUUCUUUUAUCCCGGUGGAAUAUUCCACACCAAUUUAUUUAUAAGGAAGUUUGCUUAGCCCACUGCUCAUAAAAAGUUAGGAUCAAUUGAACCGGCAUAAAAUAUGUUUAAUAAACAAAAAGAACAUUAAAAGUAUUUUUAUUCUUAAAACAGAAAAAAAAAAUUGAAUCCAAAUUUUAAAAAAUUUAUUUUAAAGAUUAUAUGGCUAAGAAAAUUUAUUUUUUAUUUUAUUUUUUCGACCCAAUCGUCGAGUCCGAGUUAUAAGGUGUCACUUUCGUUGCUGGAGCAACUACAAUCAAUUCACAGUUCAAUUUAUAACAUAAAACAUCCCGAUAUAAGUUAAACAUGUAUAUAAAACGUUUCAUGUACAUUUUCAGGUCUUAUACAAGCUUACGAAAGCUCUAUUGCUAACCCGAGGUCAAUUUAGGACCAAAUGUAAGAAUUUCAUAACAUUGGGUUGACGUUGCGACGUCAGGGGUUCCUCGUUGCAACACAACAUACUGAGUAGGUCUCAUCGUGACAUCGAAUACAUGUUGUCACAACAUGAAUCCUUUGUUGCUCCUCGUCGUGACGUUGGGGAUAUGUCGUCGUGAUGUGACAUCCUGUUUCUAUAAAAAUCAACAUGGUACAAGUUUGAGAGACCUAUAAUAAUACUUUACAUUUCAAUUAUAACCAAAACAAAAAUAUGCCAAAAUGGUGCUUCAAAACAACAUCGAGCAACCAAGUUUUAAAUUCAACCGUUUUCGGUACAAAAUCGACUUAAACCUUAGGUACAUGUCAUAUACUAAUCAAAAGAGAACUUUACAAACUUUAUUGAAUCGGGGAUCGCUUGCUAGAUGUGCUCAAACUAUCUAGAAUCUACUAUACCUGAGCACAGAGAAAACAAAUUGUACGCUGAGCAAUUACACUCAAUGGUAAUUUCCAUAUCAAGUUACAAAUAAGCAUGAUCAUAUAAGAAUUCAAUUCAAAUAUACUACAAUUCAAAUGAAACAAUUUGCGUAUUCAAUACAAGAAUUCUAUUCUCCUACAACAUUCUAUUUGAUAGCCAAACUAACAUUUAUAUCAUCCAUUCUAUUAACAAAGAUGUAACAUAUCUAAUUGAAUUACUUAUAUAUACAAUUAUGUACCAAUAUGAUGUUUAAUCUCAUUUCCAUUCAUAUUUUAUACAACUUAAUCAAUUCACAUUAUCAUUUAUAGAAACAUACGCUCCUUCAUUUACUAUGACCAAUAUGAUACCCUCGUUACCAGAACAGUAUUCCAUUAGUUUAAGACUAUACUUAUUUGGAAGCACAAUUUUAAAAUAAUAAUUUGUUGCAUUUAAAGAUUUAAUGAUGCAUGAGUUAAGCUUUGGCGGCUGUUUAAUUAAUAUCAAUAAGUCACAAAUAACGUUAUGUCAUCAAAACUUCCGAUACACAUUCAAGUGUUUAAAAUAACGUUCAAUACAUUUUAAAUGGUUUCAAAAUGGCGGUAUCUAAUAGUUGUCCUAGCACCCACAGCAAAUACAUGUUAACCCUGAAAAUAAGAAGGCUCACAAAUGGUCACAAAUUUGGUUGUAUCCCUUCAAUCACCACGCUCAACCUAAGAACAUGAAAUGAAGAAGAAUUUGGGUAAGUUCAUGUGAACUUAGUGAGUUACUGGGAAGAACGAUCCCACCAUAAUUACUAUCAGUCAUUAGGAAAUGGGACAUGUAAUUACUAUCAGUCAGUAGAUCAACUGACGAAUACUACCACAAUCAAACUCAACCUAUUGGCGGAUAGAACUGGUUACUAACUCAUAUAUGACAGUAAUCGAUACAUCUACUCCAUGAAUACGCCACUUAUAUGGGCUACCAUUUAUGACUGGCAGGCUUACUAUUUACGUUCUCAUGCAACGUGCACUACUGCAUGCAUUCUUUCUUACGUACCCAUUUUUUGUGCUAGCUUCUGAUCCCGGUUCCCGAAGAACCAAUUUUUCUUAUAUAUUCAUAUCCGUUCAUCAGAUCUAUAUAAAAAUCAAGCUCUCAUGAACUCAAAUCUAUAAAAAAUUAUAAAAAAAAGGCUUGGUUACCUUAACAAAUUUUUGGCCGAAGCUUAACUCUCAAAAAAAAAAAAAGAGUUUUUAUUUGGUUUUUGCUUCAUUAGAUGGUGGGGAAGAUGAUACUCAUCGUCUUUCUCCACUUACAUGAUUUAUUUAGUGUGAUUAACACUAAUUAACCAAGUUUAAUUAAAUUAAACUUAUUUUAUACUUUAAUUAAUCUUAAUUUAGUAAUAAUUAAAUAUCUAAUAGUAGCCAUAAUCAAAGUCCACUAAAUAAUGAUUAUUAUUGGUUUAUUAACCAUUUUAGCCCCUUGGAUAAUUACUAUCUAGGUCCCCAAGUUUUUUUCUAAUUAAAAAUCUGUAGCAAUUAAACGUUUACAAAUUUAGUCCUUGAACCUUAAUUAACUAUUAAUUCGGAAAAAUUACUGGACCAAACUUUAAGAUAACAAUAUAUUAUACACAUAAAUAUUACGAACUUGGUUUAUGAAAACGAGAUCCUGAAAUCGUAACUUUCGACACCAAUAAAUUUCAAGUCGUUACAAGUUAAUCCUAAAGAAACAAAAUUAUGAUUUUUCAAAAUUCUUCUCUCCUUAGUUGGCCACACCUUUGAAAUAAUUAAUAGAUUGCAUUUUAUAAUUGCUUAGAUAAUUAACAAUUAUAUUCACUUCUUAAUGUAAAAACAAGAAUUCAAAAUUUAUUCAUGCAUAAAGAAUUGCACUACUUGUAGCUACAAAGAUGUCAUCCAAUUUUCCAUUACUUGCAUUGAAUUUUUCCAACAUCAACUAAAUUGUUGUAUGAUCCUUAUGUAUUGCAUCAAGACAAGUAGUUAUUUCAUCUAGAAUAUUAUCUUUUACCUAUAUUUGUUUGAUUAGAUUUCGGUUCUCUUCCUUUAGACAAGAAUUCUACUCAACUAGCUUCGCAUUAACAUCACACACCUGCUCUCAUUUCUCCAGCAUUAUCUUGUAAGUCUGCAUAAACUCAGCACUUGAAUCCCAUCUAAAUCAUCAUUAGUAUUAGAGUUAGUUGUGACAGGGAUAUUAACUUUAGUAAAGAAAGCCACAUAGUUACUCACAUAUUUUUCAUUUGAAUCUAAGCUGCUUCAAGAAUCCUCUUCACUCCAUGUUACACACAAAGACAACUUGUAUGUGGCCAAAACGAUGACAUUCAUAACAUUGAAUGCCAUACUUUUUCUUUUUGGUAGACUCAUCAUUGAUCACAACACAUUUUUGUCUAUUUUUGGAGAAUUUCUUAAUAGCCUUAAACUUGUUAUUCCUCAUGGUUGCUUCUUUAAAGCUUUAAUAAAAUUCUAAGUUAGCAAUACUACCUACUUUCACAGUUAUUCGAUAAUAGUGGUACCUUCAGUUGAAAUAGCUUCUGUCACUUGUAAGGUAAUGCUCUUCUCUCCUUUAGAUAUGUUUCUUCUUAACUUGUCUAAAUUGAUCUUAAAAGCCCGUAAAGACCCAAUAAUUUCAUUGAUUCUCGUAUUAAUGUCUUUUACCUAUUCAAUGGUAGUGACUUCAAUAGUAAAUCUCUCUGGCAAAGAUCUAAGCACCUUCUUCACAAGUUUAAAAUUGGAGUACUCGUUUCCAAAGGGGAAAACUUGAUCAAAUGGGUCACACAAUUUUGCAUAUAAUUCACCAAUAUUUUUCUUUUAUUGCAUCCUGAGAGUUUCAAACUUGGUGGUUAACAUUUACAUCUUAGAUUCCUUUACAAUAUUUGUGCCUUUAUGUGAAGUCUCAAAAAUAUCUAAAGCCUACUUAGUAGUAGUGCACUUGGAUAUCCUUUUGAAUUCCUAUCCAUCCACACCACUAAAAAUUGCGUCCAAUUCCUUUGAAUUGGAAUCGGCUAGUUUCUCCUCCUUCAUGGUCCAAGUAAGCUCGAACUUUUUUGUUUCCACUUAGAUGUCUCAGUUGUAAGGAACUCCCAUCUAGUAAAAACAACAAACCAAGCUUUUCAUCCAUUGCCUUGAUGAAUGCAUUCAUCCUAGCCUUCUAGUAGGCGUACUUAGAACCAUCCAUCAUUAGAGGAUGAGACACAAGUGUUUCUUCCAUUUCAAGAAAGUAUUGACACCAGGAAUACCACUUGAUAAGUUAAGUGGGAGGCUCUUAUACCAAUUUAAAGAGGACAAGCUAAUAUUUGCUAAAACACAAGAGUAAUGAUAAGAGUAGUUACAACUACAAGUGGAAUUGUGAAAAGAAAAGAAAAAACACAUAGCAAUUCUUUACACAAUCGAUUUCCCUACAUUGGCAAGGCCUUGCCAGGGAGACAAUCCACUAUCUUUAACCUUGUAAAAACAGUGGUUUAAGUCCUAUCAUACACUAGUAUAGGAAUCUUACUUUUUGUACCUAAGAUCUAGAUCACUUUACUCUAAGCUUUCUCCUUAAAUGCUUAGAUUGUAAAACCAAGUGACUCACUUUUUUUUUACUUAGAAAAUUCAUUCACAAUGAUAAAUUCCUAAAGAAUAGAUCAAGUGCUAAACUCUUUGUACAAAACUUGAUUAAGUCUCAUGAAUAUAUGCUUUUUCGACUUGUUAACAUACUAAAUCAAUUACAAUCUCAAUCCCCAUCAAAGUCGUAAUAAAAUUAGCAUUGAGAAUUUCCUAAUAAAGUGCAGGAUAAGUUAAAGACCUCCAAGAUAAGUUUCCAGGUUAUCCAACCUAAUGUUUUCAAAUCGGGGAAUUCGAUUGCUUAAUCUAAUUCGAUCCAAUCUUAAAGAUAUGUUUCUUUAUAUGGAUCGAUCUUCAAAUAUGAGCCAACAUACAUCCAAAACAACAUCAUAGAUUACGACCCAAUUGUUUUGUUACAAAAGAUUGUAAAUACUAAAUAAGGCAAGUUACGUGACUUGCACAACGCCGCAUUGCUCACAAAACUACCUCAAACCUCAACAAUAGUUGAUAACAUAAUUAAAGUCAAUAAAAAAGCCUAAUUGAAGGAAAUUAAGUUAUUUACUUUAUUAGCUAUAAAAUCUUAUUCAUUCAUUUAGUUACUUGACGGGCAUAUACAAUUAAAAGUUAAUCAUAUAUAUAAAUUAGUUCUCGCUCUACCUAUUUGCUAUUAGGGUCGCACAUAUAUACAAACGCUAAAGAAAACAAAUAGAAAAUACUAGUUUGAUCCCUGUGCAAUGCACGAGUCUACUGUACUUAAUAAUUAAAACAUAUUAUUUUACUUCAUAUUGUUUUUUUAAUUAAAAGAUUUACAAAUAAUGUAAAUAAAGAAAUUUAAAAAUAAAAUAUUCAAAAAAUACUAUGUCAAAUUAAAUAAUUUUAAGAAAUAAGUACUUUAUUUUAAUAAAAAAUGAGAAUCCUUUUUAUUAAAUAUUCAUAAAUUGAUUUUUAAAUAGAUUUUUUAUAUUUAUAUAAUGAUUAAGAUUUGAGCCCAACAAUUUUAUUAAUAUUGUCGUUCACUUGCCGUAAUUAUAUAGUGCCACAUAGGGUUAUUUCCUAAUUUGGUUGUACAGAUUAUGUAUAAUAUAUAGGGUUAUUAUUUGAUAUAUUAGCGGUGGUGUUUUUAACUCGGCAAGGAAAUUUAAGAAACGGUCAAUUGUCUUUAAUUGAUAUUAAAAAACACUAAAUAAAUAAUACACAUGAUGGUUUUUUAAACUGUUUGUGGAAUUAAAAAAUUUCACCACUAAAUAUCAAAUAAUAAUAUUUGUAUAUUAUUUAUACAAUGAUAAAUGGUUGAGAUGUUGAUUUUCAUUUUUUACAUUAACUUGUUUCAUGCAAAUUUUUUAUUUAGCCUACAAGUCGAAUAUACUGCUUGCAAGUUAGGGACAAAAAUACAUCCAUUUAUAUGAUUUUUAUUUUACAAAUUAAUCUGGCAUAUCUUAACAUAUCAACUCCAGAUUUGGAUCUUGAAACAUGUAGACACUUGCGUUGAAUGGGCCGCUCGCUUCUAAGAGGAUGGACCUAGAUUUCUUCUCUACUAUUUGUUUUCUUGCAUUUUAUUAUUUUUAUUUAAUAAAUUAAUAAAUUAGUUCCUAUGCACUGGUUAUUCUAUUAAAAAUUAUACUCAUGUCUUCUGUUAAAAGCCGGUCCCUAUACAUUAGAAUGAGAUAAUGUGGCACACCACGUGUAACUAUCUAGUUAUUCUAUCAGCCACAUCGAUUUUUAACAAUAAAAAUCGAUAGAAAUUUUUAAUAGAAAAAGUCAGUUUACUCUUUGAUCUAAUGUAUAAAUAUUAAAUUACCCAUUUUUAAAUAAAUGAAACAAAAUGUAAUCUAUAAAUGAAACAAAAUGUAAUCUAACUCUUAACAUAAAAGCCUCCAUGAUAAUUUUAACAUAAAUUAAAUUUAUUACAAGAAAUAUAAAGGCUACACACCAUCUUUUCCCCACCUCUAAAUUUAGAGGGUAUGUAUAUUUGGGGCAAGCAUUGUUUUCUAGGUUUUAAAGUGUUAAACUUGUCCCUGUAUCAUUUAUUAAAUUAUAUUUUAAUUCUUUUGGAAAACUAAAUAAAUUAGUCAUUAUACAUUAGACGAAGGAGUAAAAUAGUAUUUUUGUUAAACUUGUGCCGUUAAUAUAAGAUAAAAUAAUAAAUUUAGCCUUCAAUCUUUACAUUUCUUUUUUCAAUUUGACUCCUACUAUUUUAUUUGGACCCUAAAAAUUUCAUCGUUGAUAUGAAACUAUUUUAUCUUAUACGUCACAUUAUCAAAUAAUUUAAAAAUUAUUAAAAAAAACUCUUCAAACUGAAAAAAUGUAAAAGAAAUAAAAAAUUAUAAUUUUUUUCCCAAAAUUUCAAUAAAAGAUAUCCAUUUUCAACAAUUUAGGUUACCAUAUUUGUUGCGGUCAUUUUGCACAUUAAGAAAUACCAUUUUCCACAAUUCCAUGGCAGCUUUGUAGUGUGAUUCACGUACCAUGACAUGUUUACAUUAAGAAUCAGUGAAUAAAUAAACAUUAAAGUUCUUUUAGCCUCUAAUUUGGUCGUAUUAGUAUUAAUAAAAAAAAUUAGAUAGUGUUUUAGAAAUCUUUGGAUUUUGUGUAAUUGUGUAACACCCCUUACUCGAGUCCAUAGCCAGAGUCGAGCAUGAGGCGUUACUUAACUUAACUUAAAGGUUCGGAGCAUAAAAAUUUACUUAUAAAAGUUAUUUUACUGUUCUUAAUAAAGCUGUCCACCUGCGCAGAAAUCACUAAAUUAAUUAUAACUCAAGAUACAAAACUCGAAAUUUAGAUCCGUAAAUUUUCUAUGAAACUAGACUCAUAUAUAUUUUCACCAUAAAUUUUUCAGAAUUUUUAGUUCAUCCAAUUAGUACAUUUUAUUAGUUAAAGUCUCCCCUGUUUCACUGGUCGACUAUCCUGACCUCUCGUCACUAAAAUUCAAUUAUCUCAUUGUACAGACUUCAUAUGGUGUUUCUACUUAUUUCUACUUAAAAUAGACUCAUUAAGGAAUCUAUACAUAUAAAUUAUAACUCUUAAUCCCUUUUUUACAAUUUUUAAUGAAUUUCUAAAGUCAAAAUAGGGGACUUCAAAAUCAUUCUGACUCUGUCUCACUAUAAUUAAGAUAUCUAAGAGUAUAUAACUCUUUUGCUUACUCUAUUUCUUUUAUGUCAAAGUAUACUCAUUUAGCUUUAAUUUCAUAUCUCACUCAGCUUCUAAUUCAAUUUACACCAUUUUUGAUGAUUUUUCAAAGUUACAUCAAUGCUGCUGUCCAAGAACUGCUCCAUUGCAAUUUUUUUUAAAAAAUUCAAUAUAACCCCUUUAUAAUUAUCUAACCUUCCCUGCAAAUUUCAAAUCACAACCAAUUCCAGUAUUUCAACUACUUCAUUUAAAUACUAAUGAAGUUCAACCAAUCAACCAUUUCAAACUAAAAACAUGUAUAUAUUUCGAUAUUUAACACAACCAUAACAUUCAAAUUUACUUUGCAUACUUAGUCAUUCAUUCUAUUACUUUUUAUCUCAAUUCCCUAUACAUGCCAUAUAAAUCCAAAUUUAUUUAACAAAAUCUACCAGAGUAAAUCUGGAUAGUGUGAUUUCUGAUGUAGAUCCGAUCCUCCGAAUGUAUAAAUACGUCAAUCUACAAAAAACAAUAAACACACACAAGUAAGCUUAUAGAAAGCUUAGUAAGUUCAUAGGCACAAAACAUGAAUCUUACGAAACAUUUAUACACUUAUACAUUAUACACCAUUACUAAGUUUACCUGUCAACCACAAUCUUUGGUGAGUUCCUUGGUAUAAACUCACUACUACUUAUUCUUUUACCAUAAUUCCUUUGGGCCCAUUUGUCACUUACCAUCCUUGAUCAAAAUUAAGGAACGAUUACGGAAAAUUGAGUACUUCACUUUCACUUUUCCAUACGAUCUCUUAUCACUUGUCCCUGAUCAGAUAAGUGUAGCUAGGCUACCACUUAUCACUUUGUCACUUGAUCAGAUAAGUGUAGCUAAAGCUAUCACUUAUCACUUUAUCACUUGAUGAGAUAAGUGUAGUUAAAGCUACCACUUAUCAGUUUGUCACUUGAUCAGAUAAGUGUAGUUAAAGCUACCACUUAUCACUUUGUCACUUGAUCAGAAGUACUCAAAUCUGGCGUUCCGCUCAAUUUGAUCAUUUGUUCAGUUUUCGCAUUUUUAUUUUAUUUUCAUUUCAUCAAUAAAUAUAUAUUUCAUCAUACAUUAUAUAAUUCAUGAAAUUAACAUUUAAUCAUAAAAUUUCGGCCAUAUGAACUUACCUAGAUCGAUUUGCAGAAUUUGUAAAAGUUCAGGGGCUAAUCGGCUACUUUUUCUUUUCCUUGACUUGUUUCGGGUUCUCGAUAUAAAAUAAAAAUUUAUUCAUUCAUCAACAUAUAAUUCAAUUCUAAUUCAUUUAACAAUUUAUGCCCUUUAAUUUUCUAAAUUACACUUUUACCCCAAACUUUACAAUUUUUACAAUUUGGUCCCUACUUAAUUAACCCCUCAAUUGAUCUAAUUUUUCUCAAUUAACACCUUUUACAACUAUUUUAGACUACUUCAUAGCCUUUAAUAUUCAAAACCGCAACACCAAACCUUAAUUCCCAACUUUUUCACAAUUAAGUCCCUAAAAUCAAUUUCUAUCAAAAUUACUUAAUAAAGUCAUCAUAUAACAAAUUUAAAGCUUUAAUUCCAUGUUUAUUCAUAAUAAAAAUCAAUAACUCAUCAAUGGUAACUCUAAAAAUCAGCCAUGAGAUAAAAAAACUAAUGAACUAAUUAGUUGGACUUAUUUGUAAAAGUAUCAAAAUCACAAAAAUUAGAAGAAAUAAUCAAGAAUUAAACUUACAUGAUUCAAAUAUAUGAAAAACCAGCUUGUUUCAGACCUCCUAUGGCGUUUUUCUGAUAAAUUGUGAAGAGAUCUCUAGAUUUUUCACUUUUGUCUUUGUUUUAUAUGCUUAAUUUGUUAAGUUUCCAAUUUUGCCCCUGUUUCUCCUUACAUUCUGCUGAUUUUUCUUACCCAACCGUCCAGCCCAUAUAAUUUGGGCCUAAUUUCCUUUUAAAUCCCUCCUCAUUAGUCACUUAAGCUAUUUUUAUCACAAUUUAACAAAUUUUACACUAUUUUCAAUUUAGUCCUUUUUAGUUAAUUAACUGUCCAAACGUUAAAAUUUUCUAACGAAACUUUAAUACCAACUCAAUGACACUCUAUAAAUAUUUCUAAAAAUAUUUAUGGCUUGGUUUAAAAUCUUCGACGUCUCGAUACCUCGUUUUUGAUUUUAAUUAUUUUAAUAUUUAUUCCUAGUACACUAUUCACUAUUUCAAAAAUUUUCCUAACUUCACAUUUAACUUAUACUUACUAAAUUUAUAAUAUUUUCUACUCGUUUAUCAGAUUUAGUGAUCUCGAAUCUCCAUUCCGACACCACUAAAAAUUUAGGCUAUUACAAAUUGUUUGUAAUUAUAUAUAGGUGGUAUGUUUGAAUAAUCAUUGUAAUUAGUGAGUUCCAUCGAAUUGAGUGUAAUUGGAGUAGAGGUAUCCUUAAGCCAGGUUGGGUUGGACCCAAGCUCGGUUCCAAUAAUUUCAAACUCAAGCCCGUUUUUGGACCGCCCGCCCAAAAAAUCAAUUUUACUAUUCAAAAAAAUAUUAUUAAAAAUAAUAUUUUAAUUGAUAUUUUAUAUACUUUUAUAAUUAAAUUUAAAUUUAAAAAAUAUUUUAUUAUUAUUAAAUUGAAUUUGUGUCGAGUUGAGGUGCAAAAAUCCUUGUCCAAGCUCGAUUCUAGUCGGGUCAAGUCACAUAGACUACCCGAUCUUUGGACAAGUCUAAAUUGGAGCACCCUAAUUACACUUUCCAGUUUUUAGAGUGAGGGUGAGAAUUGAAGUAAUUACGUUGGUGUUACACUCAAAUCCAAUUUUAAAAAUUAUUUUGAUACAAGUUAUAAAAGAAGAAAUUAUUCAGUAUAUUGUUAGUGGAGUUUUUAAACUCUACAAAUAGGAUAAAGAGUUUGACAAAUGUCUUAUAAGGGUAUAGUAAAAUAUUAAAAAAAACACGUCAAAAUUUUAAGGCUGUUUGUGAAAUAAAAAAAGUACAGUGCCACCCAAUAGUUACUCUUAUAAAAGAAUAUAUUAUAUCUAUGAACAUGUAUAAGUGUUUGGGAUGGUUAUGACAAAAGAAUUCGUGUAUUAUAAAUCCUAAAAGCUUAUAUUAUAAAAGUAACUUGUGUAUUUUAUAAAAUUAUAAUAUAUAUUAUUUAAAUCUUAAAAAAUUCUAAAAUUAUGAUAAAAAAUUAUUAUAAAAAACUAAUUUAUAUGUUAUAAAAAUGUUGUUAUAGCAUUUUUAUUUAUAAUAAGUUAGGGCAAAAAAAUAUGGAUAUAAUUUAUUUAUGUCCUAUAUAAUUUACCUUACUUAAAUUCGGACCUGACCCGGUCUGUCUAUAUUUAAUUUUUUAGAUUAUUUUUUAUUUAAAAAUAUUUUUUUUAAAAAUAUAAUACACUAAAUACACUAAAAAUGCUAAAAUAAAAGUUUUCUAACACAUUAAAAAUAUUUAUAUUAAAAAAGACUACCAUAAAUAUAAUAUAUGCUUUAUUAUAUUAAAAGCGCAAAUAAAUAUAAUAAAUAAUUUAUUGUAUUAAAUAUAAAUUUUAAAAUUUUAUAUUUUGGAUUGGGUUAUUUAGUUGGGUUACUUUUUUUUAGGUUUUGGAUAAUGAGUUUAAUUGUUAUUGAGUUAGUGGUUUAAUAUAAAUAAAUAUAGAUAUAAACAUAUAUAAUCAUUUUUUAUAACAUAAUAUAUUCGGGUCGAACUGAGCUCGUGUCUAAAAUAUUACCCGAGGCUUGGCCUAUAUAGAAAACGGAUAAUAAAUUUUACCCAAUCCCAUUUUUUGGGUCUCAUAUUUUUGUCUAAACUUCUCAUAGUUCAAGUGGAUCUUUAGACCUAAAUGAGUGUAAUGGUGUAUGUAUAGGUUUUAUAGAGCAAAACUAAAAAUAUAUGUAGGGGUGAUAUUGAAUUAUAAGUGUUUUUAGGCUGAUGAUAUUCAAGCGUUUGAAGGAAGAAGAGACCCAAACACUUGUUUGCGACUUCUCUUGAAAUUGUAUAAUCAAUUAUAGUUUUAACAAGAGUUGGUCUCUCACCUAUUAAUUAUAUAUAUCAAUACAAUAGCAUGAGAUUGGUGGUUGAGGGUAAAAGUAUAAAGAAUAUUAAAUAUAAUUAAUAAUUUUUCUUUUAAAAUUAUUCAAGUUUCUUUUUGCUUUCCUUUAUUUUCUUGUGAGUAGUUAAGAAAAUUUUAUGUUUGCCAUACCUUAAUUUUCGUAUCAGUUGUUAAGAAAAUGAUUUUUUUUUUCUAUCAUUUAACAUUUUUCUUUAAAUUUUAAAAUGUGUUUAAAAAUAUUUUCUUUUCGAAAUUCUAUUUUUUUUAAUUUGGAAUUCUGUGUUUUAUUUAUUUAUUUUAGAACAUAUUUUUAUAAUUUUAAAAAAAAUAUGUCUGAAAAUAUAAAACAAAAUAGUGUUACAUAAGCAAGGUAAGAUUGGUGAUCAAUUUACUUCAAAUAAAAGAAUAAGGGCCAAUAUGAAUAAAAGUGUAAAAGUUAAUGGAUAAAACAUCAAAAUAUAAUUCUUUUACAUGCAAAGUAAUUUACCCAUUUUUGGAUAAAAAGACUAAGCUCCAGCCUGGAAUUAAGCCUCCAGUGAGGUGAAAUGCAUUUUCAACCUACUGAACAAUGCUUUCCAAAUAGUCUUGCGUUUACUAACAUUUCAGUUGCAAUUUUUUUUAGCUUAAAAAAGCCAACGUACUGAGAUGCAGUUGCAUCCAAAGGAGGCUUAAAUUAAAUAUAUAUGAAGAUAGUUGUAGACUGCAAUGAUAGUAAAUAAACAUCCUUUCUUUGGACAUAUGAGCAUGGAAUAUUGUGUACCUGUAUUUAAGGAAUAUCCUAAUCCCACGAGCCAUGUUCUGGUGCCCAGACAGGCUGCCAGAUGCUUCUUCCAAAAACCAUUCAAAUCAGACAUCGACUACCAAACCGUCAGGCAAGCCCGACAUCUAUUGAAAUUCAACCUCAUUUCAUAUUGAUCGUCUCAUUCCUAAACAUUAGCUCUUCUCUGGGUUUGGUUUGGUCUAUUGCUUUAAAUCAAUUAUCCCAAAAUGACUCCUAGAAUCUAGGUGCUAAAAUAAGUAGUCGAUUCAUAUGAAAUGAAAACGCUGUUGCUCGCAUACUAGCGCUACUAAAUGACCAAUUAUUGCUUUGGACGAAUGCAGCAUGUGAUUUGCCCUGCCAACACAAUAUUCUUCCAUUUCCAGUGGUGGCCAACCGGAUUGAUUAGCUUAAGUGUCAAUUGGUCCACUUCUGAUUUCCUACCCAUUUAAUAUUUGUUGCCAAUGUUAAAGAGUAAGGGAUGAGGAUAGCCAUUAACCACCAUCCGCUCUUUAAAUAAUACCUAAAAUAGGCAACCACCCACCCUGCUUCAUCCAUCAAAAUUUCACAAAGUAAAUAAAAAACAAACCUAAAUUAAGGAAUUCUUUUUUCGUUAAAACUCGUUUCAUAAUCCCAUUAUUGCUAUGUUGUUGUAUCAAAGAGGAUCGUCUUGCUCAAGACUCUAGAGUGUAGCCAGCUCAUUCCAGCAAACUCCCACUCCCUACAUCUUAUCCCUUAAAAUCCCCCCCACUGGCUCUCUCCUUCACAUAUUCCUUUCCAACACAAACCAAAAGACAUGGCUUCAUCAUCUCCUCUUUCUCCCAUUCUCCUCUCUCUGUUUCUAGUAUUCAUUUGUGGGGUGUCAGCUCAAACGGCUCCCGCCCCUGCCCCCUCUGGCCCCUUGAAUUUCACUGGAAUCCUUGACAAAAAUGGCCAAUACACCUACUUCCUUCAGCUUUUGGCACAGACUCAAGUUGGGAGCCAAGUACAAACUCAACUGAAAACCACCACUGAAGGCUUUACCGUCUUUGCUCCCACAGAUAAUGCCUUCAACAACCUCAAACCUGGUACCGUCAAUAACCUGGACCCACAACAGAAAGUACAACUAGUUCUAUACCACGUUAUUCCCAAAUACUACUCCUUGAACGAUCUCCAAUUUGUUAGCAACCCCGUUAGAACCCAAGCUGGUCAGGAUUUCGGCCUCAACGUCACUGGCCUGAACAACCAGGUUAACGUCUCAAGCGGGGUUGUCGAGACUCAGAUUAACAACGCAUUAUAUCAAAAGAAACCUCUGGCAAUUUAUCAAGCGGACAAGGUGUUGUUGCCUGAAGAGUUUUUUGAAGCUAAAUCCCCAGCGGCUGCACCUUCACCGGCGACAAAGAAAUCAUCAACAGGGUCUAAAUCGAACUCAAGAGCAUCAGCAACCGCAGAUGAGCCAGCUUCUGCUGAUAAUUCAGGCUCAGCCGGAAGGAAUAUGGGGCUGAGAUUCGUUGUUGGGCUUGCAUUGGCUUGCAUGGGAUUUCUCUCAUGAGCGGAUAUAUAUGAAGUUGGUCUGCAUUUUUUACUAUAAAUUUUCGUUUUUCAAAUGGAUCGAUAAGGGUCUGAUUGGUCGUUGAACAUAUUCUUGUUAUCCACAUUAUUUGUAUUUCCAGAAUUUUUUGUUGAUUUUGCUUCUGCGCGCUGCUUGAUGUUAAUAAUAAUAUAUGUGAGUUUCUGAAAAUGCUUUAGUCUCCCCAUCUCUCUUUUCCUACCAAAUAGAUCCCAGUUUAAUGUUGAGCAUAAAUUCAAGGGAUUAAUCCUAUAAAAAUGUAGGGAAGGAUGUAGUUAUAUAUAAAGAAAUGAAGUGUAAUACAGAUGAUGAAGGUGAUUGGCACCUCAUUUUGCAAUAUAUUUUUCAUCUACUUGAUGACCAUAAACCAGACUGAUGGACUCAAAUCUCGCUCCAUCAGCUCUAUAGUUUCAAAACUUUUAAUACCUCUUACUUCAAAAAUUUCUCAAACCCAAUCAUCUUUAAUUAAAUUAAAUUUAAAAACUAAUUGUAAAGAAAUUUUAAUUUUUUAUUCCCUUCAUCUUCUUUUUUGACUCAAAUUAGCUCUAUUUCAUCUCCUCCAUUUUUCUUUCUUUACCACUUCCUUAUCAAUGGUUAUAAAAAAGUUAGGGUUUUUGGAUGGUGAAUUUGGGUUCAAUGGGGAAAGGAAAAGGUGGGUUCUUUUGAGUAUCAAAAGAAAUAGUGAAAACAAAGAUUAUGUUUUUUAUCAUCAAGAAAUGGAGAAAACUGGAGGGGAAAGAAAUGAAAAUGGUAAAACCGUAGAAGGGGAAAUUUAAGGUGAAGAUUGGUUUUUUCUUCACCAAACUUAUAAAAGCAAUUAAUUAGAAUUUGGGAAAAGAAUUAUUCCAAUGCUCUAAUAAUUCAUAGGUUUUGUUUGCUUUGUCGCUUAUAUCAUUUUGUUUGCAUCCUUAGCUGAGAAUGCAUAUGGAUCAUGAUAAUGUACGAUGACUUAGAGAAAGAGAUGAGUUGGUUGUUAAAACAAGUGUUGUUUGGCUAAUCAAUUUGAAAAAUGGGAAAAUUAUGAAAAUCAAUGAAAAGUUUGUUUGGUUGUUGAGAAAAUUUGGAUUUUGUUGGAGAAGAUGGAUUUAAUUUAAUUUUUAUUUAUUUGCUAACAUAAUUUUAUUAAAGAAGGGUAACAGUUAGACUAAAAAUAAUAUUGAAAUCAUAUCCUCCAAUUAAACAAAGUUUAUAACCAGGUUAAUAUUUUAACUUUUUAAUCAUAAAUACGAUCAUUAAUUUAAUGAAUUUUAUAAAAAUAUAAUUAAAACAAUUUCACUAUAUUCAAUUUAUAUAAAAUUUUAAAUUAAAUUCAAAAUCUAAUCUUAUAAUAUUUUAUAAUAAAAUUUAAAUAUAUCAAUCAACAUGAAUAUAUAAUAUUUUAUUAUUAAAUUAUUUAAAAUAUGAUUUUUAUAAUAAAAUUUUUAUUAAAUAAUUUUACAAACACAUAAUAGAUAAUUUAGUUGUAUAAUUUUUAAUAUCAAUAUAUAUUUUCAAUUAGGUAUUAUGUUUAUAAAAAUAUAUAACUUUUUUAUUAAUUAACAAUUGUAUAAAUUUACUUUUAUAAUUUUAUAAAUUGUUUUUAUGUUGUAUAUCUUCAAUAUUAUUUUAUCCAUAAUACUUUUUACCCUUGUAUUAUAAACAGUUUAUUUCUAUACAUUUACCACAAUAAGAUAUUAUUAUUAGGCUUAUAGAAAAAAUAGGUAUCCUGCAACUUUUAUUCCGCUACAAUUUUAGGUAUCCACUAUUAAUUCUAGUUAAAUUUUAUUUAAUUAAAAGUGACUCGUGUCAUAAUUUGGUUGAUUUAGAGGUUUUUUUAAAUUGGAGUUAACGUUUUAAAUAAUUUUAUUUAAUUAUAAAUAAAACAUGUCAUAAUUUGAUUGGUUCAGAGUUUUCUUUAACCGAGGUUAAUGGUUGAUACCUAAAGUGAUAACGAAAUAAAACUUUAGAUACCUAAAUGAGAAAAAUUACAUGGUUUGAGUACCUACUUUUCAUAUAAGUCUAUUAUUUAUUACUAAGUUAUACAUCAUAUUCUAUUAAUUUAUAAUUAUUUAUUUUUAAAAUACUAAAUUUAUUAAAAUGUUUUCAAUCAUUUACUAAAUAUCUAAAAUUUUACUAAUUAUUUUAUCUGUAUAAUCUAUAUAUACAUAAAAGUAUAAGUUUGGAAAAACUUUUGACCUAACAAUAAUACCAUUUAGUUUUGACCAUAUUACUAAAUUCACUUUAAAAAUAAUUUAGAAUUAUUAGUUAGAAAAAUUUGUGAAAAUAGAGUUAUUACUUUAAUUCAACUCUAAUCAUGAAAUAUAUGAAAAAUUGUAAUAAUUAUAAUUAUAAUUUUAUUUAUAAUUAUUAGUUAAAAUUUUUGAGGUAAAAAAAGUUGUGUUAAUUUUUUUUUAAAUGUGCUAAUUUUAUUGAUGUAAAAUAGAAUUGUUAUUUGAAUAGAGCUGUAAGCGCCUCAAUUAUCACUUAAUUAAUAUUAAAGUUAUAUAUCAAUUUAAAAUUAAGUUUUGCUUUAUGAAUAAUGCCCAGUAGUUAGGUAUAUUGAAUUAAGUAGCAUCUAAUAAAGACCACCGGUAAAAAAAUGGAGAUUGUUAACAUUAAUAAGUUAGGAUUAUAUAAUAGUAAUAAUAAUGGAGCAUCAUAAAAAUGGUUAUUUAAAGAGGCACCGAAAAGUGAUCAAAUAUUAUUUUAAUUGAUGAUAAUAUAAUAUAAUAUAAUAUAAUAUUAUGAUUUUUUAAAUUUUUCUAGAAGUUGUUUAUACUGUGUGAAGCAUUUUUAAAACCAUUUUUUUAUCUAUUCAUUAUUUGUUUGGUGUAGGUGAAAUAUUUUGUGAGCUGUUUUUAUAAACGUGUUUAUUAAUUUAGUAUAAAUAUUUUUUACAUUUAUCAUGAUCUAUUAUUAUAACUGUUGCAUGUUACUUUAUCUAUUUUUUUCUUAUUUUCAAAUUAAUAUUAUAUUUUAUGAUGGGUAAUAAUAAUUAAAAAUAUAUUAUUUAAAAACUAAUUAAAAUUUAAACACGUAAAAUCACGUACAAAAUGCACUUGACAUUAGAAAGUAAUAUAUAUAUAUAUAGAAGAAGACGAAUUUUCAGAAACUUCUGAAAUAACUUUAAUAAUAUAUUAAUUUCUCAAUUUUAUCUCUUAUAGCACUUAAUUAAUAGUGGUUAAUGUAAUAAUUAAAAAUAAUAAUAUUUUAGAUAAAAUCAUAAUAUCAUAAUAACAAAAUCUUAUAAUAUUAUAAUUAAACAAUAAUGAAUACGAAAACUCUUAUAUCAUAAAUAAAAUAUUAUAAUACUACAAUUAAACAGAUUUAUUAGUGAUAAAUUAAAUUUCUUAGUUUAGAUUAAUAAUUAUUAUUUUAUGAUUUUUUUUCUUUUAUUAUAACUUGAGAUUGAUGAUGCUUUGUACCAUUACUGUGUUGGUUUUAUUCAGGCUGCGGACUCAUAGCUCCGUUUACGUGGAUAGAACUAACAAGUGGACCGCAAUCAUCACACUCACUGAAAAUUUCAACCCAAGUUGACAGCAUGGCUAAAGCUGCAGCUACUUGCAAAAUUCACUUUAGAUGGCCUAAAUUUGCAAUAAUAUUAUAACUUGAAAUAAUGAAGAAGAGCAUGUGCGAUGAAGAAAUUUUAAAUGUAUGAAAUGCAGAAAGAGAUGGAAGCAUGUUGUGUUGGAUUGAAUUACUGAAAGUUGAGGCUUGGAGGGUGCUGAGUAGAUUUGGGUGCCAAAUGAGGUGCCAAUCACGUUCAGCUUCGUAUCAUUUUAGUAUUUUCAAAAAGUUUUUCUACUACCACGUUGAUGUGAGAACAAAAACUCUAUAUCACUCAGCCAUUGAAUUUGUAAGAUGGAAACUAAAUGAGUUUGAUAUAAGAAUCAAACUGUACAUUACAAGGCCAUAUAUUUAUGAAAUUUCAUAUUAUUAUUGGGAAUCAGCAGUACAUUGCAUACCUCAACCAUCAACAGUCCCACUAUACUGUGCUACAAAAUAUUUAAAAUUAAAAUAAAAAUCACAACUAUUACAAAAAUCAAAACAAAUUUUCCCCACAUUUGGCACCAAUCCAUCAACAGAGACCACACUGCAGCAACACCAAACCCUCCCUCAACUCUGGGUUAAGUUUGGUUAAAGCUUAUUGCCACCCAUUCGUGAAAAUAUCCUUAAUUAGCACAGCUAAUAUUGUGCUACGCUGUCCAACUUCAACAUUCUCUUGCCAGAAAACUAGCAAGUCUGAAAACUUUUUCUUAAACUGAAAUUUCUAUAGAUAAACAUUUACAGGUUGAAACCUCUUAAUAUUUCAGUUAAAUCACUUAUUUUGUUGAGACGUAGAACACUAAACUUUUGCUUACAUGCACUAUUUAGCUUUUACAUUAUUGUGGUGACAACCUUAACAAACGAAACGGUUCAGGUUUAGGACUGGUAUUGUUGUUGAAAAUAUGGUGAAAAAAACAUUAUAAUUUAUACAUAUUAAAUAUUGAAAAUUUUAAAAUAUGUCUUUCUGAAGUUAACCGACCCAUUAACAAGUAAUAUUGUUCUCGUUUAAAGUUUUAUCUCCUGACUUUAUGAAGAGUUUAAGUGGCAGAAGUUGACUAAAAAGACGGCAAGUUCAACAGAGUGAGAUAGUUUGUCAGAUUGGACUACCUAUCAAAGAAAUGUGGGCAUUUAUGCUUUGUAGGGUUUGAAUCAAUGUCUUGAUUUGGCAUUGUUGGACAUCUAGAUGGUCAUGCGUCAUGCACUAUCUAAUCCGAUAAGGCAUUUUAUCUCUAUAAAAUCGUCAAUUCUUAAAAUAAUCUCAAAUCACAGUUUUUCCACAAAAUUGAGAGAAAAUCUUAAUAAAAAAAUAAUUCCAACCUGUUCAAAGAUACUUCAACUUCUGGUGGAGACUUGAAAAACAAUAAGGUGCUGGAUAAAGUAUUAGCAUAAACAAUUUGUUUUGACAAAAAGAUGCCUAAAAUUAGUUGGAAAUCCAACUUUUAACUUCCGAUCUAACUGGAUAAUUGUUGGCCUAGUGUUUAUUGUUCCAUUUAGUAGAGAAGAGGUUAUGUUGGAUUGUCACAAUUAGACUGAUGAAAUCAGUAUCCUUUUAUGUCCCGGGUAAAUUCCGAACCUAUAUUUAUUCGUACAUAUGACAAGGUUGUUUUAAUUGGGCUGACUCAAGAAUUAAUAUAGAUCAAUUAAAUUGAACAAAUUAAACCAUAUAAUUUUUUAAUGAUUUAUUUAUUCAAACCGGUUAGACAACUGGUGAUCUAGUCAAAUCAAUUUUUUUAUUCAAUUUAAAUAUUUAAUGAAUGUGAAUUUUUUGUGAAUAAUGUUAUUUAAUUCAUAGUAAUAUUUUAAUCUUAUAAAAUUUAUAUGAGAAAUAAUUACUUGAGAAAAAUGAUUAAUGCAGUUUUUGUUUUUUAAUACAACUCACACAACUACAAAUAGACAAUUUCUACAAGUCAAACCCAUGACGUGGAUUGGAGUGUAAGAUGGUGAACGCCCCCUCGAAAUGGUAUAACAUUCAAAACCUUUUGAUGAUACGGUAUGAUGAAUAGAAGAAGCAAGCAACAAAAAUAUACAUACAUGGGGCACUUCCUAAAUAACAAAUAUAAAUGUAUUAUAUGAACAGAAUUUAUUUUUAUUGAGUAUGUUGGGGUAUAAACUGCUUAGAAAAGUGUAAAGCUUUGGGUUAGGUGCAGUUGGUAGAUUAACAACACCCUAUCAAUAUUGAGCCGAAGACCAAGAGUUGGCAUCAAUCCAGUUAAAAGCAAUAGGGCUAAGGAAAGCAUCAGGAAUGCCAAAGGAACUGACCAAAGCAAGUGCAUGCGGUCGAAGUUCACUGCAUAUUUUUGUUAUUUCUCUCCUCACUGUAGCAGCAUUCUCAACUGACAGGUACCCAUAUCGGAGAUACGCACCAUCUUCCAGACAAUUCAAGGCAUACAAUGAUCUCAGCAUACCCAGCACAUCCUGCACAACAAUGAAAAUGAAGAUUCAACAGCCUGUCUAAUGCACAAAAGACUGCAUAUGUCUUCUCAUGCCUUCAAUAUUUGAAGUGACAAACAUGCAAAGUUGUUUUUAUAUCAGAUGAUUUCCAUCCUGCAAAUCCCGAGAAUUUUACCCAUCUCUUAUCCUAUAUAUAUGACUGCAAUUUUCUAUUCAUCUCUUCUGAUCAUAUCCAUCCCACCAUAUCCUGCAACGCAACUUCAGACAACGAUGAAGUUUGAGUUGUUUCUGGUUAGGUUAAGCCAGGUUUUGGACAAGUUUUGAAGUCAGUUUGGGUUGGGUGAGUGAUGUUUUCCAUUUAGAGUCAGAUUCAGCCACUUCUACAAUCCUAAAAGGUCCUAACAAUCAGGUUCAAUUAGGUUUUAGUUGGGUCCUUUUAUGCUCAAGCUAUUGACUCUUAAAUAUUUGGUUUUAAAAGGGCUGGCUUAAGUGGUUCAGAUUACGUUCAUUUCACCACUUCUAAAUUAGAACGAAUACCGAGCGGAUGCUACGGCUGGAUGCUCAUUUGAGAUACAUUCUCUAAUACUAACCUUCAAUGAACAAGCAGCUAGAGUUGCUUCUGCCUCAACAAAUGUUUGUAAUAUUGCUCGAUCUGAAAAAGCUUUUCCCAAGUCCUCUGCUAGCUGAUAACUCUGGUGUGAAUAAGCGACAAUUAGACUAAAAGGUGGAUAAAAAAGAAUAGAAACCUAGAUAAAAGCAAGUGCUUCCUCACCAUAAUGAACGCGUGCUCUUUACUUUCUCCCUUGGCUUGACACUGUGAGACUUCCGCAACAAACCGAUUCAAAAGAUCUCUCUCCCUUAAGCACAAGACAUCCAUCUGAAAUAGGACAAUGGUCAGAGAUGCCCACAAUUUUAUGUGGAAUUACCAACAGUACAAUUGAUGCUAAUCUAAUUUACCUGGAAUUGGCUGCAUCUGAGCGUAGUCGUAGUAAGCCGUGAUGGAAUGACAGGGCAGGGCUUAUUCAUGUGUUCUAAACCCAGACCCUUGAAAGCCUUGUUUGGCUUCUGAGCUGCCAUGUAUUCAGCAAACAGAGCUUUGCUGACCUGAGUUAUCAUGUUCAAUCAUAAGUUCCACUGUUUAGUUGUCAAUACAUUAGGAUGUUGUGAACCCAAAAUCCAUGAAGCCUAUUAAAAUGACCUACACAUCUUGCAGGCCAUGGCCAGGGGACUACAUGCAUCAUAUGGGUCAUUUCAAGGAAAACAAAAUCCAGUAAAAACCCAUACAUAGAGAACUCAUUCCCCAAUUCUGCAUCUGCUGCUUUCAUUUUACAUUGAGGUCAUAUAUUCUCAGCCAGUUUAGUUGUAAGUUGUAACCAACUGUCCUUGUCAAAGGAAAUUCGUAAGGAAAGAAGAAAGCAAAUUUACCUGCUGCAUUAAAAUAUUAUUGUCCCCCUCAAAAGUGGAUUGCACAUCAUGUUCAGCUUUUAGAUGACCAACACGAUUCUCUGUCUUUAGUCCUUGUCCUCCACAAGCUUCGCGACAUUCCUGAAGCAUUCAACAAUUGAACGUCUGUAAUGGCACUUAAUGUUGAAAUGGUUCAACUUACUCCAAAAUUGUCUGUAGCUCACCUGAAGUAUUUGCAUGUUACUCCAUGUAAAAGUAGCCUUGAAUGAACUUGAAAUUACAUGAAUGAUUUUGUUUGACUGGGGUGUCCUCUUCACAUACAGCAUUUUCAAGUAAUUUGCUCCAAAACUCAUAGCAUACCUGCAGCAUAAAAAUGAAAAUAAACAAAUGAGGGUUUAGAACUUACGUUAAACGUUCAACAAACACUUAGACAACAUAUGUUUUCUCUAUACAUGCACAGAAAAGAAUGACUAAUCUUAUCUACCAAGCCAGUGAAGAAAAAAUUGUCAUGAUGAGACUUGCUACAAGCACAGCACUUACGUUUCAAACACAAACUGGACUUAACAAGAGUUCAGGAGAAUAUAUAUACAUAUAUAUAUACAUUUCCUAAACUACCUCUAAACCCCUCCAAACUCCAACUAACUAAAUUGGAGGAUUACACUCUUAAUAGUGCUCAAACCCACAACCUCCAAAUUGCUACAACAACAACGGUGCCAACUGGGGUAGCACUCUGAUCAAGAAACUGUGCAUAUACUUACGUCUUUGCAAGGAGAGGCAAGAGUCUUCGUUGAUGACUUGGGUAAUCAAGCAAUAAGACCUCAGGUUCCUUUGGUUUAAGAGAAAAAGCCCGCCUUGUUAGAGCAUAUCUAAUGGCAAUAGCUAAACCAACCUGUAAGGAGAGUAAUGGCAUGAUAUCAGCGACCUUUACAUUUGAUAGUAGUGGCCUGCCACCCAUACCCAAAAUACAAAAACAUGCAAAUUUCUUCUGCCAAUAAAAACGGACAAGAUGCUUAGAAAAAAAUGAGGUAUACCUUUGACUGGUAAACUGCAUUAACUGCAAUAUUAACACGGCCUGCUGUUAGAGGGGCCAGGAAUGCAGCAAAUCUCUGAAUUAAAGCAACAGACAUGUAAGAGAAACCAACACAGUAUUACCAGCAAAACAGUUGUAGUACAAUAAACGGCUCUAGAGCAGAUACCAGUCAACUCAAAUAUAAGAAGUACCUGAUCUGGGUCUUUUAUAGCACUUAGAUAUUUUCCAUCAGGUGAAACAUCAGCAACUGAAUUUAAUAAGUUCUCUCUCGGCACUCGAACAUUGUCAAACCUGAAAUAACAUGAGCAGACCUUUAAUAUUAGAAUUUUUCUAAGAAAAAGAAGAGACUAAAGAAUCCAUAGUAGAGUGUGAGUUUACACUACCAGAUUCUACCGUUAUCAACACCAUUUAAACCAAUUUUAUGACCACAGUCAGCAAUGCGAAUGUUUGGACAUACAUUACCAUCAGCAUCCCUGAUCUGGGCUAUAAGUGCAUGAACCCCUUGAUUGGUUCCAUUGAUAUUGAGCUGUGAAAAAACAAUUGUGUGUGUUGCAUGCUAGACAACAAAGCAACAACAUAAGUAUACCAUGUCAGCAUAUACAUAAAACAGAGGGAAGGAUAAUAAAAACAGCUAAAAAAAAAACUUCACAUUACAAAGGAAUCUAAAAACAGACUCCAUGGAGAGAAAUGGUAUUUGGUUCUAAGAGAAGCUUACGUUGGCUGCUCCGCCAAUCCAAUACUUUUGUGCUGAUUCACAAGGAGUAUUAAUGACAAACUCCCCUGUGUUUGAGUCAUAUGUUGUUAUUGUUUCAAUGCCGCGAACCUAAAUACAGUAACUCUAGAAUAAAUCAGGAGCAAGAGGAAGACUGCAUAAAAAUUCGGAAAAAGCAUGAUUCUCCUUACUAAAGGAUUAGACAACCUUUACAUACAUUACUUCCAUGCCCCAACUCAGUCAUUGCAAAGCAACCUUUGAUCAAGUAAUUUUCAGUGUCCCUCAGCCACUUGUCAUGGUGGUGCUUUGUACCAAAAAAUUGGAUGGCACCACCCCUGCAUACAUUAUGACAAUAGUAGAACUCAGUUCCAAAUUUUCUUACUUUCUACUUUAACCUUGUCGACUAAAAAGUCUGCACCCCUUCCUAUAACAAUGGGUUAAAUUCAUAAAUAAAAUGUAAGGCAAGCAACAAACAGCUCUCGGUUCCAUUAAAUUUCAAACUUCAAUACACUAAGACUUUGUUGGUUAGUUUCUUUUGAUACUUAUAUCUUUUGCUAUUUGAUCUUUUAUUCUUCAUUGCUAACAGGUAGGAUCAUAUUUAAGUAAAAUAAACAAAUUGAAAAUCAAUUAAAACAAGGCAUUGUGUUGUAUAUUAUAAAACAGAGUAAUGCAACCAAGGAAAAUGAAGAAGAAAUGAAUAUACAGUUAAUAAAGACACUUCAAGGGAGCUACUACUCUUAAGUGCAAAAGGGCUCUUGGUAACAUUUUUAAAUAUUACCAUGAAAAACUGCCACUACAAAAAAAAAUGCAGCCCAAGCUUUUCUUGAACAUAUUUAACCAAAACUAAGAAUUUGAGAGAGAGAGAGAGAGCGAGAGAGAGAGAGAGAGAGAGAGAGAGAGAAUGAGUAGUUGAAUAUAAGUAAUAGUUCAAUUCAGUGUAAAUGAAUGCAUCCAUAGAAACUAACAAGUGCUAUGAAAGUAUUCUUUUAUAGAGAACUAUCUGAAAUCUUGAAAUAAUAUCCCUUCAUGAAAAGUCUUCACAAAGUUAUAUCUUGUCCUACAUACUAAAUUCAUAAAAACAUGCGACCUAUACGAUUUUACAACUUCUGUUUAAAAUCAAAACACUUGAAAUCAUUUUGGUAGACUUCAUGAUAACAUUUUCUUACUCAAAAAAUAUAAAAAUUCUAAUGGUUACUCUUUUUUUAUGUAUUCAAAUCUAUUUUUACACCUAAAAGCAAAGUAAGGGAAAUAAUGCAUAAAGGAAGUCUAUUACUUUUAAAGUGUGUUUGCUUGGGUAAAAGGAGAAAGUAAAAAAUUGAAAAAAAAAAAAUUUGAAUGUGCUUAAAAAAAUGAGAGAAAUAAAAAUAAAAAGGUGAUCAUCUUAUCUUCCAAAUUAGAAUGAUAAAAAGAGAGAAAAUUGUAUAUUAAUUUAUUUUUAAAUGUUUUAUUUUAUAUCUUUAAAAUUUUCAACUUAAAAUUAUUCUUCUUUUCAUUUUCUUCAUCAGCGCGCUUAUAGAAAAAAAAUUAUAUUUUUUUAUUUAUGAAAAUAAAAUUAUUCAGAAAAAAUAUAUUUUUCAUAUUUCUAUGUAGAGUUUGAAAAGUAAAACGAAAUCCAAAAAUUUAGAUUAAUCUUAAGAAGAUAGAAAAGAGAAAAGGCAGAUAACGCACCACAAGAAGAAGUGAACUCCAAGCUUAAUGGAGAUGGAAUGAUCGAAGAGACCCAAAACCUCAAAGCAAGCGAACCUUCUCAUCUCAACUUCUUCUCCUUCCCCCGUUAACCACCCUUGGAACACUCCCCUCUCGAACAAAUACUCGAUGCGUUUCCACGUCAUCUCCCGCUGCUGCUCCAUGGACUGGUUAUAGUCCGGCGACACAAACACCUUCCCUCCCCUCACUCUGGGAUUGAACACCUUGCUCUGCGUGAUCAUCCCAAACAGCCGAUCCCGCUCCUCCAGGUCGUGCCCGUCCAUUAGCUUCCGCAUAUCGUUGAUGUCGAAUGCGUAUUUUUCGGAAAGUUCAGGCGGAGAGUAGUUCAAACAGGUGUUUGAAGAAAGAGAAGGGGUUUGAAAGGACGAAGUAGGAGGUGAUUGGAGGAGGUGACCGGUUAGGACUUUGGUUCUCUGAAAUGCUCGAUCCAUUGCAGAAUAACGUUGUUUUUUUUUUUUUUUUUUGCCUGCCUUUAUUUGUUUGUUCAAAAGAGGAAUACUGAUGAUGGUGGUGGUUGCGUUUAGUAUUUUUUACAUUGAAGCAAUCGCAAUUGGAUCCAGGAAGCGGUUAGGUUGGGUUGGUCAUCCGGGGUUAGGUUGGUCAACCAACUAUCUACGCUUAAAUAAUCUGACCUUAUCCGUAUUUCUCAACUUGCGCCUUUUUUACAAAGAUAAUAUAAUAAAUAUAUUAAAUUCAAAAUUGGGUUAUAUGUUAUAUUAAUUACUAAAAUGGUAUAGAUAAGAUGGUGAAGGGUGGUGUACAAAUGACACCACUCUUGUUUUCUAACAAUUGUCCCAUACAAUUAAAUAAUAAUAUUUUAAUAUGUGAAGUCUUGUUGAUAGGCGAUACCUAAAUAUUGAAUUUAAUAUAUACUCGUUUUUAUAUAUGGGCAUAAUAUUUGGGGUGAUGUCAUAUCAAUAAGUGGCACUAGUGAUCCCUCUUUAGCAGGCGGCACUAGUGACCUCUAUCUAAUAGGUGACAACGGAGAAGAAGCAAAUUUGGGGGAUAUUAUAACUAUGGUCCCCUUUCGUAAUUUUAAAAUUGGAGAAGCAGUUUCUUUAUUUAAAAAAGAAAAAGAAAGUAGAAGGGAAGAAGAGAGGGAGAAGAAAAAAAGGUAAAAAAAAUUUAAUAGAGAAGAUUAAAGGAAAAGAAAGUUAAGAAAGAAAGGAGAAGCAAAAAAAAUGAUAGUAGAGAAAUGGAAGGUGAAAGUAUGUUUUUUUUUUAAAUAGAAUCGAUUAGAAAUUAUUUUGUUACUAAUUUGUUUAGUUUGAUGUUUAUUGUGAUUUGUUAUAAAUGUAAUUUUUUAUGUUGUUUUUAAAUUAUUUUUAAGUUAUUUUGUUAGUAAUUAUUAUAAAUUAAUUGUUAGCUAGUGAUGACACUAGGGAAAAAAUAGAUAAAUACUGAAAUUAAAAAAAAACUUAGUUUCUGUCGUAGAUAUUGGAAGAAAUGACAAUAAAUCUGAUAUUGCCUGAUGAGAUAACAACUUCAGCACAAAGAGAGAAAGUUGAUAGGAUGAUUAGAGAAGUGUAAGAUUAUAGAAUGAAACAGAAGAAACAUAGUUCAACACCUUAUUACCAUAAAUCAAAAUAUGCAAGACGUGUUAUGGAAGAUUCAUGAAAUAAUUAGAAAGAAUAAAGUGCGAUAAUUGACCCUAAGAGGGACAUUAAUAAAACGGUAGCAUCAAAUGAUUUUAGACCAACUUUGGAAGACAUUGGUACCACGAACCUAUUGGAAUAUAAUUAUAUACUACGUGAAGUUUAUAAUCUCUUAUGGAGCAAAGAAAAUAGCGAGACAAAGUAUAGGUUCGCUAAAGUUGACUAGGAAGCAAAAUGUCUUUGACAUGCCAUGGAUGAUAAAUUAGUUGUUAGGAAAUUACUUUAUAAAUUCAAUACCUGUUAUAAAGAUGGAAGAGGAAUAAGAUCCUGAGGAAUUUCCAAAAUGGAUUGUAGAAGAUGAAUUUGAAGAGAAUUCAAAAUUUAAUAUAAAGAAUUUCCCGGAGAAAAAUACAGAAUCGGAGAUGGAAGAAAACGUAGAAAUGAGUUUAAGUGGUUAAAUGCGAAGGUAAAGUAAAAGUUAGAGCCUAGAAAAUGUGAAAAAAAUGACUAAAUAUGGUUGUACAUGUAAGAAAUGAGAACUUAAUGUUGAUAUAAUGCUGAGCUUACGAAUGAAAAGUUUUGCAUAUUUAUAUAAUGUUGGUCUUUUUUUUACAGAUUAUUUUUUAUUAAAGUAAUUUUUUUGCUGUUCGAAAUUGUAUUGAGAAUUUUUAUUUCUUUUUUAACAGAUUUAGUAUUGAAGAUGAAUAAUUAGUUUUUUUUGUAUGCGUUUAUUUCAAUGGAGUAAUUUUGACAAUAGUUGGAUGUAUAUUUGAAUGUCGCCAACAAAUAGCAAUUAGAUUUAAUAGAAAUGUCUCAGAUGAUUAUAUAAAGAAAAUGAUUAGUGCAAAAAUUGUUAGACAUUAUGGAAAAAGGAUCUCGAAACUUUUCUACAAGUUUCCAGUUUCAACAGAUCCCAUCAAAUUCACCGAGAUAGAACUUGUAGACGAUAAAGACGUGGAGACAAUGGUCGCUCUUUAUUAUGGGAAUUGGAGUGACCAAAAUGCAACGAUUCAGUUAUUUGCUAAGUUAGCUUAUGUGGAACCAACUGAAGAUCCUACUCCAUUAGGUGAAGAACAUUUAUAGUCAAUCGAUUUUACACGGGAUCGACAUCGAUCUUAAUGCUGCAUCCGAAACUGAUGCGGUUGGUGAUGACAGAUGCGAUAGUAGUGAUCCUUCUGGUCAAGAGGUCGAUAGUGAUCCCGAUGUGGAUGAGGUUCCAGGUGAUACUAACAACAAAGGCGUAAAUGACGAUUGAAAUGUUAAUGCGUUGUGAUACACAAUAAUCUUGGGGCACACAUGUUGUUCAUAAAACCCGAUGCGGUGCAUACAGUCGAGUUCCAGGAGUACCCUAAUAUACUACCUGCUCACCGAAUGACCGUAGAUUCUGAUCUUAAGGAGUUAUUCAUGGGCCAGAAAUUCGAAAGCAAAGAAGGGUGUGUAUUUACCAAUAAGCGGUAUAGCAUGAAUGUGUAGUGGACUACAAAGUCAUGUCUACACCGACAUUAUAUAUUGGGGAGUGUUAGAGGUCGACGGAAGGUUACAAUUAGUGGGUACGAGCUACAUUUAUCCAGAAGUCACAGAUGUGGGAGAUACGAAUAUUUGUUGAGCCUCACACAUGCACUUCAACAUGUAUGACAGAAGAUCACCAGAAACUUGAUUCCAAAACUAUUUGUGCAUGCAUUAUGCCAAUGGUGAAGGACAUGCCGACCAUUAAAUUUUCGAUAUUGAUUGCUGAAAUGCAAGCACAAUUCCAGUAUCGAAUAUCAUACCGAAAAGCAUAAAUAGCUAAACGGAUGGCAAUGGAUCAAUUAUACAGAGAUUUUGAUACGUCGUACAAUGAGCUACAAGGGUGGAUAGCCACUUUACAGGAGUACGUGUCGGGAACUGUCAUUGAGUUAGAGACACGACUUUAUUACGGCCCAGAUGACCAACUACAACUGGGAAAAAAAAAUUUCCAACGAAUUUUCUGGACGAUUGAUCCAUGCGUGCGAGAAUUUCUCCACUACAAGCCAUUUGUGUAGGUAGAUGGGAUCUGACUAUACGAAAAAUAUAUGAAGAUCCUACUUAUUGCAGUUGCUCAAGACGGGAACAAGAAUAUGCUCCCGAUAAUGUUUUCCAUUAUGGACAAAGAGAACAUAGAAUCAUGAGAUUUCUUCCUUACGAACCUGUGGAAGUAUGUUGUUAAUGAUGAUAAUAUCUGCAUCAUCUCUGAUAAAGGAAAUAGAAUAAUUACCGCCAUUAAGCAUUCCGAUGUACCAUAGAAAUCUUUUUACUACAUCCGGCACAUCGCGAAAAACUUCCAUCGAAAGUAUAAGAAUGCAGACUGGAGGAAAUAAGUUUUAGAAAUGGGUAAAGAAUGCCUUUAUCUUUUCAAUAUACAUUUUAAUGUUUAAUUCGUGACUGUAACUAAUCUUUUCUUAAUAUAUACACAGCGUACGAGCUAGAGCCACACCUUUUCCGACAAAGGAUGACUAGACUUGAAAGUGACAUGGAAGGUGAAAUGAACACACCUUUUCGACAGUGGUUGGGUACCAUGAAGCUGUGACAAUGGGCUUAAAGUUUUGAUGAAGGGUUUCGCUAUGGUCAUAUGACCACCAACUUUGCAGAGGGGGUUAACUCUGUGUUGAGAAAAAACCAUGACAUCUUUUGAUUUCAUCUAUGUUCUUGGCUACAUUCUAUAGUCUGGCUACCUUGAUGCUAAAAAUGGGAUAGUAACAAGUCAACCAGAUGGAGACGGAAUACAUGUUUGUCGAAGAUGUCAAAGAUACAAUCGUUGCGAAUCGUCGGAGGGCAAGGUCGAUGAAUGUAGAAGUAUAUUCAAAACAUUUUGAAAUGUUUUAAGUUACAGAGACCAUCAAUCGUCGACCCGAUAUACCACCUAGGUCUUACGAAGUUGAUCUCUGAAACAGACGGUGCGAUUGCAAGAGGUUCCAGACACUUCAUUAUCCAUGCGCGCAUGUUUUGGUAGCAUGUGCUCUCACCUCACUCAGUGUUGAACAGUUUAUCGAUGAGGUGUACACUUUCGAGCGCACGUUGCGUGUUUGAGAGAACGAGCUCCCCGUCCUACUUGACCUGUUUACAAGAGAGGUUUCGCCGAUAACUUUCGAGCUUAUCCUAGACAAAGGGUUGCGUAGGAAUCCAGAAGGUCAUCCACAAUCAACUAGAAUCCAUAAUGAAUUGAACAUUAGAGAGAAAACUAACGGGAAACUUUGUGGCAUAUGCAAAUUAGUUGGGCAUAAUAGGAGUAAAUGCCCGCAGCGAACCUACCAUAUUAGACAAUCGUCGCAAUUGGGUAGGAAUUGAGCUAAUGUACUCCAAUGUAUCUAAUUUAUAUUACAAAGUUUGUUCCAAGUUUGUUCCAACACGUGCCAAUUAAAAUUACAAAGUUUGUUCCAAGUUUGUUUCAACACCUAUCAUUUAAAAUUACAAAGUUUGUAUUUUUGCAUUUAUAUUUUACUAUAAUUAAAUAAAUAUAAACUUGAUUAUUUAAAUUAUAGAAACUCCUAAACUUGAUGGUUUGAUGGUAUGGUCCUAGGGGUAUAUUUUUAUGGUGGUCAGCGUUCAUGUUGCGGGUUAUCGUGGCGAUCAACAUUCUCCUCACUCAAACUUGAGGGUGUGCUAAACAUAGUAGAAAAAUCAUAUACCCCAAACGUCAUCGAUGAUGUUGGGUUGGGAGGAGUGGAGUACUGAGGUGGACAUGGGGCGGGAGAAGUGGAGUACUACAGUGGUAAUGGGUUGAAGAUAUCAAAUGUCGUCGUUGAUCUCAGAUCAGGUAUAUUAAAACUGGAUCCCGAAAACUCUGAAUGAUAUCUGUGGCCUAACGAGCCUGAGAAAUAGUCAUCAAACCCCAAGUCUAGAUGAUAAGAUUUAUCCCCAGAUUGUGUAUGAGAUUGGUUGGGUUCGGGCUCUGGCUCAGACUCUAGCUCAGGUUCAAGCAAGGGCUCUAGCUUGGGUGUAGGAGACGUAUGUGGAAAAGGAUGAUCGUAUGCUCCAAGUUAAUACAUGUGCAAGGGGAUUACAAUCGAUUUCUCACAAAAUAAAUAUGGUUUCCCCAUAUCAGAGUACCAUUAUAUGUUACUCUAACGAGGGCUGCAAAUCGAAAGAAAUAUCCAUCUAAGGUCUCUGCACCAUGCGGUUGUCCCACACUGCAAUAUAUUAUUGAUGCACUACUGCCCAAUUAUUUCCGUGCUUUCCCCUAUUGUUAAUCCCAUGGGUCUUCCCCAAUUGCAUUGGCAGAGCCGGGAUAUACUGUAUGCAACUGAACUACCGAAGUACUUGAUCCUUGUUAUACCACUCCACUGUCUGGAAAUUGAUAAUAGGUGCAUUAAUGCGCCACAUGUGUGAGUGAAUAUGAGAAGAUGAGGGAAUAAUAGUUGCAAUUUUUGGCAAGGAAUAGGGCAUCUAGAUAAACUGCACAAUUAAUAAAAUAGUUAAAUUCUAACACGAUUCAAGUAAGAUAUACAAAGUAAUUACAUGUUACGAAUAUUAGAAUAACUUACCCCUUCCCUAGUAUGUUGCUGAAUCAUCAGGCGAUAUAUCAGAACCGUGUAUGACCUCCCGAUACCCGGAUUUGUACUCCAUCUACGAAAAAAAAUAACUUGUUAGAAUAAUAUCAUUAGAAAAAAAUUUUCAAUUAAUUACUAUAAUAGGUAAGAUUUUGUCACCUAUUUACGAGUGGAAAAACAUAUACUUGGUGACUAACAGAUGCCAAGAAUGACAUCCAGUAAAGAGCCCAAGAUUGUAGCGAUAUGAGGCAUCCGCCUAUGCCCAUGGCAAAAGGCUUUGUCAUCCGACAAAGCUUGCGAUACAACAUAGCUAAUACUGCAGAACCCCAACAACAUGAAUGGACAUUAUGCAAAUCAAUUAAGCUAGGUAAGUACAUCAAAUGGACCUUUUUGUUGUUUGCAUUCAACAUGAGUACACCCCUUAUAAUGUGUAUAAUGUACGCUUGAAUGACGCACAUCACCUCCCACUCAGUGGCAUUAAUCGAUAAAUUCUUAAAAUUGACCUUCAACUAUAAAAACCUCAAACCUGUAAAUUUCGACUCAGCAUCACCGGACGAGACUCCUAAUAGGUUAUCACAAAGGGUAACCAGUUCAGAUAUCGUACUUACGCUAGUUACUGCACUCCCGUCGAUUGGGAGCCUUAGUUGUAGUGUAACAUCCUCUAGAGUGAUAGUGCACUCCCCACACGACAAAUGAAAAGUGUGGGUCUUCGGGCGCCAUCGCUCGACCAAGGCGGAUAUUAAGUGGUACCACAAAUCAAACUUCCAGAUCAAUGUCACUGACCCGAAUCCGAGUAACUCCAAGUAUGACAUUAGUCGUUCAUCCAGGGGAUAUCCUAAACCAUUCACACGAUCCCUUAAUGCGUGGUAUGGGCACUGACACUAUUAAAUUAUAGAAAUAGUUAAUAUAACAUAAUUUAAUUUCGUAAAUGACGUGAAACUUUUUAUAAGGGAACUCGUGAGUAACAAAUAACAAUUUAUUACCAUCUUAUUAACUGUGUUUGAUAUGUGAUUAUCGUUAUUAAUCAAAGAACCCAUUUCAAUAUUUGUAAUUUUAAAACAAGGAGUUCAAUUAAUUUGUUACAAAAAAAUACAUUUCGAUAAUUAAUUUGUAUUUGAGCAUUUUUAUCGCACUAAUAAAAAAUAUUAUUAAAAUACAGAUACGUGACAUCCUAAAUGUAAUAGCACAUUUUGAUAAUUUAUUUUUAAGGUGGUCCAUUUUAAAUAUUUAUUAAAAUUCCUAAAUGUAAUAGAAUAAAUUUUACAAUAAAUACAAUACAAAAAUUUCAUUACAAAAAUACUAAACAGUUUUGUCCACAUCACAUUUUUUGCUAUACUAUUGCAGUAUAUAAUUAACAAAUUAAAUAAAAAUAUCUUAUAAAUUUCAACUCAAUGGUCCUAUCUUUUACCUACCUACAUAUAAAAUAAAAAAUUUAUGUUAAAAUAAUAGAAACUAUGAAAACAAAAUAAAGCUAGUUGGUUGGACUAUAUGUUGUUAUGUACAUCUAAUAAUAAACACACAAAAAAUGCCCAUUAAAAAAUAUAACAAAACAUCACAUCAAUUCCAACUAAAUAGACUCAUCUUUUACAUACAUAAAAAAAACAAAAAAAAAAUUAUGUUAAAACAACAUAAACUUUCUCAACAUAAUAAACCUAAUGGGACUAAUGUUGUUAUUUGAAUAUAAAUAAAAAAAUAAAAAAAGCAUAAGACUUUAAAAAUCAAACAGAAACAUACCUGCACACUUUCUGAAAUAAAUCAAAUAACCUUCCUUUUGUACCGAAAUAAUACCUUACAAAAAAAUAAAAAAAAAUCAGAUUCUGAAUUAUAACAUUUUUAAAAUAAAUAAAAUAGAAAAUAACAUUUAUAACCUAUAAAAAAACCCUAAACUAAACAAAAAUACCUUAAUUUCUUUUUUUUUCAAACCCUAAACAAACAAAAUCCACAAAUCUUUUUUUCUUAACCUCAAACUAAACCCCAAGCUAAUCCUACACUGACCCUAAAUCCUUUUUUUCCUUAACCCUAAACUAACCCCAAAUUUCUCCUUUGAUUUUCUUCUCUUCUAUUCUGCUACUCUUUAUUCUUUCCUUCUUUUUUUUUCCCCUUCGUUCUUUUCUUCUUCACUGGUUUGUUUUCUUUCUUUCUUUCACUUUGGGGACCAGUAUAAGGUCCCAAACAACGUUUACCAUCCAUUUUCACGAGACCCUUAAGGGUCUCAUCCCAUCGGCAAACGCAUCAAAGCAGCAAAGUAAUCCCAUCCAUGCUAGACUAGUGCCACAUGUCAAGUAGGCUUCACCAGGUUCUCCUCGGGCUGUGUGGACUACAGGUUAUACGGGUUAAAACUGUAACACCCCAAAACCGGUCUAAACGUUAUGACCGAAUCUGGCGAUGUCACAUUGUAACACCCCUUACCCGUAUUCGACGCCGGAAUAGGGUACGAGGCAUUACUAGAAGACAUACAUUUGCAUAUGUAUUAAACUGAGUUACAAAAUUUCAUCCGAAUUAAAACUUUUAAAUUAUUAACGUGCUUUUAUAAUUCUUUACAACAUAUCCUCGAAAUAUUAUAUUCAUAACAAAUAGGGCCUACGAGACCCGAUAUUUACUCAUGUAAUUCAAAGCUUCAUUUCCAUUUCAUUCAAUUCACAAUUUCUCAUGUUCACAAUUCAAAUCAAUUUCUCAAUCCAAUAUAUAUUUCAAUCAUCUAUGAAUAUAAUUCAAGUUAUACGAACUUACCAGGCUAAAUUGCAGAAAUACCAAAAUUCAAGGACAUUUUGGUAAUUUUCUAUUUUCCUCGAAUUUUCACCCAAUCUUGAUAUAAAUUAAUAUUUCAUUAAAUUUAUUAAAUUAAAUAAUAAAAAAUUCAUUUCAUGCAAUUUGAUCACUUUUUGACAUUUUUACCAAUUUACCCUUAAAAUAUUACUUUUAUUCAAUUUAGUCCUUGAACCUAAAACACGCAAAUUGGUCAUUUUUAAUGAGAACUCAUGCUAGUUGAAUAAUCAUUUAUUUUCCUCCUCCUCCUCUCCAUUCCACAUCCUUAAUGUAUAAUAUGCUUAUAGGUAACAUUAUCUAUAAUUCCACCAUUUAUUUAUAUAUUAAUUCAAAGCUAUCCACUUGAGUCAUAGUCACUAAAUUAUUUAUAUCUUGAGCUAUGAAACUCCAAAUUAAGAUCCGCUAAAUUCCUAUGAAACUAGACUCACAUAUCUUCUUACCAUAAGAUUUUCAGAAUUUUUGGUUUAGCCAAUAAGUACAGUUUAUUCUUUAAAGUUUCCCCUGUUUCACUGUUUGACAGUUCUGACCUCUCUUUACUAAAAAUUAAUUAUCUCAUUAUACAAAAUUCGGAUGAUAUUUCCGUUUCUUUCCUUUGAAAAUAGACUCAAUAAGGAUUCUAAUAAUAUAAAUUAUAACUCAUAAUUAUUUUUAUUAAAUUUUUUAGGAUUUUUCAAAGUCAGAACGGGGGAACCCAAAUUCAUUUUGAUCUUGUCUCACAAAAUUUAUUAUAUCUCAUGAUUUACAAUUCCAUUACUUACACGUUUCUUCUAUGAGAAACUAGACUUAAUAAUAUUUAAUUUCAUAUUUUUUUAAUCCUAUAAAUCGAUUUCCACAAUUUAUGGUGAUUUUUCAAAGUUAACCUACUGCUACUGUCCAAAACUGUUUUAGUGCAAGAUGUUGAUUACUAAGUUUAUAACUCCCUAAUUCCCUUUCUCUAUAAUAUUUCCCAUCAUUUUCACUUAUUUCUCUUCACUAAUAUAUCAAGACCAUAAGACAUCGUUUAAGAAAACUCUACUAUAACAUCAUUUCCAUACUUUUUUCAACAAUAACAAACUUAAAAAUAUAUUAAAAUCUUGAUGUUCUUACCUUGUGCUAUUGAUUUCAAUCUUUAACUUGAUUUUCUCUCUCCUCCAGCUUCCAUUUCUUAUAUUUCUUGAAUCUAACUUGACAUUCUAGCUCCCCAUUGUCUCCUUAUUACUUUUCUCUCUUGGAAGCUAUGGAAAUUCUUUUGAAUUCUAGGUGAAAAUAGUGAAUUUUUGGUAAAAUGACCAAAUUGUAAAGAAAGCAAAACUUUCUUUCUUCUCUUCUCUUCUAACGUUGGUUGCAUGGAAAGAUGAUAAUUUUUUCAUCAUCUUUCCUCCCUUUUAUAUUAAUCAUUUAAUAAUAAAAUAAUACUAAAAAUCUUAAUAAAAUAUUAAUUAAAUAACAUUUAUCUAAUUAAUUAAUUAAAAAUAUCACAAACAUCAUCAUUACCUUCUAGAAUUCUCUCUCUCUCUAUUUGACCAUUUUUCCCUUCAUAAUCUUUUGAAAUUCCAUCCUUGAGUCAUCACUUAAUUUGGUAAAAUUGCAAUUUAGUCCUUCAAAAUUCUUCAUCUUUUCAAUUUGGUCCUAAUUCAUCCAUUUUCCUUAGUUUCUAGAUUAUUCCACCCUUAAAAUACACUAUUGGUCCUUCAAUUUUUUCAUAUUUACACUUUAACCCCUCAAAUUUUGAGUAUUUACUCUUGGGCAACAAAACUUUUCUCACUUUUGCAAUUUAAUCCUUUCUUGAAUUAAUAUGUCAUAAUAUACUUCCCAAUGUUGACAUAACUCAAUAUUACCCUUUUUAUCACUUUAUUUCUUUAUUUUACUAUAUCAAGGAUAUUAUCUUACUUACUGUAGUAAUUUUCGGGGUAUUAAAAAAACGGGUUAUACAGGGUGUAUUUUUUGUUUGGGUGCCGCCUACCAAAUGCCCACAUUUGAUUAAUUUUUUGUUCAUAUCAGGAAACUGAAACUGUUAAUUUUAGGGUGGUGGUGUCGCCUAUCCACCACCUUCCUCUGUGUUGGCCAUACCAUUCCCAUAAAUAAUUUUGGGAGAAACCUAUUUUCGAAUUUAAUAUAUUAUUUUAUAUUAUUUGUGUAAAAAAGCCUCAAUUUGCAAUUAUUUAUACAAUUAUAAUAAACACAUCUAAUCAUUUAUCUAUGCCUAACUCGCGAUUUAUAUUUUUAUGUAAAUUCUUAGCUUAACUAGUAAAAGUCGUGGCUGACCCCCAAUAAUAGGGUUUGCGUCCGAAAAGAAUAAAAAAAUAAACAUUUAGAUAAUUUUUAUAAAAUUUCAAAAUAUUAUUUUUUAUUUCUAUGUUUUAAUUUUUUUUUAAUUUUUAAGAAUCAAGACUAAAUUGAUAGAAUGUAUAAAGUUGAGGAUUAAAUUUAUUGAUUUCUUUUAGAAUUAUAAUCAAAUUUAUUGAAUAUGUUAAUACUGGAUGGCUAUAUUUAUUAUUAUGCCAAUAAAAAAAGGGUAUAUUAAAAUUCUAUUAAUAAUUUAAUGGAGAAGUGAUCAAAAUAUUAAAUUUUAAUAAUGUUAAUGACUAACAUAAAAUUUUUUAAUCUGAGUGACCAAAACAGAGAUAUAUUAAUAAUUGCGUAACUAUUUAUAUAGCUUACCAUAAAAUUUUAACAGAAUAAAAAAUUAUUAAAUAAUUAGAAGUAUUAUAUUACUAAAAUAUAAAUACAUUAUUUUAUAUAUAUUUAUUGAAAUAUUUUGAUUAAUUGAUGUAUAAUUACAUAAAUUUAUUAUAUAUUUUUUAGUACCACGAAAUCUUACAUUACAAUUUAGAGAGAAUGGAAUGUUAACACCAAACUUAACCCUAGGCCUUAAAGGUGUCAAUUUUUAAUCACUUGCACUUUUUGGAUUGUUGGUAAUUAACUUAUUAUAUUAAAUGAAUAAAAAUGUUAAAAGCUUUAAAUGAAAAUAAAUAAAAAAUAUUUAAAAAUAAAAAAAUUAAUAAAUUUAGAUUAUGACACGCCCACGAUAUUGAUAAAAAAAUAUGUAAUAAAUACAUUUAUAAAAAAUGAUUUAAGAAACAAAUGAAGCUUUAGUUGAAAUAGUAAAGAUAUUAAAAAUUAUGGUGUUUUGGAUUUGAAUCUCAUCAAGUGCAUUUUUCUAGCACGAAUGCGUGUAGAAACUAUAUAAUUAGAAUAUAAAUGUUUUUAAAAAUAAGAUACAAUAAAUAAUAAAACAUAUGAGGUGAAAUUAAUUAAUAAUGAAGCGUUAAUUGGAGUGGUAAAGUUUAAAUUCUAUACAUGUUGAUGUCAUGUGUUCAAAUUUCAUUAUUUGUAACUUUUUUAUUGGCUGUAUAUAAAAAGUAAAAGAUAAAACUAGAAGUACCCUCACAUCAUAUAAUUUAUUUUAAAUACAAAAAGAAGAAGAAGAAGAAGAAGAAGAGAACAAUUCUAUAUUUCCUUAACUAAGUUUUCCUUAAACUAGCUGGUGUCUAAUUGACUCAUAACACUAACACAGUUAGGAAUUUAAAUAAUAAGAUAGUAUAAAUUUUCAAACUAAUAUUAAAAAUAAUAAAUGCACUCUAAAUAUUUAUCAUGUUGGUGAAAAGAAAAUCAAAUAUUAAAAAUUAAAUUAUAAAAAAUUCAGUAUUGAGUUGAGUAACUCAAUCAAUGAAAUUAUGUAUACUAGUUCUAUAGCACACUUGUAUUGUGGGUGAAAAAAAAGGCGGAUGAAAAUAAUAUAUUUGUAAACAUUUUAUAUUAAAUAAAUGUUUGAAAUUUAUGUGACUUAAGUUCAAAUCCUAUCAUGAUAUUUUUAUUUAAAAAUAUGAAAAGACAAAAACAUUUUCAAAAUAUUAUAAAUUACUUUAUAAAAUGAGGACAUUUUUAUCUUUUUUUUCAACUGCAAGUUGAUAUUUGGUUAACCUAUGAUUGAAAUAUAUAAAAAUAUAAAAUAAAAUUUAAUAAUAUUAUAUUUUACUUUUUAUAAAUACUAGUAUCAUGGGUUGAAAUUUAAACAUAUAUAAAUUUUAUAUUGAUUUUAUUAAAAAUGUAAAAGGACAAAAAUAUUUUUGUAAAAAUAUCAUUUAUUUUAAAUAUGUAAGAAUAAUUUAAUAAUUUUUCAAAUAAGUUAAUAUCUAAUUAACUUGUGACACCUAUUCAAAUAAAAUAGGCAUAAUGUAAAAAAUAACCCCUAACUUUUGACGUUUGUUCACUUUGGUCCUUUAUCUUUUUUUUGGAGCACUUUAACCCCUAAUGUUUUUUUUUUGUCAAAUCGGUCUAUUUUUAAUGGACAAGUUGACGUUGCCAUUAAAUGUUUAACAACGUUUGUAAUACACUAUUUUGCCCGGGUCUAAAAAGGCCCAAAUUACAAGCAAGCCUAUAUGGCCCAAAAUGAAAUAAAACAAGGACCCAAAUUGCAGUGGCCCAAAAUCAUCAGAAACCCUAGGGUUUCUAAUCUUCAGCCGCAGCAACCAUGCCCUCCGAAUCUCCACGUGCUCGUAUCUGCACAGCAAAAAAAGAAGCAAAGCAGCAUAUGGUAAGAAAAUAUUAAAAUCAAAUCAAGCAGAUACCAGAAGAUUUCUUUUUAUUUUUUCUUGUUUCACGAUUGCUAUAAAAGCAAUCUUAAGAUACUGUAAAUGUGGAUCGAAAAAUCAAUAAAAACGAAUAUUUCAUAACAAAAAGAGUAGAGAAUACAACGAGAUCAAAAAAAUCAAAUAUCGGAGGUUAACAUCUAUUUUCUUGCUUCGUUUCAAGAUUUUUCUUUCGUUUUUUAUUUUUUACAUGCGAAAAUAAAAUAAAAAGGGAAAAAGAAAACGACUCACCUUCGUUUGAGUCUGAAACGUCACUAAGACUGUAGAGGGAGCCACCCCCGAGGAUCGGUGGCCGGAAACCGAAAGGUUUCUUGCCUGCUUUGAGGAUUUUUGAUGGUAUUUUGGUGUUUUCGAGCCCGGAUUUGGGUUUAAAGGGGCCAGAAAAGCCGAAUAGGGGAUUUUCCCCUUUUCUGGCCACAGCAGACGGCGGUGCUGUCGUCGGAGGCUGGCGGCCGGCAUGGUGGCCGACAAUCGGCCGGUGCCCGGACCCUGGCCAGACGAUGAAGGAGGGGAGAGCUUUUUGAAAGUUUUUUUUUUUUUUUGUUUUUUAAGAAAAGGCUUAAAAUGAAAUUUUUUAGGGAGAGUCAGUGGCUUAAAUAGCCCUUCAAAACGGCGUUGUUUUGGGCAUGGGUUGACUCGACUCCGACCCGGCCUAGGAUCCGCGUGUUUUUAAGCGGAGGGGUAAAUUGUGCUUUUAGCCCCUCCGCCUCUUAAUGUUUUACAAUUGAGUUUUUUUUUAAUUUAUCCCUUCAAUUUUUUUCGAUUUCAGUUUAAUCCUAUUUGAACGAUGCCGUUUUGAAGGGGAAGGGAUAAUUUUCUUUCCAGCCCCUCUGAAUUAUUGGCGUAUUCAAUAGGGUCCUCCAGUCUUCAAUUAUUUGCAAAUUUGCCCCAGAUUUUUGUCUACAGUUCAAUUUAGUUUUUUUCUUUAUUUUUUUAAUUAAUUAAUAAUGUAAUUAUUUUAUAUAUAUAUGUAAUUAUUUUUUUAAAUUUUUUUUUCAAAAAUCUAUAUAUGUAUAUAUUUAUUAUUUAUAUAUGUGCACAUGAGUAUAUAAUUUUUUUCUAACAAAUAUCUUUUUAUUUAUAUAUAUACGUAUAUAUAUAUUUUUAAAAUGCUCAAAUAUACAUUAUUUUUUACACAUAUUUUACAAUAUAUAUGUUUAUAUAUUUCUUUUUAUAAAUGCGUUAUAUAUAAUCUGUUAUAUAAAUUCUAUAAUCCAAAUUUUAUAUGUAAAUCCAUGUUUUUUUUUCCAUAAUUUCAACAUGCAUAUUAUAUGCACACUUUAUAUUCUUUAUUGUUUACUCUUUUUUAUUUUAUAAGAUUUUUUAUUUCCCUCACUCGUUUAUUCAUUUGCGUUUUCAUUUAUAUUCUAAAGAAUGUUUUUAUUUUGUUCAUUUAUUUGAUAUUUCGCAUGUCAUUAUUUUUAUUAUGUACAUUAUUUUCGUUUAUUUAUUUGUUUAUCUUAUUUCUACGCCAUAGUUAUAUUUAUUAUUGUAUUUUACAUUUAAUAUAACAUUACAUCAUCUUUUUACUCGAACUUAAAAACAUAAAAUUUUCAAAAUAGAGAUAAUACUCGUAUUUAGGAUUUUUCAAGAAAAUUGAGCCCUAACGUAUUGGGUUCCAAUUUUCUUCGUUAAAUCUAACAAUCGAGAAUUGCUCUUUAAUCAAAAAUAAAAUGAAAGGCUUGUCGUCGGAAAUUCAAUAUGUUGUGUCCUAAUGCAUUGGAUGUGACAUGUUGAUUUCUCGAGAUAAAGAUUUUUUUUAAAAAAAAAUUAAUAAAGGAAAUAUUCAAUGUUUGGGAUUUUAAGGGAUUGUGCCCUAAUGUAUUGGGCUGCGAUUUCUUCAUAAAUUUUAAACAAUUGAAUAUUAUUUUAAAUUUUAUCACACAAACCUUUUGGACAAACUCAUCUUGAAGAAAUAAAAUAUCGUGCCCUAACGCAUUGGGUGUGAUGUUUUCUAUUUCAAAAUGAGAGAGUCUUAAUAAAAAUUAAUUUAAUUAAGGAUCGUAUUUUUAACUCUCGACGUUAAGACAUUAAUUAAUCAAUUUGGUAUCAAUUUUUGGGCGUAACGAGGGUGCUAAUCCUUCCUCGAACGUAACUGACUCCCGGACCCGUUUUUCUAAAAAACUCGUAGACCAAAGUUGUUUUGGGUGAUCCAAUCACACCUUAAUAAAAGAUUGGUGGACUCCAAAUUUUCAUCGACAACUAAUUUUUGUUUUUUUCAAAAAAGAUAAAAUGGUUUUGACAGCUUGGAGACUCCACUGAGGACUUUAAAAAAAUAAGAGAGUCGAGCCACAAAGUUGAUUAAUUUUUGUCUUAUGGUCGAAAAAUAAAUUUUAAAAUUCAUAAGAUCCUUUUGCAUUCAUUAUUUUCCUGUUUAAUUGAUCUAAGUAUUUUAGUUAUUUUUGCAUUAUACAUUACAUGAGUUGAACGAUUUUACCCUCUAAGUGGGAGUGAGAAACUAUUCUUUCGUGAGGUUGUCACCUCCAUAUAGGAUAGUAGAUCACUUUCGGGAUACAUAUGUACCUAUGCCUUGGUGAGAUUUUCAUCUCCCUAUAGUCAUAAGGAAAAUGUAUCCCCCUGAGCCGAACUUGAUCUAUAUGAGCCUAUAAUGGGUGAAGAUCGAGGAAUCUGCUGGUUUGGGUACCUUAGCCCUAGAAGCCGAACUUCAAAUAAUGAACCUUAGGAAUCCACCUUAGGUAGAACUACACUGAACCUUAGUAGAUAUCCGAUUAGGUAUUUUACUAUUUCUUAAUUAUAUUCUAUGUUUAUAUGAUACUGACUUUUCGUGUUUUAUUUUGAUUGCAUGACAUGACAUUUCAUUUCAUCAUAAAAGGCGUCGGUUCAUAUUCAGUUGCUAGAUAGAAAGCUUAUAAUGGAAAAAGGGUUUCUUGAUAAAGUGGAAGAUAAUGCGGCUGUCCGAACUUGCUCUGAAACAAUACAGCGAGAGAAAGGCGAUAGUUUGGCUGAUGGAUAUGUAUCGAAAUUAUGAGACUUUACUCACAUCAGUGUAACUCAAAACAAUCUGCAAGAGUUGAGGGAAAUCUGGGAUCAGUGGAAUGACGAGGUUAGACAGCUAUUUUAUAAUAAUUAUGGGAAUUUGCCUUAUUUACUUGAUGUGAAGGUAGACAAGCACUUGUUUCGAGCCCUCGCUCAGUUUUAGAAUCCUACUUACAACUGCUUCACAUUUGGAAAGGUCGAUUUGGUGCCUACGAUAGAAGAAUAUGUGGCUUUACUCCGAUGUUCAAAGUUUCAAAUAGACAAGGUCUACUCGAGAGCUGUAAAUGUGCCAACCUUUUCGAAGAAGAUGAUGAAUAUAAUAGGGAUGAGUGAGCAAUAGGUUAUUACACGGAUUAAGAAAAAGGGGGAUAGCAAGUGCAUUCCUUGGAAGAGUUUGAAAAAUUUAAUUCUAACACACCCAGAUGUGAGGAAGAGGUUAGACGUCUUUGCUUUGAGUAUAUAUGGCUUAGUUGUCUUCCCUAAAGCUAUGGGACAUGUUGAUGAAGCAGUCACUGAUUUAUUUGACCAGCUUGAUAAGAUGGUUACACCAAUUUUGGCAAUUUUGGCAUAAACCUUCAGGCCAUUGAGUGCAUGCCGAAAAGUGGGAGAAGGUAGAUUCAUUGGAUGUGCACAGCUCCUACUUGCAUGGUUUCACAACCACUUUUGGAAGGUUGAUAGGGUUUCGUACCAGGUUUUCUCUGAAAAUUAUUCGCCACUAAAGGAGAUUGUAACCACACCGAGGAGAGACAACAUUUCGGAGGAGAAGUGGAUGGCAAUUCUUCAGAAUCUUCAAGAAGAAGACAUCGAGUGGAGAGCUCUUUGGUUGCUUCUAGAUGAGAUCCUGUAUAGAUGUGGUAAUUUUGAUUGGGUUCCUCUGCUUGAAAUUUAGGGAGCUGUUGGAUAUAUCCCAUUGCUAGUGCUAAGGCAGUAUAGGUCAAGGCAAUUUAUACCUGCGACCCAAGGAAUGGAUGAGUGUGAAUUCUCAUACAGGGAUGAUGGUUAUAGGAAAAUGAUUCAAGAGAUGUCUAGUGUAUGGAAACAGACUCGCCGAAUGAAGAGGUUAGCUGUGGGUCCGAUAACAACUCCUGAGUAUAAUGAAUGGUGGGUUAGGAGGAUCAAUGAGAAUACACCUAAGUCAAAUCAGGAAAACAACCAGUCAAUAGAGAAAUAUUUGCGGGUCGUCCCUUCUGAGUUGGAAAUUAUAAGACAAGAUUUUGAAAGAAGAAAUGCGGAUUUAGAAAAGAAGAUAGAACAAAUGGAGGAAGAGAAGGUGAGCUUAAUAUUAAACAUAGACGUUCAAAAGCUCGAAACUGAGAAAUUAAGAAAAGGGAAAAACAAGGUCGAAGAGUAGUUGGAUAGUUUGAAGAUAGAUUAUAAAAUGUUGCAUCUGUCAAUGAGAACUGCUGGGCUGGGAAAAACUUCAGAACAGUGGCGAGCAGAAAUUCGAGAAGAAAAGGACAAAGUUGAUAGAUGGGAAUAGAAAUUCCAAGAGGUUCAGACACGAAAUGAUGCUUUAGAGAAUAGUUUGUCAGAAAGCCAAAAGGAAAAAGGCGAGUUAAAGGACAGGGUGACCGAGUUGGAAAGAUCUCUUCGUCAAUAUCGAAAUCGAAACUCUGCAAUAGAAUUGAGAGCAAGCUUAAGCAAGAUUGAGAAAAUGAAAAAAAGAAUAGAAGAGUUAGAAAUGACAUUGCAAAAUUGUGAGAUCCGGAUCGAGUGCUUGGAGGCAAUUGAAAGUCGUAAUAACGAACAGCUUCACUACUUUCAGAAUCAAGUUAGGAGCAGAUAUCAUAUUAUGGAGGAAGCUGUGGUCCAGAUUCGUGAAGUAGCCGAUCACAUACAGACUUUAGCAGUGCAGGCCGACAUGUUAAGUGUGAAGUAUGAAUUAGAAUCGGAUCGGGGGCAAGAGUUAGCUUUGUUACUUAGGAAUAUUAGAAUUCUGAGUAAUAAGACAAAGCUUUAUUUGUAAUUCACUUUAUGUAAAGAAAUUUAAUUUCUAAUAAAGUUUUCUGAAAUGGAAUUGAAUCAAAAUUGACGCCUUUUUGCAUUCAUUUCAUGCAUUUUAUUUGCUUCAUAUGCAUUAAAAAAGAUUAAAAGAUUCUAAUUAAUUUAAAUCACUCCUCAGUUAAUCUGGAAACCAACCAACCCGCCAAACACCACUACGAUACUCGAUCAAAAACUAAAGACAUGGACCAAAUGAUGGAAAGGCUAAGACAAUUCCAAAAAGAAAUGUAAGAUCAGCUUCAACAACAAAUAAAAGAGAAACUCGAAAAGAUUCAGCAAAAAAUGAUGGAUAAAAUGAUGGAAUCUCAGGGGAAUAUGAUGACUCAAUUAACUCAGUUGUUAACUAGGGGAGCAGAUAAAGGAAAGGGCUCUGUGCUCAAUGUUGAAGAAGGAGACAGUGAGGGACCCAUUUAUCCCCUAGGCUUUACCCUUCAGCAUGUUGAGGUAUAUCCGCGCAAAUCUUCUGUCACCAUCCAGCCUCAGCAGUUUCAGGCCGGUGUUACAACACCAAUGAAUUUUCAGGCUGGAUCAGGCUCUAAUCCCGGAGAUAACCUUGUCAAUCCUAUUGUCCUUGAUUCGAUGAAACAGUUGGAAGAGAGAAAAUGAAGGAUGAAUUGCCAAAAUAGCUCGAAGAAAAGUAUAAAUGGCCGGAGGAAAAAUUUAGAGCGCUGAAAAGUACUAAGAGCUACCAUGGGAUUGACGCUAAAGAAUUGAGCUUGGUUCUAGAUUUAGUACUCCCUUACAAAUUCAAAAUGCCCGAGUUUGAGAAGUACAAUGGAACUAGUAGCCUCGAAGCCCAUAUUACCACGUUUUGUAGGCGGAUGACUGGGUAUGUUAAUAACGACCAGCUGUUGAUACAUUGUUUUCAGGAUAGCCUCACAGGGGCAGCAUCCAAGUGGUACAUUGUUUUCAGGAUAGCCUCACAAAUGAAACUAGUAGCCUCGAAGCCCAUAUUACCACGUUUUGUAGGCGGAUGACUGGGUAUGUUAAUAACGACCAGCUGUUGAUACAUUGUUUUCAGGAUAGCCUCACAGGGGCAGCAUCCAAGUGGUACAAUCAACUGAGUCGUAUCAAGGUUAAUUCAUGGAGAGAUUUAGCACAUGCAUUCAUAAAGCAGUACAAUCAUGUAACCGACAUGAUACCUGAUAGAAUCACUCUACAAAACAUGGAAAAAAAGCCCGGUAAAAGUUUUAGGCAAUAUGCACAGAGGUGGAGGGAGGUUGUCGUCCAAGUUCAACCAUCUUUUCUAGAAAGAGAGAUGACAAUGCUUUUCGUUAACACGUUGAAAGCCCCAUUUAUUACACAUAUGUUAGAAAGUGCUACUAAAAGCUUUUUUUGACAUAGUUAUGAAUGGUGAAAUGAUAGAAAAUGCUAUCAGAAGCGGGAAGAUAGAUGCUGGAGAAAGAAGUAGAAGGUCGGCCUCGAAGAAGAAGGAAAAUGAGGUUAACAACACAAGUUCAUAUAGCAAGGGGUAUUCAAAGACGAUUACGGUGAAUCAGUUGGGAAAAGUGGCUGUUAACCAACAAUGAUCAUCAAAACAAGGAUCUGACACAAGACAAAAUACGGAGAAGCUUCAAUUUACACCAAUUCCAAUAUCGUAUAAGGAGCUGUAUCAGAAUCUAUUCAAUGCAAACAUGGUUUCCCUUCACUACUUGAAACAUCUGCAGCCUCCGUACCCCAAGUGGUAUGAUGCAAAUACACAAUGCGAUUAUCACGCGGGAAUCGUGGGACAUUCCAUAGAACAUUGUACGGUGUUCAAAAAGCUGGUUGAAAGACUAAUAGGCAUGGGCAUUGUUAAAUUGGAUGAUUCGUCCAGUACAGAGAAUUCGUUACCUAAUCAUAAUGAUAAUGGAGUGAACAUGAUAGAUUGGAACAUUGGUAGAAAAAUCAAGGAAGAUAUCGCAGAAGUGAAAAUUCCUUUAAGAUGGGUCUGGAAGAAGACAGUAGAAAAGGGGUUGUUUGUCUUAGAUCCUGAAAGAAGCUGUGGAGGGAAAAACUACUGUGAGUUCCAUCACGAGGAGGGACACGAUAUUCAAGAGUAUGUAGAAUUCAGGGCCUUAGUUCAAGGCAUGAUGGAUGACAAGGAGGUGGAGUUCUACGAAGAGGUUAAGAAAGAAGGAAGUUUAUGCGCAUCUGAAUCAAUGAAGGUUCCAAAAGUAACUCAUCCUGUAGUUAUCAUCUCACGACCAAAGAAUGAUGAAGUGAGAACACCAGCAAUGCCAAAGAUCAUAAUUAAGAAACAAACAACCUUUUCUUACCAAGAUAGUAGGAAAGUUUCGUGGAACUACGAGUGCAAUACAACUGUCUCUGGAAAGGAUAUUAUAGAGGAUCAAGGUAUAGGUGUUUAUCCAGAACCUGUGAAAGGAAGGGCCAUAACAGUGGAACAAAAGAAGGGGAAAAUAGCGGAGCCUGUGUUAUCCAUCAACGAGCCAGUGAAAGAGGAAGAAGCUGUGGAAUUCCUCAAAUUUUUGAAGCACAGUGAGUAUAAUGUCGUCGAACAGUUGCAUAAACAACCGGCUCACACAUCUGUACUAGUCUUACUCUUGAAUUCAGAAGUACACCGAAGUGCGUUGAUGAAGGUGCUAAACGAGACCUAUGUGGCCAACGAUAUUUCUGUCAGCAAAUUGGAUCGGUUGGUCAAUAAUAUCAGUGCUGAUAAUUUCAUAUUCUUCAAUGAUGAUGAAAUACCACCUGGGGGCAUGGGGUCUACUAAGGCUUUGCAUAUAACUACACGAUGCAAGGGGUAUACUUUGCCAGGAUUGUUGAUUGACAAUGGAUCAGCUUUGAACGUGUUGCCAUUAUCCACACUUAACAGGCUUCCCAUAGACAGCUCCUUCAUGAAAACAUGCCAAAAUAUAGUGAGGGCGUUUGACGGUAUAGUGAGAAAGGCAUGGGAAGAAUUGAGAUACCCUUAUUGAUUGGCCCAACAGUUUAUAAGGUGGAUUUUCUUGUGAUGGACAUCAGACCCUCCUACAAUUGCUUAUUAGGGAGACCAUAGAUACAUUCAGCGGGGGCCGUACCGUCAUCUUUACAUCAGAAAUUAAAGUUAGUGUUAGAAGGUCGGCAGGUGACAAUAAAUGCCGAAGAGGAUAUUAUAGCGGCUGUAUCUAAUGAGGCGCCGUAUGUGGAGACUAAUGACGAGUCGGUGGAAUGCUCGUUCCGAUCUCUGGAGUUUGUAAAUGCAAUAUUUGUUCUUGAAUGGAGCAAAAUUCUGGUGCCUAAAAUAUCCAAAACUACAGAGAUGGGUUUGCAAUUGUUGGUAGGGAACAGAGCUUUACCCAAAAGAGGAUUAGGGAAAUACCUUCAAGGGAAAAUUGAGGUUCCAGUGCUGAAAGAAAAACAAGACAACUUUGGCUUAGGGUACAAGCUAGAUAGAGGACAGAAAAAGAAGAAGUUAAAAAGAAGGCAAGAAAGAAGAAGGGCGCGUUUAAGGGGGGAAGAAAUUAAAUGGGAGCCAAUGAUAAUUCCCCAUAUAUCCAAAACCUUCGUAUCUGGAGGGAUCAUUCAUUUUGAGAGAAAUAUACUGAUUGAGGAAAGCAUCAAAGAGACAUUGGAAAAUAUGCACAUCAAUGCCCUAAAUGAGGAUGCAAAUGAAGAGAUAAGCUUGUUAAACAUUUGUCCUUAUGAACCUUGGAGUGUUCUAAAUAAUUGGACUGCGGAAGAAAUACCUGAAGUAUUUAGAACUGUCUCAGAGUAAUAUUCAGAGCAAACUUGUUGUUUUAGCCUAGAAAUAAUAAGAACUCUUUUGUGUAAAAAGCUUAUGUUCAAAUAUCAUUAUUUUAAUAAAAUACAUCUUUGCAAUUGUCUCAAGCAAAUAUUCUUUCCAUACGAGUAAAUAUAUUAAAUUAUUCCUUCAUUUAUAAUCAUAUUGCCCAAAUAAUUGUACAUAAAUUCAUGCAUUCUCUUGUAACCAUAUUAGGUUCCUGUAUAUCAAUGACGUGAAUGACGCUGCUACAAACUCAAAAUUUCCUCUUGAAUGAAACAUGUGUUUAGAGGGAUCGUAGGACUUUAAAUGUGACGUAGAUGGUGGUUUAUCUUUGGACUUGUUGAGAAUGGUAGAACAGAAAGAAAAACAAAUUCUACCUCACAAGGAAGUAAUAGAAGUUGUGAGCUUGGAAGAAGGGAAAGAGGUGAAAGUUGAAACUGAGAUUUCCGCAAAGACAAGACGAGACCUCAUUGAACUACUCCAAGAAUUCAAAGAUGUCUUCGCAUGGUCAUACCAAGAUAUGUCCGGGUUGAGCACUGACAUUGUAGUGCAUCGCCUACCUAUAAGGGAGGAUUGUAAGCCAGUUCAAUAGAAGCUAAGAAGAAUGAGGUCUAAUAUUGUGCUUAAAAUAAAAGAGGAAGUUAAGAAGCAGUUUGAUGCUGGGUUUUUACAGGAGGUCAAAUAUUCUGAAUGGGUAGCCAACAUCAUUCCAGUCCUUAAAAAAGAUGGAAAUGUACGAAUGUGCAUGGAUUAUAGAGAUUUGAACAAAGCAAGCCCAAAAGACAAUUUCCCAUUGCCACAUAUUGAUACUUUGGUGGAUAAUACGGCAGGGUAUUCACUGUUCUCUUUCAUGGAUGGUUUCUUAAGAUAUAAUCAGAUAAAGAUGCAUCCUGAAGAUAUGGGAAAGACUACAUUUAUUACUUUGUGUGGAACAUUUUGCUAUAAAGUGAUGCCAUUCGAAUUAAAGAAUGCGGGAGCAACAUAUCAGAGAGCCAUGGUAGCCUUGUUCUAUGACAUGAUGCACAAAGAGAUUGAAGUUUAUGUAGAUGAUAUGAUUACCAAAUCUGGAAUAGAGGAGAAACAUGUGUAGGUCCUGAGAAAAUUGUUCUUAAGACUAAGAAAGUUUCAACUCAAACUUAAUCCAACAAAAUGCACUUUUGGAGCCAGGUCAGGGAAGUUGUUGGGCUUCAUAGUCGGUGAGAAAAGAAUCGAGAUUGACCCGAACAAAGUCAAGGCAAUACGAGAUUUACUGCCCCCACGUACUCAGAAAGAGGUUCGAGGUUUCUUAGGAAGACUGAAUUAUAUUGCUCAGUUCAUUUCACAGUUGACCGAGAAAUGUGAUCCCAUAUUUCAUCUUCUGAAGAAACAUAAUCUAGGUGUUUGGAAUGAAGACUGCCAGGAAGCUUUUGAAAAGAUAAAAUAAUACUUAUCCAAUACUCUAGUACUGUCACCACCUAGCCCGAAUAGACCAUUGAUUCUGUAUUUAAUGGUGUUUGACAGUUCCAUGGGAUGUGUGUUGGGUCAGCAUGAUGAGACUGGAAAGAAGGAAAAGGUGAUAUACUAUCUCAGUAAGAAAUUCACUGAUUGUGAAAUGAGAUAUUCACUUAUUGAAAAAUUAUGUUGUGCCCUGAUUUGGACGAAAAAAGAUUGAGGCAAUACUUGCUCUACCAUACAACUUGGCUGAUUUCAAAAUUAGACCCUUUAAAGUAUAUGAUGGAGUCAACUGCGUUGAACGGGAGAAUGGCUAGAUGACAAAUUUUGCUCUCUGAGUUCGAUAUAGUAUAUGUAAGACAGAAAGCCAUCAAAGGGAGUGCGAUAGCAGAUUUCUUAGCUAGUAGAGCUUUAGAAGAUUAUGAGCCUCUAGACUUUGAUUUCCCGAAUGAAGACUUGAUGUGUGUGGCAAAUACUGAAGAGGGUCCUUAAGAAAAUCAUUCUUGGAGGUUAAACUUUGAUGGAGCUUCGAAUGAGUUAGGCAAUGGGAUUGAGGCAAUCUUGGUAUCUCCAAAUGGGGAUCAUCAUCCUUUCACUAGUAAAUUGGACUUUGAUUGCACCAACAACAUGGCCGAAUAUGAAGCUUGCAUCAUAGGAGUCCGGGCAGCCAUAGAGCGGAAAAUUAAGACAGUUGAAAUAUAUGGAGAUUCAACAUUAGUAAUAUACCAGCUAAAAGGGGAAUGGGAAACAAGAGACCCCAAGUUAAUCCGUUAUCGGAGAUUGGUUCUAGAAUUGAUUGAAGAAUUUGACAAUAUUACCUUUUAUUAUCUCCCACGGGAAGAAAAUCAGAUGGCUGAUGCUCUGGCUACUUUAGCCUCCAUGAUUAAAGUGAGAUUAAAGUGAACAGAUUAAAGGACAUGAAGCCCAUUCAAAUUAGUAUUUAUGAGAUCCCGGCCCACUGCUACAGUAUUGAAGAAGUGGAGAAUGAUAAUCGUCCCUAGUACCAAGACAUAUUGCAUAUGUGAAGAAUCGCGAAUAUCUUAAUCAGGCAACGGAGAAUGAUAAGAGGAAAUUGAGGAGACUAGCUAUCGACUAUGUCUUAGAUGGAGAGAUUCUAUACAAAAGGGGAAAGGAUCAAGUACUGUUGAGAUGCGUGGAUGCUGUAGAGGCUAAGGAAAUUUUAGAAGAAGUCCAUGACGGUAUUUGUGGAACACACGCCAAUGGAUUCACCAUGGCUAGACAGAUCAUUAGAUUCGGAUAUUACUGGUCCACCAUGGAAGGAGAUUGCAUCAAUUAUGCCAAGAAGUGCCAUAAAUGCCAAAUUUAUAGAGAUAAAAUGCACGCGCCUCCUUCACCUUUUCAUGUUAUGACUUCUACAUGGUCUUUCUCCAUGUGGGGGAUGGAUGUCAUUGGGCCAAUAUCGCCAAAGGCUUCUAAUGGAUAUCGUUUCAUUUUUGUAGUUAUUUACUACUUCACUAAGUGGGUAGAAGUAGCCUCAUAUGCUAAUGUCACGAAGUCAGCAGUUAGUAAGCUUUUGAAGAAAGAGAUCAUAUGUCGAUAUGGAAUGCCUGAAAGAAUCAUAUCUGACAAUGCGUUGAAUCUGAAUAACAGCACAAUAGCGGAAGUCUGCAACCAGUUCAAGAUUAGACACCAUAAUUCAUCAUCGUAUCAUCCAAAAAUGAAUGGUGCAGUAGAGGCGGCCAACAAAAAUAUCAAGAAAAUUAUGGCGAAAAUGGCUGAAACUUACAAGGAUUGCCAUGAGAAGUUACCAUUCGCUCUUCUUGCUUACCGAACAUCUAUCAGGACUUCUAUUGGGGCAACGCCUUUUUCUUUGGUUUAUGGGAUGGAGGCAGUUUUACCCAUUGAAGUUGAAAUCCCUUCUCUCCAGGUAUUGGCUGAGUUAAAGUUGGAUGAGGCUGAAUGGAUCCAAUCUCGGUAUGAUCAGUUGAAUUUGAUAGAGGAAAAAAGACUAAAAACUAUUCGUCACAGUCAAAUGUACCAAAAACGAAUGAUGAGAGCAUAUAACAAAAAGGUCCGUCCUAGAGAAUUUCAUGAGGGGGACUUGGUGUUAAAGAAAAUCCUCCAUUUACAAAAGAAUUUCAGAGGGAAAUGAAUGCCAAACUGGGAAGGACCUUAUGUUGUAAAAAAGGCUUUCUCUGGAGGUGCUUUGAUUUUGAGUGAAAUGGAUGGCAAAAAUUUACCGAAUCCUGUAAAUUCAGAUUCGGUCAAGAAAUAUUUCACUUGAAAAGUAAGAAUCAAAGUGAAAACCCGCAAAGGGCGCUUUAAAAAAAAGAGAGGCCAAUGUGAAAACUCGCAAAGGGCGCCUUGAGACCAAAGGGAAUUUGAGUUGAAAACCCGAAAAGGGCGGCUCAAACAUUGGUCAGAAUGGGGCAUGUGGUGAUCUUGCUAUACCUAAAUCAACAAGAAAAGGAUAUGCGACAUCUUGGGGCAUCGACGAAGUAUUGUAGAUCUCCUAAACACAUGUUAAAUUCAAAAUGGUUCUUAGUUUGCACGGAGAAGUUCAAGCUGCGAUAUCCAAGGCACCUAGUCUUCAUAAUACUUGUAUUGAAUUUGUUUGUUCUUGCGAUACUUCAUUCUUUUCUGUUCUUGAAUACUUUUUCUUUUCAAGACAUUUGCUAUCAAUAAAUUCCUUUUCUAUUAUUCGAGUUAUGCCCUGAAUUAAUUCCUUUCUUAGUCAGUAUUUUUGAUCUUUAUGCAAGCAUGUCGCAUUAAAAUAAUGAUUGAUGGACUAAUAAACAUUCACGAAAAGAGUUUUGCAUAUUACUUUGGAAAUUUCUAAAAAUUUAGUAACCUGAAACAGGAUUAUUGUUUAGAACGCACCAAGCUUAAAAAUUGAAAUGUCCAAGAAAGAAAAAGUCUAAAUUAAGACUGUUCUUUUGGAUUUUGUUGUCUAAAUAUUAAUUGAAUGAGAUGACAAGAAGUCUGGCUUGGUGACAAAGCUUCAAUCACCAAGGAGUAAGAAGAAAUUCCCUUUGGAAAAAAAACCCUUCAUUUGUGCAUGAGCAUUUGGUAUGGCACCCUGGGAAUGAUGUAAAAGAGUUUCAUGAUCUGCAUCUUUGAAUUACGAUAGGAGAGGAUUGAGAAAAGCCAAAUUUUUUCUACCAUUCGGUUACAGUGGAAGAAAGAUGGUACAAAUUUUGCGUCCCGAUAGAUUGAACUUUGAGGUUUACAGCGGGGGUAAUCAAACUAAGUGUUUCUUUAAAAACGCCAGCUGAUCAGGAGGGCGUUGUAACACGUCAGUGAUAAAGCAUUAAUAAAAUUUGAGCAAUGAUAACCUAAGUGAUAAAGGAGGAUCAUUCUGGAAAAAAUGACAUUCUGCAUUCAUUCAAAUGUCAUUCAUACACGUCUAGUUAGGAGCAUUUGAUUUAUUCUGAUCAUGACAUCCUAAUCAAUAGACAUAAUUAGAUUCAUGAAUUGAAUUAUACAGGUCAUGUUCCCCAAAGAACAAACCAGUGAAAUUCCAGCCUUGUCUCCCUGAGCAGCAAUGGAGUAGGUUAAAAUAGCAGAUCUUGUUUGCCUGUAUUGACAGCGAAGUAGAUCGAAGAUACCAGCCUUGUCUCCCUGAGCAGCAGUGGAGUAGGUUGAAAAUAACAGAUCUUGCCUUCCUGUACUGGCAGUGAAGCAGAUAGAAGACAUUAGUCUUAUCGUGGAGCGGAUUGAAGCUGUGGGCAGCGAAUCCUAUCUCUUUGGCAUUACAGUGGAGCAGAUUAAGGCCACAACGGUGAAUCUUACUUCCCUGGCGGUGUAGUGGAACAGAUUGAAGCUACGACAGCGAAUCUUGUUUCCCCAACAUUGCAAUUUAAAAGACUGAAGAUGGCGAAUCUUAUCUCCUUGAAGUUGCAGUGGAGCAUAUUAAAGCUAAUAAUCUUAUCUCCCUGAAGUUGUAGUGGAGCGGAUUAAAAUCACAAUUCUUAUCUCUCUGAAGUUGCAGAGAGCAGAUCGCAUCUAGUCUUAUCUCCUUGAAGUUGCAGAGGAGUAGACUGAGUAAGCAGGUCUGAUCUCCCUGAAGUUGCAGUGGAGUAGACCCAAGAAAGCGAGUCUUAUCUUCCUGAAGUUGCAGUGGAGCAGACUCAAGAAAGCAAGUCUUAUCCCCCAGAAAUUACAGUGGGGCAAACUAAAUAAGCAAAUCCUGUCUCCCUAAAGUGGUAGUGGAUUAGAGUGAUGGAUCUUAUCUCUAUGAAAUUAUAGUAGAGCAGAUCGCAUCAAAUUCAUCUUUAAGUUGCAGCAGAUCAAGUUGAAGCUAUAAGUCUUAUCUCCCUGAAGUUGCAGUGGAGUAGAUUAAAGAUAGCAAAUUUUAUUCUCUUGAGAAACUACAACGUACGAAUCCUAUCUCUAUGGCAUUGCAGUGGAGUAGAUUGAAGCAUUCGUUCCUAUAUCUCUGAAGAUGCAGUAGGAAUGAAUGAAGUUACUUAAAGAAAAGCCCCAAAGUUCAGUACGACCAGGCAAAAUUGGUUUUUGGUCUUUGCUCUGUUCUCGUUACUUGAUAACAAGCAAAGAGGGGCAGCUAUAAUACACUAUUUUGCCCGGGUCUAAAAAGGCCCAAAUUACAAGCAGGCCUAUAAGGCCCAAAAUAAAAUAAAACAAGGACCCAAAUUACAGUGGCCCAAAAUCAUCGGAAACCCUAGGGUUUCUAAUCUUCAGCCGCCGCAACCAUGCCCUCCGAAUCUCCACGCGCUUGUACCUGCACAGAAAAAAAAGAAGCAAAGCAGCAUAUGGCAAGAAAAUAUUGAAAUCAAAUCAAGCAGAUACCAGAAGAUUUCUUUUUAUUUUUUCUUGUUUCACGAUUUCUAUAAAAACAAUAUUAAGAUACUGUAAAUGUGGAUCGAAGAAUCAAUAAAAAACGAAUAUUUCAUAACAAAAAGAGCAGAGAAUACUAGAUCAAAAAACAUCAAAUAUUGGAGGUUAACAUCUAUUUUCUUGCUUCGUUACAAGAUUUUUCUUUCAUUUUUCAUUUUUUAUUUUUUUACAUGCGAAAAUAAAAUAAAAAGGGAAAAAGAAAACGACUCACCUUCGUUCGAGUCUGAAACGUCACUGAGACGGUAAAGGGAGCCACCCCCGAGGAUCGGUGGCCGAAAACCGAAAGGUUUCUUGCCUGCUUUGAGGAUUUUUGUUGGUAUUUUGGUGUUUUCGAGCCCGGAUUUGGGUUUAGAGGGGCCGGAAAAGCCGAAUAGGGGAUUUUCCCCUUUUCCGGCCACCGCAAACUGCGGUGCCAUCGCUGGAGGCCGGCGGCCGGUGCGGUGGCCGACGAUCGGCCAGUGCCCAGACCCUGGCCGGACGAUGAGGGAGGGGAGAGCUUUUGAAAGUUUUUUUUUUGUUUUUUUUAAAAAAAGGCUUAAAAUGAAAUUUUUGGGGGAGAGUUAGUGGCUUAAAUAGCCCUUCAAAACGGAGUCGUUUUGGGCAUGGGUUGACCCGACUCUGACCCGACCCAGCCUAAGAUUCGCGUGUUUUUAAGCGGAGGGGUAAAUUGCGCUUUUAGCCCCUCCGCCUCUUAAUGUUUUACAAUUGAGUUUUUUUUAAAAUUUAUCCCUUCAAUUUUUUUUAUUUCAAUUUAAUCCUAUUUGAACGACGCCGUUUUGAAGGGGAAGGGAUAAUUUCCUUUCCAGCCCCUCUGAAUUAUUGGUGUAUUCAAUAGGGUCCUAUAGUCUCCAAUUAUUUGCAAAUUUGCCCCUGAUUUUUGUCUACAGUUCAAUAUAGUUUUUUUCUUUAUUUUUAAUUAAUUAAUAAUGUAAUUAUUAUUUUUAUAUAUAUGUAAUUAUUUUUUUUAUUUUUUUUCAAAAAUCUAUAUAUGUAUAUAUUUAUUAUUUAUAUAUGUGCACAUGUGUAUAUAAUUUUUUUCUAACAAAUAUUUUUUUAUUUAUAUAUAUAUACACGUAUAUAUAUAUUUUUUUUAAAAUGCUCAAAUAUACAUUCUUUUUUACACAUAUUUUAUAAUAUAUAUGUUUAUAUAUUUCUUUUUAUAAAUGCGCUAUAUAUAAUUUGUUAUAUAAAUUCUAUAAUCCAAAUUUUAUAUGUAAAUCCAUGUUUUUUUUCCAUAAUUUCAACAUACAUAUUAUAUACACACUUUAUAUUCUUUAUUGUUUACUCUUUUUUAUUUUAUAAGUUUUUUUAUUUCCCUCACUCGUUUAUUCAUUUGUGUUUUCAUUUAUAUUCUAAAGAAUGUUUUUAUUUUGUUCAUUUAUUUGAUAUUUCGCAUGUCAUUAUUUUUAUUAUGUACAUUAAUUCGUUUAUUUAUUUGUUUAUCUUAUUUCUACGCAAUAGUUGUAUUUAUUAUUGUAUUUUACAUUUAAUAUAACAUUACAUCAUCUUUUUACUCGAACUUAAAAACAGAAAAUUUUCAAAAUAGAGAUAAUACUCAUAUUUAGGAUUUUUCAAGAAAAUUGAGCCCUAAUGUAUUGGGUUUCAAUUUUCUUCGUUAAAUUUAACAAUCGAGAAUUGCUCUUUAAUCAAAAAUAAAAUGAAAGACUUGUCGUCGGGAAUUCAAUAUGUUGUGUCCUAAUGCAUUGGAUGUGACGUGUUGAUUUCUCGAGAUAAAGAUUUUUUUAAAAAAAAUUAAUAAAGGAAAUAUUCAAUGUUUGGGAUUUUAAGGGAUUGUGCCCUAAUGUAUUGGGCUGCAAUUUCUUCAUAAAUUUUAAACAAUUGAAUAUCCUUUUAAAUUUUAUCACACAAACCUUUUGGACAAACUCAUCUUGAAGAAAUAAAAUAUCGUACCCUAAUGCAUUGGGUGUGAUGUUUUCUGUUUCAAAAUGAGAGAGUCUUAAUAAAAAAAUUUAAUUUAAUUAAGGAUCGUAUUUUUAACUCUCGACGUUAAGACAUUAAUUAAUCAAUUUGAUGCCAAUUUUUGGGCUUAACGAGGGUGCUAAUCCUUCCUCGAACGUAACUUACUCUCGAACCCAUUUUUCUAAAAAACUCGUAGACCAAAUUUGUUUUAGGUGAUCCAGUCACACCUUAAUAAAAUAUUGGUGGCAACUCCAAAUUUUCAUCAACUAAUUUUUGUUUUUUUUUCAAAAAAAUAAAAUGGUUUCGACAACGUUGAUGUGGAAAAAUGUUUUUAUUCCACCUAAGCGCCUAACGCAUUUCACAUGUAAUUAAAAUAAAAAAUAAUUCAAAAAAAACUUUUAUUCAUUAAAAAAUAAUUAAAAAUAAAACAUAAAAUACAUAGACACUAAAAUCGUUUCAGAAAUGAGAAGGCCGAUCCUAAAAAAAAUACUUGAAUCAGAUAAUCUAAAAAAAGAGAGAGUAGAAAUUGAACCCUAAUUUGAGAAAGUAAAAAAAUUGUGCGAAAGAAAAUUACCCAAAACUUAUUAUAGAAUCGUAUUUUGAUUUUCGAUGAUAUUUAUGUGGUAUUUUUAUUUUGGGGUAUGUUUUUAAAAGUUCACUUUGAAAACAUUAUAUAUGUUAUUUUGAUUUUGGCUUAGGGUUUUGAAGGUUGGGAAUUUUGCUUUAGGAUUUUUUACUUUUGAGAUUUUGGUUUAGGGUUUUUGAUUUUUGAUAUUUUUGUUUAGGGUUUUUGAUUUUUGAGAUAUUGGUUUAGGGUUUUCUAUUUGACUACUAAUUAGAAGAGGAAUUUUGGGUAUUUUAAUUUUUUUUUUUAGAAUUUUAGAUUUGAUUACUGAAAAGAAGAGGACUUUUUGAUUUUUGGGUUUCCUAAUUUAAGGUUUUCGAUUUCUUUAAUGAUAGUGGUCAACCCCAAAAUUUAAAAAAUCUACAUGUUUCAUUAUACUUUUUGGUUCAAUGCACGAUUUUUAUCUUAGGGUUAUAAUGUUGGUUGGUGGGGGCAUUAGUUCUAGGCAUGCAGAGUUCAGUAGGUGAACUUAUUAAAAUGAUCUUUUCAUCUUUUAUUGUUGUUCUGUUAUUAUAUAUAUAAACUUUAUAAAAUUUGAUAAUAUAAUUAUUAAAUUAUCUAACUUUAUAUGCAUUUUGUAUUGUAUAUAUUAUUUAAUAUUUUGUUAACACUAGUAAAGUUGAGGUUCUCACAACAACCAAAUAGGAGGAGAUGCUCAAGAAAAUCAAUAGAAUAUUGCCACUCCCUUGAAUUUCCAAGAGGCGAUUUGUUUCUUGAGAGAAUAUCUUGAUAGUAAAUUAGAUGAAAUGAAUCUACGUAUGGAUGCUCUCACCACAAAUACAAGUCCAAGGCAUGAAGCUGGGGAAUUUGCCCAAGCACCAUGUAUGAGAAGGCGCCAUCUUGUUUGACCAUAUCAACAACAAGCCAACGUGAAAGAUUCAGAGAACAUAGGGCAAGUGGAAACCAACAACGCCAACCCGCCAAACGAUAUGCUUGAGAUGAUGAAUUCCAUCUAAAGAUAGAUCUUCAUCACUUCGAUGGUAAUUUGAGUAUUGGGGGUUUUUAGGGAUUGGCUUGCUAAAGUAGAUAGAUUUUUGAAGGGAAUAACCUUGGCUUGGUGGGAACUUUUACAAGACACAAGGCACCGUGAGGGAGAGGGACGAGUAUGGACAUGGUAUAGAAUGAAGCAAUUGUUCAAGGCUCGAUUUCCCCCAGAUUAUAAGCAAUAUCUAUUCUUGCAAUAUCAACGGUGAACCCAAGGAAACAGAUUAGUUCAUGACUACACCAUAAAGUUCAUGAAGCUUUUCAAACGCAACAAUCUGAUGAAGUCCGACAACCAGCAAGUAGCCAUAUACCUUAGUGGAUUGCAAUUUAAGACAAGGUCGGUGUGCAAACAUUGGAGAACAUGGCCAAAGCACAAAAUAUGGAAGAGAUGAUGAUGAAAGAGAAUAAGGUGGAUUAGACUAAGAAGAAUUUCUAUCAAUAUGCAUCAAGAAAUUUGGAGAAUAAUACAUCAACUGAAUACGUGCAAAUUCAAACGAAAAAAAAUCCAAUUAUGAUAAAGCAGCAAGAAAGAAGUUAGGGGAGGAGGAUCGAGACACAAACAUCACAUAUGUGGAAGAACCCAUAUGCUAAGUCGAUUGUUGGAAAAUGCUACUGGUGUAAUCUACUUGGACAUCGCUCUAGCAAUUGUCUAAAAAAAAGGAAUAUCAACAUUGUAGAAUGUGGCGACUGGGACAAAGAAAUUGAGGAAGGAAAUGAGAUAAUAUGCAAACUCAAUGGUGAUAGCAAUGGAGAAGAUUCAGGAGAUGGACAAAUUUUGGCAGUAUGAAAGCUAAUGUUGGCAUUGAAGGAUACAGAUACAACCCAAGACCGACAACAUUUCCAAACUAAUUGCACUAUUAUUGGUAACUUUUACAACUUGGUCGUUGAUAAUGGUAGCAAGGAGAACAACAUUGAGAAGAGUAGUGUUGAAAAGAUGCAUAUGCCAAGGGCGAAACCUCUGUCUGAAGAUGCUCAAUUGUUAUUUGAAGAGUUUAUGUUGCAGGAGCUGCUUGCAAAGUUUCCACCAAAAAUUAAGACAAGCUUGUUGAACCCACCAAAUUAACAAAUGAAUCCAAAAGAGAAUGCAAGAGUGGUUGCAAAAAAGACAUAUCUCAAGGAUACAGCUAACUAUAGGACGAGUUGAUUUUUAUAAGAGGUAGAGAAUUGAUAGGGGAGUGAUUCUUAUUAAUUUAUUACCUAUCCCAAAACUUGUUAUUUACUUAACAGAUAUAUUUUGUUUAUCAUUUUAUUAGUGUUAUGGUAUUGGAGAUAAAAAUUUUAAAAAUAAAAACAAUAAGAUAUAAAUAAAAAGAAGAGGAUUUCACUAUUAUUGUUUUAUGUGUGGAAUAUCGAUAACAUUUUAUUUCACAUUUUCUAACUCUUGGUGGAAUAUCAUGUAUUCAUUAUGAUUUUAGGAGGUUAAAUGACUUUUUUAUAGUUUUAAAUUUUUAAUAAUUUUUAUAAUUUAUUGGAAUUUUUAAUAUUAUUUAUAAGUUUUUAUGAUUUUUUAUAUGUUUUUAUAAACUUUUAAACAUAUUUUAUUAAUUUAUAAUUUUUUAAUAUUUAUAAGUUUAUAUAAUUUUAAUAUAUUUUAAAUACUUAAUAAUUUUUAUAAUUUUUUUUUAUUUUUAACGAUUUUUAUAACUUUUUAUAACCAUAAGCUAUCAUGUGUCACCAUUUGAUUGUUCUGUCAAUAUAUAUUAACAGUCAACACUAUCAACUAUAGAUUUCGUUAACGAAAAAGCUUAAUUGAUUGUUUUAGUUAACAGAAGAGGCUUAAUUGUGUUUGGAUUUAAUACAGGAGCUUAAUUGAUUUUUUUUUCGCAUUUUCUUAAGGGCUUUUUUGACAUAUAAACCAUUUUAUUUAUGGUGGGAUUUAAGUUAGAAUAAAUGUUGAGACAGGUUAUAUAGGGUUUAUGCAAGAUGAGAGUUAGAUAUGAAGCAUUAAGAUCUUAAAGGUUCAAUCUAUGUGAGCAGUGUCAAAUUAUCGUUAUUACAAAUUGAGAGAAAUGAAUGUCGACAGAACUCUUAACAUUUUAUUAUUAUUACUAAAAGAUGAAAAACCUAAUUACAAAUACUAAAAUAAAAAAGGUUAAAUAGUAAUCACAUAUUACAAUUUAACAUUUGAAUAAAAUUGUCCAAGUUGAUUAUAAAUACGCAGCGAUAUACAAAUGUGAAAACACUUUGGGCCUCUCAUAAGGCAUAUCAUGAAGUACAAAAGAGGUUUAGAAGCUGGCCAUUUUCUCAAAAUGGACCCAAAUCCAACAACAAUCCAAGGAAACGUUACUUGUCCCGGCCAAGAAAAGAAAACAUGGAAAUAGGAAAGGCGUUAACAGCAAGAACCCAAACUAAGCUGAUAAUAUAUAUAUAUAUAUAUAUAAUAUAGUAGUAGCAAUAGCAGUUUGCUGUUUAUUGUUCUUGUGGAAGUUAUUGAAAAAAGUAAGUGGGGGAUGAACCCAAAUCAAAUGCGUCAGCUACCGAAUCAGGAAGCGAUGGCAAUGACAUGUUCUCAAGGAAAGGGCUGUCCUGCUCUAACUCGUAUGAGUUAAAGCCCACAGACGAGUCAAACCCAUUUGAGUUUUGAUCCGAGAACCCGAACAGGCCUGUGUCAUUCCAAGCUCCAUAACCCAUAUCUGAACCAUCAACUCCCGACCCGUACCCGUAACAGGUAGAGGAGACAUCAGGAGGCAAAGGUGGCAACUCAGACGAGUUAUCCCUGAACUGUGGAGAACCACCAUUUCCAGCUUCCAUGAGCCCAGUAAUGGGCCUGUAAGACGGAACUGCAUCGCUCUCCUGGGCGGGUAAUCCGGAAUAAAACUGGCAUGCAUUGAAAGGGUCUUGAUUGAAGAAAAUCUGGUUGUGGUUAGCAUCAUUUUGAUGGUGGAAAGGGGGAUUAAUGGAAAAGAUGGAUGAAAUGUCAUGCUGGAAUUCGUCAGGGGAGAUGAUGGAGGUGACGGAUGAACCAGCUGGCAUAUCAGAAUAGACAAAGUUGGUUCGAGCCUUGGAGCCACGCAUGGAGCGAGAGGCACGGUCGUAGGCCAAGGCUGCAUCCUCCGCAGUGUCAAACGUGCCGAGCCAAUGCCUUUCUUUUGUGGAAGGGUCUCUUAUCUCCGCUGCGUAUCUACCCCAUGGUCUCCUCCUUACACCCAAGAAUCUUGUUUCCUGUUGUUGCUGUUGUUGGUGCUGAGGUUGCUGCUUUCUUUUGCUUUUAGAAGAGGAAGACUUUGAGUUGCUGAGAUCCAUGAAGACAAAGAAAUUAUUUGGAUUUGAUGGAUAGUACCUGUCUGCCUUCAGUUAUUGUGCUAUGAAGAAGAAAGUUGUAUUUCUGCCUUAGAGAGUGCAAAGGAACAAGUUUUAGUUAGAGCAAUAAUGAGAUUGCUGGUUUUCAAGGAACGAAAGAUAGUUGGUCUUGUUCAUCCGUCGUUUGCAUCUUGGGUGUUUAAAUAAGGAGAAAUAUUCAAAUGCAUUGAUUCAUGGCUUUCUAAUGAAUCCAAAGUACUAUGAGUGAGCAAUGGAUGCUAAUGAUCUUAGCUAGCGUGGGCCUUGAUUCCUUUUGGACCCUCAUACACUCGCAUGAGCACAAUUGCUCUUCAUUAUGAAUAUCACUAAAUUAAUACAGCCACUUUUCUUAUCUAAUGUGAUGAUCCCACAUGCUCGAUGUUUGAGAAUGAAAAGUAGAACAUCAAAACCUACACCGUAAAUGUCUUCUUUAACUGCAAAACUUCCUACAAACAGACCUCUAUUUAUUUAUUUUCAUCAUUUACGCCAUAUUACUUGUGUUUCCAACUUGACUAAUUAAAAGAAGAGUUAAAACCCAAUAUCAAGAGAGGAAAUGACCUGCGCGCUGCAUGCAUGAAUAUGUCAAAGAUAACAUGAGAUUAUUCAGGUGAUAAUUGAUUAGUACAAGUACUCAUCAUCAUACAUCCACCUGGAGUUCAAUUAUAUCCCUUGGGCCAUAUAUAAAUAUUAAUUAAGCUUUCUGAUGAUUUCUCCACUGAGUAACUGCAAUCAUGGGCUCAUCAGCAGAGCUUAAUUUAUAUAUACACCCAUGAUUGACGUGUGCUCCUCGAAUGAACUUUCUGGCACUUUUCUUUUCCAAUGAUCAUCAACUCCUUUCUCCUCAUAUAUAUCUAAGGAGUUUGAGACUAUAAUAUAUUCUCCGAAGAUCCUGACAUUGGAGCUUGGAGGAGAGUGUCUCAGUUUGAAUCAGGAAUUGAUCAUCAAAUUAUCAGUACUUAUGAGCAUGCAUGACUUUGAUCUGAAUGUAUAUAAUUUUAUCAAAGCACAAAAAGGUUUUUUAAUAGACUAACCUUCCUCAUAUGAUUGCAUACUGCAUGAAUCAUGAUCACAAUCCAAUUAUCAUUCUCAUCAUUCAAUACCCAUCAUUCCCACAACCACGAGAUACUUUUUACCGACUCUUUCGGGCUUAUGAUACAAGUCUCAAAUUAAAGCUUUUUCUUUCUCACAUAAAAAAUGUAAUUUAUACAAACAUAUGUUUUGCUGGAAAUUGAUUUUGUAAAACAUGCGUAAUGGACACUUUUGAUGCUAAAAGUUCAAUGUAUAAUACGUUUACUUUAUGGGUAAAUCGUUUUUAGAUUUUGUAUCUCAAACCCUUACUAUAAGCUUGUCUUGUGUUUUGAGCUAUGAGCUCAUUAGUUCAGGUUCGAUUAAACCAAAUUCUUUUUGCAAUUUAAUCCCUGGUCAAUAGUCUCAAUUAUAUGAACUAAGGCAUUAAUGAUGAAAUUCAUAUUAAUGUAAGUAUAAACAUACAUGAAUUUUAUAACGUACUUUCAUCAAUUAGGAAUAUUCAAGUAUUAAUGAUGUUAAUGUAUGUACAUUAAUGUAUGGGUAUCAAAUAUCUGGAGCCUUUUAAGUCCUAUAAAUAGGCGCUUUAUGCUGAGGACAUUGGGUAAUAUCCCACACCAAUGUAGCUUCAAUAUUGAACACCAAAAUAAAUUGAGAAUGACAAAAGCAAAUUAAAACUACCCAAGCAUAGUGGAUUAACCCGAUAAUUUACUAUUGAAUAUCAAAUGCCAUAGAAAAAUCAAUAAAUACAAAUAAAAUGAUAAAGAGAGAAUGCACCAAAUUUACGAGGUUCAACAAACUGCCUAUGUCCUUGGACACCAACACCAAAUGAUAACUUCACUAGUACCAAAAAAAUAUACAAACUAAUGGAACCCAAUAUAACUAAGUAUAUCAAAGCAAAAGGGAAGAACAAAGGAAGAGAUACCUUCAAACUUAAGGCACUAAUGCCUUUACGUAUAGGAGAUGAGGUAGCAAACGUUUGCUCCCAUUCAAUAUGGGAUUUAAAAAGGAGAAAAUAACUAAAAAAUCUCCAACUUUGGUGAAUUUUUCGAUCUCACUCAACUUCUAGUGUCUUCCACUUCUCAAACGUUGUGAAGUCAUCUUUAAAAGUGCCUCCAAAUGUGUUCUCGAGAGCCAUACACCCGAAGGUGUUCAAACUCGCAGAAUAUUAAUCAAGUUAAAAUAUUGGUUGAACUUGAUUGUCGUUACCACCCUAGUCAUUAUAUUUGUAGGAUUUUCAGCUGUUGGAAUCUUUUGAAGUAGAAUAUUUCCCUCUUAAAAGAUUUCUCUCACAAAGUGAUACCUUAUGUCGAUGUGCUUGGUUCUUGAAUCAUAAACUUGGUUUUUAACUAAAUGAAUAGUGCUUUAAUUGUAACAAUAAAGGCUAAUGUGACUUUGAACAACUCCCAAGUCUUCCAACAAUCCAUUAAGCCAAACAACCUUUUUAACAGCUUUUGAAACUGCCAUAUACUCUGCCUCUGUCGUUGACAAAACUAUUGUAGGCUGUAAGGUAGACUUCUAACUUAUUAGGGCUCUAGCAAGAGUAAAUAGAUGCCAAGUAGUAGAUUGAAAUUUAUCCAAAUCACUGGCAUAAUUACAAUCAACCUGUCUGACUAAACAUUGACCCAGCGUCUUAUACCGCUUUAAGAUCAAACCGACAUCUACGGUUUCCAGAAGAUACUGUAGAAUCCAUUUCACAACUUGCCAAUGUCCUUUACCAGGAUUAUGCAUAUACCUACUCACAACUCUAACUGCUUGUGAAAUGUCUGGCCUAGUACACACCAUCGAUACAUCAGGCUCCCAACUACAUUAGCAUACGGAACCUUUUCCAUAUAUUCUCGUUCUUUAUCACUUUUAGGAGAUAAUUGAGCACUGAGUUUCAAAUGAGAAGCGAGACAGGUACUUACAUGAUUUGUAUUAUCAUGCAGACCAAAACAUUGUAAUACCUUUCUUAAAUAUUGCUUUUGAGUCAAAUAAAGCUUGCCUCUCUUUCUAUCUCUAUGUAUCUCCAUGUCAAGAAUUUUCUUGACCUCAACUAGAUUCUUCAUCUCAAACUCUUGAUUUAGGUGAGCCUUUAAUUCAUCUAUUUCUCUGACUUUUCAAAGCGAUCAACAUAUUAUCAAUAUUCAGGAGAAGAUAAAUGAAAGAUUAUCUAGUAGCUUUCACAAAUAUACACAAUGGUCAUAUUUGCUUCUGGUGUACUUUUGCCUGCUCAUAAAGCUAUCAAAUUGCUUGUACCUACCUCAGGGAUUGCUUCAACCCGUACAAUGAUUUUUUUAGCUUACAAACCCAAUUUUCUCCAACAGCAACCUUGUAUCCUUCUGGCCAUGUCAUAUAGAUUUCCUAUUCUAAAUCACCAUGCAAGAAAGUUGUCUUCACAUCAUGUUGAUCUAGCUCCAAAUUCAACUAUGCUACUGAUUUGUUGUAAUUCGGUGCAACAGAUUAAACUAGUUUUCCUAUUUAAAGAGCUUGAAUACAAGCGUUUUUAUUAGGUUUUAGUUGAGUUUUUAUAAUUUUAUUUACAUUGAAUAAAAAGUGUAAUUUGAGUAUUUUAUUGACCUUAGGGGUCGAAUGAGGCCUAAGGGUGAGCUAAUAUACUUUGUGAGUGUGCAGAAGACCAUUAGAGGACGUACCAACUCAAUACUAGUCGCUGUGUUGCAACACAGGAAGUUUGAUGUCGCAACAUAGGAAGCAAAGAGCAAGAAUUCCAAGACUUCUUUCAGUGUCGCGACACAACCAAGGGAUGUCGCGACACACCCCUAAAGCUACCCUGAGUACGAGCAUAUUGCCUUCGAUGUCGCGGCACACGUACUAGGGUGUUAAGAGAUCGAUCCUGUACGAGAAAUACUUAUGAGCUAAGGACGUUUUGGUCUGCACAAUCAAAAGUUAAACACGAGAGCGUCAACUAACCUAAGGUUGAGGACGACGACAACCCUAACUUUAUAAAUAGGCUCAUUUAACACUUGUUAUGGACAACUUUUCAUACCUUAUAAUUUUUUUUAUAAUUUUAAUUUUUAGUUUUUCCUUUUUCUUAGGCUUUAGCUUAUUGUUAGUUUUGUGUUUGUUAGGAGAUUUGAUUUGUGGAACUUGAUCAACUCUUUGUGGAUUUCGUGCUUCAAUUAAACACAAUUCAGGAUUCUCUUAAACCUUCAGCUCUUGAUUUGCUAUUAAUGUUCAUCUUUUACAUCAAGUUUAUUAUGUUUUUGAGAUCUAUGAGGAACUAAUCCUCUUAUGGGGGAUUAGUGAGUGGAGGUAUGAUUAAUUGAUUGUUGUGCAGGCUUUUAUUAAUGAAUCAGCUGUUUAGGAGAGGAAGAACUUAAACCCUAGGCUUGACGACCUUAGGAAGUCAUCUAGGUGGGAAUUAACCCAAAAUUGGCAUGGCCUAUCUGUGAACACCUUAGCCCCAAGCCGGUCUGGACUGUGAGGUUGAGAGAUAAGUAGUUUUUGCCAAGUCAUUAUUCUAGUGGAAGAUUGAGAGAUCCUGCUAGGGUAACGCUAGUUGAUUGAACAAAAACUCGAAGUAACAGUUACUUAUGACUACCGAAGUGAGCUAAUCACCCAUGCUCAGAUCUGAUUCAGUUUCCAUAUCAAAUUUCUCAAAGUUUUCCUUUUAUAGUAUUUUAUUCUUUAUUUAUAAAAAUACCAAAAAUCCUUUCUUUAUGUUUAUUCAUAAUAUAAUUUAUUUAAAGUACUAAUUAGCUCUAUUUGUGCUUAGGUUAGGAUUAAUUUAGUACUCCCUUCUUUUGGGUACGAUCCUUGGAGUACUCACCUACUUCGUUGUAACUAUAGUACAACCUGACUCAUAUACUUGCAGACACCGCCUAUUUGACAUAUUUUGUGCAAGAUUUUUACUCUAGACGUUGGUACGUCAGGAGGCAGUCGGCUACCAAAGCCAACAAAAUUCUAAUGGAGGAAUGUUUCACAAUAGGUGAAACUACUUUAUUGUAGUCAAUUCCUUCCUUCUAAGUGUAGCCUUUAGUUGCCAACCUUGCUUUUGUUUAACAUCUUUCUUGAUAGGAAACCCUUUUUUCUUUGCAAAUACCCACUUACACCAACUCCCAAGUAUUAUUCUUCUAGAGAGAUUGUAUUUCUUCAUCCAUGAUACUUUUGCACUUCUCACUUUCUGAAAUCUACAACACUUCUCAACAAGGCUGCAUAGGCCACCAUAUUAGUAAAAUGAGCAGGUUACGAAUUUAUCUCCUUGGCAUUCUAAUUGCAAAUGGUUCUGGUGUAUUCGACAAUUCUUGGGUUGAAACCUCUUCAUUUUUUGAUUCCUCCGCUAUGAUUGAAGAAUCAGACUCAUUAUCUGCGCUAAUCACCAUAUGCUCAAAGGCCUCCUAUUUUGGAGUACACUCCACCUACUGUAAAGUACCACUUCUUUGAAAAUAUUCAUUUGUUACCUUUUUUAAUAUGGCAAGUUCAUCAAAGGUAACAUAUUUGAUAUAGAUCAUUUUCUUUGUGUCUAAACACCAAAGUCGGAAUCUCUUUACUUCAGAGGUGAUUCCCAUAAACAUAGCUUAUUUGCUCUCGGAUAUAAUUUUGACUCUUUUACAUGGUAAUAAAAGAUGCAUCUAAACACAUGUAAAGAAUCGUAAUCAGUAGUAGGUUUUCCAAACCAUACCUCCAUAAGUGUUUUUCCCUUAAUUGUAGAUGAUGGUAAAUGAUUAAUAGAUGACAAUCAUAUGACACGACCUUAGCACAAAAUUGCUUGUACAACCCAAUAUUGGACAACAUAUAUCGAACUUUUUCCAAUAAUGUAUGAUUCAUAUGCUUUUCCACCUCAUUCUGUUGUGGUGUAUCCCUAACAACGAAGUGUCAAACAAUACCAUACUUUUAGCACUCGUCGAAGAAUGGAUCACUUUUAUAUUCCCUUCCAUUGUCUGUCCUAAGCUACUUAAUCUUUCUGCUAGUUUGGUUUUUUUUUUUAUCAUAGUUUUCUAUUUAAGGAAGAUUCUAAGCAUUUCAUCUUCAGUUUUCAUCGUACACACCCAAAAUCUUCUAGAAAAUUCAGCAACAAAAGUUACAAAGUAGUGUUUUCCUCCUAACAAUGUUUCUUGGAAGCCCCCCACACAUUUGAGUGAACAUAAUCCAAAAUACCUUUCGUAUCAUAGAUAAUGAUGCUAAACUUCACUCUCUUUUGCUUUUGUAGAACACAAUGCUUGCAAAAUUCUAACUUGAAGCCUUUGGACCAUUCAAAAAUCCUUAAUUUGCUAGAAUUUGCAAGGAUUUCUCACCAGCAUGUCUCAAUCACAUAUGUCACAACUUGGUCAAAUCCAAUUUGGGACAAAAGUUGAGGACAGUUGAUUGGUGAAAGGUAUUAAUGAUAAAAAAUGACUAUUUGGUUGUAUGAAAGGAGUAGAGUUGUAGGGAACCAGGCAAUGGUUAGGAUUACAAGAUAGAUGAAAUAUAUGACUAGAUGGAGGGUUAUCUGGAAGUAUGUGAUUAAAGGUGGGGUUACAAGGGGAAAGAUUUGUGCAUGGAUUGGCUUUUGGUUUUAAGUAAAAGUUGUGUACAAUAGUGGAGUUGUAGGUACACAUAUUUUCACGUGUGUGUGAGCUAGGCGUACAAGUAAGUAAUGGAGCAUUAUACCUGUAAGAUACCCUUGUAAAAUUAGGAUCAAACUUGAAGAAACAUAUGUCCACUAAAUGUCUUAGUUUUCCACAUAAUUAACAUUGUGAGCGGGAGCCUUGAUGCCUGCAAUAACCUCUUCCACCCCUAAAACUCUUACUAUAUGACACAACAUGUCUAUAGGAUGGAGUAUAUGCAACUAGGGAUGAACAUUCGAUUGAAUCAAGUCAAAUCAAAUCGAGCAAAAAAAUUUGAGUUAAUCGAGUUGACGAGUCCUAUUUUAUCAAACUAACUCGAUUGGAAAUUUUUUAGAAUUGAGUCGAGUGAAAUAAAAGUCAAGUCGAGUCGAAUCAAAUCGAAUCGAAUCGUUCGAGUUAAAUUAAAAAAUUAAACAUAUCAAAUUAAAAUCUUGUUACAGUAUAUCUAAUUUUUGAAAACUUUUUCAAAGUAAAAUUAUAAAAAAAUAAGAUACUUUAGUAUAACAAACUUGAAUUUUUUUAACUUAUUUAAUUUUAAAAAUUAUUAUUUUAUAAAAAAUUAAAUUUCUUUAUAUAUUUUUUAGAUUUUUUUUAAAUUUUUUAUAAUUUUUAAAAAAAAUGAAAUUUGAAAUUUUUAUAAAUAUUUUGAAUUUUUGAAAAUUAUUUUGAUUUUUUUUGUAAUUUUUUGAUUAAAUGCUAAAGUUACAUAUUUUAUGUAAUUAAAUUGGUUAAUUUAUGAGAAUGCACCACUAACUUUGCCAUAUUUAUUGAAUUUUGUGCAGGAAUGCAAUUUGGGGGCUAAAUAGAAGAAAAAAGGGAACAAUUGGGCCAAAUUAAAGAAAGAAGCAAAGAAUGAGGGCCAAAGUAGAAUUUUUCCUAUUUUUAAUUAGCUGAAAAUUUUGUUCAUUUAGUGGGGGAGAUUAUUUUGGGAUAUUUUUGGUCAUGGAAUAUUUUUUUUCCUUAAUUUCCUAUGACUAGUAGGUUCCUAAUUUAAUAAAUCCUCUAGUAUAAAUAGUGCUUGUAUUGUUCAUCAUUUCAUCAAUGAAUCAAAAAAUAUUUUAGCUUUUGUCUUUCAAUUCUCUCCUUUCUCACGUAGCCUUUGUUAUUUCUUAGCUUGUUUUCCUUCAAUUUUCAUUAGUUCCAGUAGCCUACCAUCCAUUUCACAUUUAUUUUCAACUUUUCACAAAUUUAUUUAUUGUCUUUAGUUUCUUUAACUUUUAAUUCCUAAAAACUUCCAGCUUUUACUACUUUCCAUUUAUAACACCUUUUUCAAAUUCCCUUUUUCAAUCACCCCCACACUUAAUCACAUCACCCAUCUUUUCAACCUUUUCUACCUUAUUUAAUUUAUCAAAUACCAACAUGUCCCAAACCUUAGCCAACUAAAUUUAUUUUCAGCUUUAGGCCGAAAUUAGCCUCGUCAAAACCCGUGAGUUACGAACCCGAGCCAUUUAACUCAUAAAAUUCCAGUACUUAUUGCUUCUCCGGAUUAAGAGUAUGAUUUUGUCAGCUCAUAAAGUCAGAUCAACACUAAGUAAAAAAAGACAUCGUUUGAUUUGGUGUGAUUAGACGUACAGUUGGAAUUCCGAAAAGAACGUUUCUAAUCGGUUUUCUGUGAACACAUUGGCGUGCCAAGUGGAGGCUGCUGUUUGGUUCCGUCAAGGGAAGUAGUAACCGGAUUUAAAUGUCCCACGCGGUUGAGGGCAUUGGUUCGAGCUAGGCUCUUCUAGAACGCAAAGCUGCCGGAGUUCUAAAUCAUGAACGUUUCGUGGUUGUUCGGUCGGUAAGAGUUAGUUAUUGGACGUUCCAUAACUAAUUUACACAAGGAAGAGUUGGUGUCCGAGGCGUCCUUGGUAGCUAUAACUAGCUUAUUGGAAAAGAGGAGUUCAUCCAAUUUCGAGGAUCGGUUCAAAGACGAGGAAAAUUCGUGUCUAAAGCUGAGCUCAUUCUAAUUAAUUUUUCUUAAUAUUUAUUUCACAGUUUUUAUUAUUCUAUUUUCAACCUUUACUUUUGACGUUAUUUUUCUGUUAAUUUCAGGUUUUCAAAUUUUUAUCCCCCCGAACGUCUUGGGCACGACAACUGCCCCGACAUAAAUCUGGCCAAACGAGUGACAAUUUACAGUAAACCAGUCUUUGAGGGAUCGACCCUACUCCCUAUACUGCAUAAUUUGCAAAUUAAGGCGUAGGUUUAUAUUGGUGGAUUCGACUCCCAUCAUUUUUGGUAAGAGAGAGACUAAUUUGCUCAUUUUCAAAAUUGAUAAGGAUCAAAGGGGUAUUUACACCAAUCUGUUAUUCAAAUGAUUUGAAUUAUUUGAAUUGUAAAAUUCAAAUCAACUCAACUCGUACUCAAAACUCGAAUUACUUAUUCGAGUUGACUCGAAUAAUUUAAUUCGAUUAACUCGAAAUUCUAUUUCUUUUUUUGAGGUUUUGAAAUUCAAUCAAGUUUCGCUCACCCUAUAUGCAACAAGAGUAGACAGUGGCUAACCAGUCAACAUUUUCCUAACCCAACUUUAAUGAACUGUUAUAUAAUGUUAGAAAUUAGCUUAAGAAACAAUACUUUCUGUAAUACCCCAAAAUUUUUUUAUAGUAAGAUAUUAUCUUUGAUAUAAUAAAAUAAGGAAAUAAAGCGACAAAAAGGGGAAAUUUUGGAGUUAUGUCAACAUUGGGAAGUAUAUUAUGACAUAUUAGUUCAAGAAAGGAUUAAAUCGCAAAAGUGAGAAAAGUUUUGUUGUCCAAGAGUAAAUACUCAAAAUUUGAGGGGUUAAAGUGUAAAUAUGAAAAAGUUGAAGGACCAAUGGUUUAAAUAUUUUAAGGGUGGAAUGAUCUAGAAACUAAGGAAAAUGGAUGGAUUAGGACCAAAUUGAAAAAGGUGAAGAAUUUUGAGGGACUAAAUCACAAUUUUACCAAAUUAAGUGAUGACUCAAGGAUGAAAUUUUAAAAGAUCAUGAAGGGCAAAAUGGUCAAUUAGAAGAGAGAGAAAUCUAGAAGAUAAUGAUAUGUUGGAGAUAUUUUAGAUUAAUUAAAUAAAUAAAUAUUAGUUUAUUAAUAUUUUAAUUUAAUUUUUAAAUGAUAUUUUAUUACUUUUUUAUUAUUUUAUUUAGUGUAUAUAUAUAAGAAAAGAAAGAUGAAGAAUCAUUCAACCCACCAUUUUUCCCAUGCAGCAACGUGAGAAAAGAGAGAAAGAAAGAAAGUUUUGUUUUCUUUACAAUUUGGUCCUUCCACCAAAAAUUUACCAUUUUCAUCUAGAAAUCAAAAGAAUUUCCAUAUCCAUCAAGAGAGAAAGAUAACAAGAAGACUAUGGGGAGCUAUAAUAUCAAGUUGGAUUCAAGAAAUAGAAGCCAGAGGAGAGAGAAAAUCAAGUUAAAGAUUGAAAUCAAUAUGACAAGGUAAGAACAUCAAGAUUUUAAUAUUUUUUUUAAAGUUUGAUAUUAUUGAAAAAGUAUGGAAAUGAUGUUAAUGUAAAGUUUUUGCAUAUAUGGUCUUAUGUUCUUGAUAUUUUAGUGAAGAAAAAUUAAGAGAAAGUGAUGAGAAAUAGUGUAGAGAAAGAAACUAAGGGUGUUAUAAACAUGAUAAUAAAUAUCUUGCACUAAAACAGUUUUGGACAGCAACAGUGGGCUAAAUUUUAAAAAUCACCAUAAAUUAUGAAAAUCAAAUUAGAGGAUGAAAAAAUAUGGAAUUAAAUAUUAUUAAGUCUAGUUUCUCAUAGAAGAAACGGUGUAAGUAAUGGAAUUGUAAAUCAUGAGAUAUAAUAAAUUUUGUGAGACAAUGUCAGAAUGAAUUUGGAUUCCCAUGUUCUGACUUUACAAAAUCAUCAAAAAUUGAAUAAAAAUAAUUAGAGGCUUAAAUUUAUAUGUUUAAAAUACUGAAUGAGUAUAUUUUCAAUAGAAACAAACGGGAACAUCAUUCAAAUUCUGUACAAAGAGAUAAUUAAUUUUUAGUAAAUAGGGGUUGGAACUUUCAAAUAGUGAAACAGGGGAAACUUUAAUGAAUAAACCGUACUUAUUGGAUAAACCAAAAAUUUUAAAAAUUUUAUGAUAAGAAUAUAUGUGAGUCUAGCUUCAGAUAAAAUUUGCAGAUCUCAAUUCAGAGUUCUGUAGCUUAAGAUAUAAUUAAUUUAGUGACUAUGACUCAAGUGAACAGCUUGUUAUGAGUAAACAAGUAAAUAGUGGUAUUAUGUAUAUAUCAAGGAUGUGGAAUGGAGUGGAGGAGGAGAAAAAAAUAUAUGUGAAUAUUCAGCUAAUAUGAUUUUAUUUUAAAAUAGCUAAUUUACAUGUUUUAGGUUUAGGGACUAAAUUGAAUAAAAGUAAAAUUUUAAGGGUAAUUUUGUAAAAAUGUCAAAAAUGACCAAAUUGCAUGAAAUGAAUUGUUUUGUUAUUUAAAUUAAUAAAUGGAAUGAAAUAUUAAUUUAGAUCAAGAUUGGGUGGAAAUUCGAGGAAAAUGGAAAAUUACCAAAAUGUCCCUGAAUUUUGGUAUUUCUACAAUUUAUCUCGGUAAGUUCGUGUAACUUGAAUUAUAUUCUUAAAUUCUUGAAAUGUAUGUUAUUGAUGUGAAUAUGAUUUGAAUGUUCAUUGUAUGAAAAUUGAUGAAACAUUGAUAUAUUUGAUAAAAAGGGGAAGAAAUUCGGGUUGAAUGGAAGGAAAAUUCGAUGGAUAUCUGAAAAGGAAUUGACGGUAAAAAGGAUCUAGCCCAGACAGGUGAUCCUAUCCUGAUAUAGCCCUCCCGAAGAAUAUGUGGAAAAUGGAUUUAGCCCGGACGGGUAAUCCGAAUUAGGGUAUGAAUUUAGCCUGGAUUGGUAAUUCAGAUCCAAGCUCAUUAGAGUAAUUGUCAUUGCAGGGGAUUUAGCCUGGACUGGUAAUCCCGACAAUACUCUAUGAGUUUAUGUUACAGGGGAUUUAGCCUGGACUAGUAAUCCCGCUGUAAGGAUGAGGUUCGCGGGAGUGUGCUCUCUGAAAUGGAAAUGUGCGCACAUGAAUAUGAAUUGACAGACCCGGAUUUGUACACUAAAAGUGUACCUCUGAAAAUCCAUCGAAAUUUCUGAGAAAUUCAACGAGAUAAAUAUGGAAAACAAUAAGGGUAAUAGAAAACAUGGAAUUGAAUUUUUAUUGGAAAUAUAUUAUCGGAUUUAAUACCCAGUUUGGAUUGAACGCUGGAUUGAGUACAAUCGUUCUAUGCCAAAGGAUGAAUUGACAACAAAUUACCCAAGUAAACUGAGGUUCAGCAUUUGUUGCGGACUUUCGUGUGUACUAUCUGUUUAGCUCUUAUGAGCUUAAGUUCAGCCUUCGGGCUUCUGAAAACGAUGUACUCAUAUCCGUAAGUUGUUCUUCGAAAGGUAAAAUAUUGGGAGUUGUCUUGAAUGGUAAUAUAAUUAUUUAUAUGAUGCAUUGAAUUGGUAAGUAUUUAAGUGAAAAUAUGCUACUGCUCAUGAAAAAGUAUUAAAGUUUAAAUUAAGCAAUUUUCUUAUGAAAUGACUUAUCAUGUGAUCAGUUCGGGAAAGGCUUUGGGUAAAUGGACUAACUUGUGACCAUGGUUGAAUGAUAUGUUUAUGACUUGUGUGACAUGCAUAUGGAACAAGCGUGGAAAGUAAAGAAAUGCAAACGAAAAUAAAGAAAUUAUCAAGAGUUAAGGUUAUAUAAAAUCCUACUAAGCUUGGGAUAAUAAGUUUAAGUGAUACUGUGGAUUUAUUCACCUUGUAAGUUGAUGAAUAUAACUUCAUGGGUAUUGUGGUAUCAAUAUUGGGUUAUCAUUGAUAUGUAUAAAUUUCAUAUUUUAAAAGAACUAAUAUGAUUAAAGACUACACGAGCUUACUAAGCAUUCAUUGCUUACGUAUUUGUUUUUUUUAUUUACCCUACAGUUUAUUGGAAGCUCGAUUGGGUUGGAAACUUGAUUAGGUUGGAAACUUGUCGGAGAUAUAUCACACUAUCCAUUGAUUUUAUCGGUAAUUUUGGAUGAUUGGAUUCUAGUUAUAAUGGCAUGUAUAAGUUAAUUUAGCCAACGUUGGCUCAUUAAUAUUUUGAUUUUGGUUGGUUUCAAAUAUGAAUGCUAGAUGAAAUGAAAUGUCUGAAAAUUAAUUUGUAAAUUUUGAUAAUGCUCCGUAACCCUGUUCCGGCGACGUAUUCGGGUUAGGGGUGUUACACUUUCCUUUAUUGUCUCAGCAUCAAAUGGUAUAGUAGUAACCCCUUGAAGGUAAUUACAACAAUUUUAUGGUCAUACUCAAGUGGCACCCCAUUUAAGGUUGUAAUAUGCUCACGCUCUUAAAUCAACUCUCCACACCUUGCCAAGCUAUCACAAAUAGACUUGAUAUUUAAAAGAAAUUCACACAUAGUCAACUCUCCUUCCUUCUAUGCAUGGAAUUGUUUUCCGAAAGUCAUCAACUUAAAAGUAGUCUUGUUGUUGUAAAGCCUCACUAAAGUUUCCCAAAUCGUACAAGCAAAGUCAUGCCCAAAUAGAUAAGACAAAACACCUGCACUCACAAUAAACAGUUGUGAAGGAGUGAGCUGUGUUGUUGUUCAAAUUCUUCUGAAGCAAGGUUAAUAGUUUGUUUUCCUUCUACAUCAAUCACAAAUCUGGAAUGAGGAACUAUUGAACCAUUAACAAAUUUCUACAACCUAUUUCUUUAAGGUCAACAAAAUUUGUUGUUGCCAUAACGAGAAAUUAGAAUUAACAUCAAAUUGAUUUUCUUGGUGGUAAACUUAGUACUUGAAGAUUGGACAUUUGCAGCAGUAUCUAAACUAUCUGGUUCACUUUUCUCGGUCAUUAUCACAAUAGCUACAAUAAUAAUACACACAAUCCAACAUCACAAAAUAUUGUAGCAGCAAUUAAGGAAGCCAAAGAAUCAUGAAACAACAAUCGAACCAGAUGAUCAAUAAUCUUAACUUGUUUUGAUUAGCACUAACCAUCAAUUAACUACAACUCAGUUAAUAUACUAACAGUUAGGGUGACGUGUAUAAUCAACUAACCAACUUUGAUUGGUUUACUUUCUCUGAUGAUGAGUAGCUUAAGACUUAAGUUCUUAUGUUCUUUUUUCUUUUAAUCGUAAAAGCUUUACAUAUCAAUGUUUGCUUUUGUGUCUGUUACUGCACUUUCUUAUAAAUUUGCAAUUACAAAUAGUAAGAACACCAAAAUGAAACUGUAGAGAAUUUCUUUGAGGUUGUAGUUAGAAACAGAGUUGAAGUGUUAUGAUGAGUUGAUUUAAUGUGAAAGAAUGUAGGGUAAGAAUUAACAUCAUUUUUAUAUAAUUUAAACUCUUAACAUUAAGAAAGAACUCUAGUUUUCGGUUUGCUCUCCACCUUUGUUAUCUUUUUACAGAAGUUGCACCAGCAAGAGGAGAUUAGAAGACUGUCUGUGACACGGUAUUCAACAGUUAAUUAAUGAUGGCAAACACCUAACUGAUAACAUUUCUCUAGGACUCAUUAACCCUGCACAAUACACUUAUUAGUAAAAGACUCUUCAAGAUGCUGUACGGUGGGUAGUUUCUCAGAGCAACCAGCUGAUGUUAACAUCUGAUGCUCCGCCAUGGAAUCCGCCGCUGGAAACAUAGGGAGCUCCACCAGCUUUUCUGCCCUCCUACUCCCCCUCUCCUCGAUGGCUCUUAAAAAUACUUGAAGAGCAUCUCUCAUCCAAUCAUACCGGCAAAAUUUAUACGCUUCUUCUGGGGAGAGCUGUAAAGCACAUGAAACAGUUUCAGUCGAAGUCAUCAAAUUGGUAGAAGCAAAAUUAAGCUCAAGUGGUGAAAAAUCGAAAGGACACAAAUUCGUGGUUAAAAAAAAUGUUAAACCUUAGGUUUUUUAUUACUGACCCAUUGCCUCUUGUAACUUGUCUGUUCUGCCCAAGAGUCAAGUUCUUCAGUCACCUCCAAGGCAAACAUAUAACCUCUACAACCACCUUCCAUGUUGCAGCAGUUUUGUCUACUCUUGCUUCUAAACUCCCAGACUCCCAGUGGAUCCUCCUGGAUAACGUAAAAAUGACACCAUUGUUAUAUAUGAAAACGCAGCUUUAUGUAAGAAAUGCCGGUCCAUGUAGCAAUGAUUUUGUGCAGUGAAGUACGAUGAGUAAUACAGACAUGUAAGCGACGGAAUUUAAACCUCAUCCAAAUUUCUGCUUCAUCAAAUGAGGACGUGUUUAAAAGAUUAAAGGAUCAAAGCAACCCAAUGUUCGCUUAGAAAUAUGGAAAGCAGGAACUACAGCUGGUGAGACAUGUUUAUUUGAAAAGGGGAGUUUCCAUAAAGAUACGUAUUAGCAUGAGUGGCGCAUACACAUGCAACAGCCCAUUCUCAUCGAACUUGCAAAAGAUGAAAAACACCUGCAGCUUCAGCAUAACAAUUUUCACAGCAACAAUCCACCACUGUGUACUUGCCUCAAGUCCCUUUUUUUUCUUUUCUUUCUUUUUUUGGCGUAACCAUAAUCAAUGAUUUCAUCAUGCCGUAGGGCAUAUAAACCUGUUAAGUAAAACCUUCGUAUAUAUAAAUGUUUCCAUCCAUUCAUAAGUACAUCGUGAUUUUCAUCAAUUGCCAAUAUUGAUCCACUAUAAUUGAAACGAGUCAAAUGCUUUUGAAGAACUCAUCUCAAAAUAAUGUAUCAACCAAAACCGAGACCAGCUAGCACUGCUCAAAGAUAUUUAGCAUCAUGAAUCAAGGAAACAGAUAAGGUACUGAGCACACUCGAACAAAUUAAAUUCCUUUUUUGUGGCCCGAGUAUUUCCUCAUUUCAUACUAGGUAUGUAAGCCAAUAGCUAAUGACAAUUUAGAAAAGACUGUUUAUGACUGUCAACAACAUGAACUAUGCAGGUUAAUUUAAUAACACUGAUAAUUAAAAGGAGAGUAAGUCAGAUAACUCUGGUAUCCAGAAUCUGUAAGAAGAGAUAGUGAUGCCUAUGCCAAGAAGGGAUAUCGAAACCUACAUCAAGUAUUCCUUUCACUCCGGCUUCCUCCAGGGCCUCCCGACAUGCUGCUUCAUGAACCGUCUCAUCAUUUUCCCAUCCACCCUAACAAUGACACUAGGUUGUUAUCACAAUUUCAUACAGUAUACAGUUUACGUAUAAAUACAUCAGACUAAACAGUUUGGCAUAUAAUGAGGAAAUGGAGUGGGAAGAUAAGUAUCUACCUUAGGGAACACAAGAUCAUCACGGUUUGGUGUGGAAAUCAUAAGAACAUUUAUCCUGCUCGUCACACUGCUGUUACUAUCCUCGACAUCCUUCUGCAGUCUGUAUGGAAUGCACCUAAGUUUUUGCACCAUAAACACCAAAUAUGAGUUAAGAAGGCCGCACAGAAACAAAACAGUUUUGCAGUCAUUUACAUUUUACUCCACUUGUAAAGAUUCCGGUAAGUUGAUCUCAUCAUGAUACUUUGCUCUACCACUAACUUAUUAAUUAAUAACUAAGCGUGCUUGUGUCCCUUUAGGUAAAAAGCAAAAGUGAAAUGGAAUACUAGCAGCUCACUUGAAAAAGAAAUUAUCAAGUGAUCAACGCCUCUAAUUUAUGCCAAGAAAACUAUCUUCUAAGUGUCCAUUCGUCAUAUGCUAUAAGCACAUAAUAGAUGUAGAGUAACAUAGCAGAAAGAGGCAGAGAAGUUAACAAAGUAAUUUCAGCAUUUAAAUAGAUUCAUGUGCUUGUUAACCCUAUAAAUCUUAAGUUUUGUCACCCAUACUACUCCCUCAAAAACAAAAAUUAUGCCUUAAUUUUAUCGUUUUUGUUUAAAAACAUGACCACUUCUAGAUGUACCCUUCUUUUCUUUUCUUUUUUUAGUAUUUUAACUUUUCCGUCCUUAGAGAAAAAAUGGAUGUGGCGCAAUUAAAUAUGAUGACAAUAACAGGGGAACAUAGAAAGUCAAGGCAAUGGCCCAUCUCUGUUUUAUUGUUUAUCAGUCUAUUGUCAUAAAAAGUAAAAUCACUAUCAACAAUUUGGCACUUCUUGUCGUUAUUUUACUCUCUUCUGUUUCGAAUAGAGCAGCAGUAAGUAAGGCAGUAAGAUAAGGAUGGAUGCUAACCACUCAUUUUUUAACACCUCUAACGAAGAAAAUAGGCACCCUAUUCAUCUAAAACGAUGUGCGCUACAUUAAAUAUCACGACCACCAAAAAGAUAUCCACAAUCACAUUAUUUGAGCGUUAGCAGAACUGACAUAAGAAUUUUCAUGAGGCAGCAACAAGGAAGAAGGUCAAAAUUAGAAAGCAGUGAAUCAACUUGAGAUAUACCCAGCAACAAGUCUGAGAUGAUCCUGGUACCGUUGUCUGUGUCUCCCCUUUCGUGCUGGUAAAAACGACAUGAUCUACUAUCUGCAACACCCCAAAAACGUUAAGAAGAAAGAUAACUAAGUUAAACAAACGAGUAGAAAAUGCAUGAGAAAAGUGAUUUACAUGGAUUGGUGCUAGGGUGAUGAAGAGCUGCAUUCAGUAAGAGAAAAGCAGAAAAAUCCUGACCCUUUUAAGUGAAAGCAACAAGGUUGGUUUUGGGUUGCAGAAGAAAGCAGUGAGAAAGCAUAUAAAGAAGGAGCGAAAUAGUUGUCAUGCUCCGAGACUUUAAUAGGAAAGAUGAGGAAGCAAGCAAGUCAAUAUCGGCAACAAUGGUGUUUUUAUAAAUCAACAGGAAAGAGAGAGAGAGAGAGAGCUGUGACCAAAUCAACAACGUAACAACCGGCCUCAAAAGUAACCCAGCGUAGUAAUAUUAAAAAUACUUGGUACUGCGGCUGUAUUCAAAACUGUGACUUUUUCCGGGAUGAAUAGGAUAGAACCAUGAAGCUUCUUCAUGAACUUCACCUUUCGCCAAAAGAACAAACAAAAAGAUAAAAGGAAAGAAAAAGUUGUUGGUUUGAGAUUUUUCUGCAAUGUUUUCCAACUUGCUUCUUCUUUCAUACUCUUGGUUUAUAUAAUAAUGGUGAGCUGAUAGGGCCAUUUCGGCCGUGUAUUUUAGAACGAACACGUCAUCCAAGGUCCCGUCUGACUCAUCCCAGGACCUAAGCAAUCCUCAUAUGCACUGCUUGGUUUGUGAUAUUGUAUUAUUAAAAGCUGAUCUGAUAAAUGUGAAACUUCAGUAUACUUACAUCCAAUUGAUUGGAGAAUAAUAGGCAAAUGAAGAAAGGCCAAAGGAAACAACGAAAAGCUUGCCAUCAACAAGCGUCUUCAAAACUUGUCCUUUUAUAAUAUCACCAAAAACAGUAGUUAGCCAUUUUUUGUCUUAUAAUUUAUAUAUGCAUUUAGACUUUUGAAUUAAAUAUUUGCUUAAAAGUAACAAAGUUUUAACAACUGCUCUAGUCUAAUCAGAAGAAAAGAUGCUAUGAAAUUGUGAUUUUCUAUCCCUUUCCAAUAGAAGACCCUCAUAUUCAGCAUUUUUAGUUAUGAUUUAUCAUUCUCUUAUAGUCUUAUUGGGAAGGGAUAGUGAUGAUGUAAAAUCAUAUUUUUAUACAAUCUCUUCUCGUCUAAUUAUAUUUAGUUUCUUAAUUCUUUCAUCUACUCGUCCGUUGAUAAUGUAUUUUAAGGAUUUAAAUUUAUAAAUUAUAUUAGUAAAAAUUAAAAUUAAUAACGUUAAGAAAAAAUAAAUUUAGAACUUCUUUUACUUCUUCAUUGUACUUAUGUUCUUUUAGCAAAUUAUUAUUUCAAUUUUUUUAAUACAAUAUAAGGGGUAAGACAUGAGAUAACACGGUUCAAAUUUGUGACAAAUAACUAUUUGACAAGAGUUUUAGUCACCACUCUAUUUAAGUUAAGACUACUCUGAAUUUUGAAAUUCUAACACGUGACAACAAUGGUGUUGUUAUGAAAGUUUUAAAUUUUUUUAAAAAUCUAAAAUAUAAAAUAAUUAAAAAUUCUCAAAAAUAUAUAUGUAGAAAUGCAAAAGAAUUAUAAAAUUAAAAAAAAAUUAAAUCCAAAACUACUUUUACCAGAUUUCUCAUCAGCUUUACCAAUUUUCUUAAAAUUCUUUUAUUCGUUUCAAUGUUUACAAUAAACUAGUUCCCUACCCAUUUGUAAUUUUAUAUAUGAUUUUUUUUUUUUUGAAACAAAGUUAUAUAUGAUAAUUAUUUUAUAUAUGAGCGGUACAAAAUUUUAACUCCACAAACGGAUUGAGAUUUUAUUUUGUAUAUUUAAAAAAUUAAAAAUAAAAUAAAUAAGACAUAUGAUAAAAUUUCAAAUCCCCAACAGAUCAUAAAAAUUUUCACUGCCUAUUUAUCUAAUAAUUACCCCAUAUAUGUUAAUAAAUCUUAUAAAAAUUAUAAUAAAUAAAUGUAAAAUUUAUUAAACGUGAUAAAUGGGUUGAUUAUACUUUAUAAAAUAUGAGUUUUUGGCACACUCUAUGAUAGAAAAGCAUAAAAUAUAGUUUUUUAAUGAAUGUGAAUAAAAUGAUUAUAGGUUAAAAAUAAAGAAAAUUAAUUCAUUGAUAUUUAUAAGAAAUUUGACCAUCGAAAAUGUUUUGACACACUCUCUAAAGUUUUUUAUUGAAAACAAAAUAAACGAAAUAGUUUGUGAUUGGCAUGAUUUAUUCAUUUAGAAGACUAACUAUAUUUAUUUUUGUGUGCGCGCGAGGUUAAUUAUGUGUAUUUAUUAUGUUUAUUUCUUAAAUUUUUUAUACAAAAAUUUUAACAUUAGGAACCCCAUAUGAUGGCUUAAUGGUUAAAGGUGUUCAUCACACCAGAUGCGGUCUGGGUUCGAGCCGUACUAGUCGUGUUUGUUGUUUGGGCUUUGCUCUGUUAUUAUAAUUCACCAAAAAGAAAAUCAACAAUAUUAGGUAACAAAAGAAUAAUUUAGAUAUCACUUAUUGUGUCCAAAAACAAGUUUAUAUACCAACUAAGGAUAUGAAUUUCUAGGUUAAGCUUUUUUUAAUUGACUAAUUGAGGUAUAAAUUUGAGAAAAAAUAAUUUAAAUAUCAAUUUAUGGGUUAAGCAUAUUAUAAGUUUAAAGUCUUAGAAUAAUACAAAGUAUUUUAAUUAUUAUUGGAUAGUUACAUGUUUUACCAUAAUACAUAUUUAUAUAAUUAUAAUAAUUAAAUAUCAAAAUGAAUUCCAAUAAAACAAUGUUGAAAUAAUAAGAUUAUCUAUAUGAUUUAUAAAAUAUUAUGUGUUAAAAAAAGUACUUAUACUAUUCAAUUAACAUAUAAAUAUAAUAUUUAUAUUUAAAAAUAAGUAAUUGAUUUUUUAAAAUAAAAGCAUGGUAAUAUUUAAUAACAUUAAAGAAACAUUUAAAAUAAAAUUUAAAGUAAAUAAUUAAAAUACCCUUUUUACAAUAAUUAAAAAUCAAAGGGAAUAAUAUAGCAAUUUAAAAGGUGAGUUUUUCUUAAUUGUUUAUUGAAUGUACAAAAUGGUAAUAAUUAGUAUUUAGUGUACCUAUAAAAUUGUUUAAAAAAUUGUAAAUAAAUUUUAGUAAUUAAUAAUAAUGAUAUUAUUAUUCUUUAAUUUUGCGGAUUUGUAUUCUGAAUUUUUAGUGACAAAAAAGAGAUUAACAUUAAUUUUAAGAAAACUAGUACUAAAUAAUGACAAUUUUGGUUAUUAUAAGGAAUUUAAAAAAAUUGAUCCCAAAAUGGAAAUUAAUAUGAUUCUAAAAUAGUAUUCUUAAUCAAUGUCACUGCACUAACAUUGGAUGUUAUACUAAACGUAAGAAAUGAGUAACAUAUAUAAUAUAACCACAAUACUGUUUUUAUAUAAAUUUGGCAUUGACAAAUUACAUUAAACUAAUAUAUAUAAUGUUUCAUAGUGCUAACUCAAAUAAGGAAUUAACAGUUAUAAAUAUAAGGCUAUUUUACAAUUUAACUUACCCAUCUAAAAUUCAAACCUUAAAACCUUUUUUCCUUUCUUUUAUAUAAUGAUGUCAGCUUUCAAACUACCUACCUUCUCUUUCUUUCUUCUUCUCAUUCAUUCUACGUCUUUCGUUCCACUUUACAGAUCUAUUUUAUGGAUAUCUUUGUUAUCUUCAUAAGUUGUGAUGGACAGAUGAUGGUGUUUGUCACCACUAAAACUCCAUCAACUACCAACAGUUACUCUUUGAAAGUGGGUGGCUCUUCGCCGGCUUCUUAAUUUAUUCCUAUUUUGAGAGUAUUUUAGAAUAAUAAAUGGUUUCACGAGUAGGUUUGGACCCGUGUUAUCUUAAGUUUUAUAUGUUUUUUUUGUUUGUUUUCUAUUGUUUAAUAAGUUUUCACUUUUAGAAGUUUCGUCUACUCUUAUGGCACAUUUUUUAGUCUUACUUAUGCAUAUUUGUCAACGCGUCAUAAUAUUCUAUUGAUAUUGAGGCUGAAGCUUUGUUGUGUUUGUGGACCUUGUCCUUCACUACCUAUUAUUUUUUCCCCUUAAAUUAUAUGGUCUCAUUCAUGAAAUGAAUUAAUAAUUUUUCCUUUAAAAAAUAUAAUGGUAUUUGUAGGAAUUAAUAUGAUAAAUAAAUUGAUGAUUUAAUUUAAAUAUUUUAAUUAGAAUAUAAUUUAGUUAUGGAGAUUAUUAUUAUUAUUAUUAUUAUUAUAUCCAAUAUGUUAUUCGUGUAAUUGAAUAUUAUAACUAAAAUUGGUUUAAUUCGUGUAACUGAUCAUUGUAUAUUGUAAUUUUUAAAUUAAUAAUUGUUAGUUAUUAUAGCAUAUAAUUUUAUUUAAUUAUUACAUGAUAUAUAAAGUUUUCUUGAACAAUCUCAUUAUAAAUUUUGAUCAUAUCUGUUAUUUUGAAUACAAUGUCUAGAAUUACCCCUAGUUCCUCCCCAACUCAUAAAUAAGAAGAUUAUGCUUCCUGCAUUAGCAAUAUGAUAUAUAAAAAUUCUUGAGUCCAAAUAAAUUAAAGUCGAAUACACUUUUAGCAUAAUACUUUUUUAAUUGAUAAAAAAUUCAAAAUUAAAAAAAAUUCUUAAUUUUAUUUUUACUGUUUUCCAGUAUAGAAAAACAUCAUAAAUGCUUGAGAAUACAAAUACAAAUAAUUGUUAAUACAAAUCAUAAUAAUUAAAAUAAAGAUUUGUGUAACACCCCAAACCCGGCCUAGACGUUAUGACCGAAUCUGGCAGUGUCACAUGGUAGUGUUUUUCAAAAAGUGAGUUGUCGUCAAAAACCUUAUUUCUUUAUCGCUUCUUUACACUCUCUUAUGCUUAAUUCUAAGACGUGUCGAUCCAUUUCAUAUUCAAAAGUUAUUCUCUUUCAAAACAUUAUUAAUUUUCAAAACGUCACUUAUUGCGGAAGCUUUUUAAAACAGUUUGCAUAUUUGUGCGUAUUUUGUUAAAACGUUUGAUUCAUUUUGAAAACUCGAUUAUCCCUACUACUGGCAGUUGUAAGUCAAAACAAUAGAAACCCCAAAUUAAAAGUAAAAAUCCAAAGAGGCCAUUAUUACAGCAAAAUACUCCCAAAAUAAAAUUGAAAUCAUAAAUAAGUACUAAGUCGAAUUAAAUAGAUCGUUUGGCCACCGCUGAAUCUUCCGUCGCACCGAUCCGCCUAUGUCUGGGGAUUACCUGUACAGUCAAAUCAGAAUGACGAGUUUACGAAAACUCAGUGUGUAAUCCCAUAUAAAGCAAAUAGGCAGGAAGCAAUCACAGUCUGGGCCUAAGCCCUUCCCAGUAUCAGAGACAAUAUCAGUUUGGGUUUUAGCCCACCUUAGCACAAAAGCAAUCAUAUGUUUGGAUAUUGGCCCAUUACAGUAACAAUAAUCAGUACAGUAACAGAUUAUACAGUAUACAGGUCCUACCCAGCCAGCCUCUACACUCUAUCUCCAUCCAACCCUACACUUCAGUGGGGAUAUAAUCAACCCACACACAUCCCUACACUCCAAAUAGUACCGAAUGCGACACUAGACAAUAGUUGCAGCUGAGCUGCUAGUAAGUUAGGCUCAAGGCCUUUCAGUACACUUCCUCCAAUCAAUAUUAGUCCCAAACCCAAUAUAAUGCAUCAUACAGUCAUGUCAUGGUAUCAUGUAUAAACAGUAUAGAGUAUAUAGCAUGCUCAAAGUACAAACAUACAUAUCUAUCUCAUAUAGACAUAUAACAGUCGUUUAGUCAUUUCAGUCAAUUAGGGGUCUAGGUAAACUUACCGACCCUUCAGUAGGUUCACAGUCGACUUGGGCGACCUGUGCAACCUUAGCAGUCAAACAAUGAAAAUGGUUCCACAGGCCCAUAUUUUAUGUUCAUGUGAGGCCCACACACUCGUGUAGCCCGUACGGCCCGAAAUGGCCUUUGUCGUGUGGAUCACACGACCUGGCCUAAUAUUCCCACACACCCGUGUGGGGCCCACGCGCCCAUGUGGCCCACACAGCCCAAUUCAGCCCGGCCUAUGAAUUGCACAUGACCAGCCUUGACGAUCACACGCCCAUGCUCGAUCACACAGCCUACCACACGACGGCCGCACGCCCGUGUGGCAUCGACAAACACAUUUUUUGGCUUUUUGCCAAUUCCCGCUUUUAGUGUUAUGUUUACACACCUGGGUCGUUCUCGAUGCUUAAGCACUUCCUAACCUUCUGCAACCUGCAAAUAGCGUACCCAAUCUCGAAUUCAACAACUAAUCAAUUCGUUGGGAAGAAAAAUCGCUUCACAAUCGUCCCCUAUAUACAAACAACAGAAUCAAAAUCUUCCGAAAACUAAAAAAACACAAAAACACUACUUACCGUUAUCGCAUGGAAACAAAAGCUGAGGAGCCAGAUAGACUGAAACGAAAGAUAAGGGGAAACACUUGAAAUUUCGGCAACUAAACAGAACAAACAAAAAAAAAGAGAAUUGGAGGGGGAAAAAGGCAGCAAUGAGGGAUUUCGGCUGAAAACAAAAGAAAAAGAAAAGGUGGAGAGGGAAAAAUUAGGCAGGUAGAGGGGAAGCACUCGAAAUCUCGGCAGCAACACAGGAAGAUUGAAGUCAAGAGAAAACGAAAAGGGGGUGGGGAAGAAAGGGACAGAAUUCGACUAUGGAGACAGAAGAAAAAAAUAAAAAUGAAAGAUGGUAAAUGAGAGUUCUGCAGAGAUUUUCGGAAUCAAAGGGUAACUCCCCAAACUCCUUGAUUUACUCCACUAAAUCACAUCCAUUCCAACCACUCAGCAUCCCAGUCCAACUCAAACGCCUCCACUAUUUACUUUUCUCCCCAAAAACCGUCCACCCCUCCCUUAACCACCUAAUUCAAAUUCCACGUCAGCUCUAGUUCGGUUAGACUAAAACACCCACACGACACUAGCAGCAAAAUAAAACACUCCCUGGCACACAUUACUUAUCCACCAAACCAGUAAGCUCAUUCUAACAUAUUUUAUUAACAUUUAUUUAUAAGCCUACUGGCUAAAGAUAGGGAUUUAUUCAAUUAAAAACAAAAUUUUAAUCAAGCUCAGGCUAGAACUUGGGACCUCUCAAACACUUUCCAAAACACUUAACCACUGAAGCAAACAUGUAUUUAUGUCACAAACACACGAAAAUAGAUAUAUAUAAGAGAUUUUUGGGGCGUUACAAUUUGAUACAAAUGAGAAUAAAAGUUUUCAAUAAUUAAUGAUUACUAAACUAAGUUUGAAUAAAAAAUCGUAAUAAUUACAAUAAAGGAAAAAUAUAUUGCACAGAUAUACCUUGGACAACUUAUAUUAUUUAUGCUUCAUAUACCUAUCCAACUCAUUGGGAGGUUGUCUCAGUUCUCAGUUUCUUUGAACAUGCUUUUCCUUAUUCACUGAAAUAGGUUAAGAUGUUAAUACUAUUGGAAUAUCAAAAUGUGGAAAAAAAUUAUUACAAUUUUAUGAUAUUUUUUAACAUGUAUUAGAAAAAAAACUAAAUGAUUCUAUUGGAAGGAUUCAAUUUAUAGUACACGAGAUUUUUGUAUUUAACAAUGUUGUCUCCAAGAUUUGAACUUAUAUUCUCCUUUUAGGACUAUAAUGUACAUUACUACUGUACCCAACUACUUGUUAAUGAUAAAGUCCCUACUAUAAUAUAUAAAUUGAAUACAUUAGAUUAUAUAUUUUAACCCCAACUAAUGAUAGAAACAAUAAUUAAAGCAAAAAAAAUAUUAUCUUGACACUUAUACAACCUAUAAAAACAUUAUACACCUAACUAAAUAAAAAUACACUAAAUAUAUACAGUGAAAUAUAUAUUGUAUUGUAUAAAUCUAUACAUUUAACCAUACAGAAACAUCAAAACCUCUAAACAAAUCAAACAUACACUAAAAAUGAUAUUGUUUCUGCCAUCACAUUUUCUUUAACAACUGGCUAAAUAAAAGAAUAGAGUUAAAAAAAUGACACAUUUUGAUUAUUUGAAGAAAAAGCGAUAUGAUAGAGCUCUCGUAAAGGAAUGAAGAAAAUGAAAAUGAAAAAAUGUUCUGGUUAAAAGACAACAAAAAAAGGAUUAACAACUUUAAAAGAAGAAGGUACAAGCCCUGAAGUCAUAAAAAGAGCCUUAUUUAUAAGUACCUAGAUAAGAAGUUAAAGCGACAAAGCAAAAUGAUGAUAACAAAAAUGCGACAUAUUUUGAAAAACACUAAUUAAAGACAAACAUGUGUCCAAAAGCAAUUAAUUUAAAGGCACAAUAUUCAAAGGUAAUAAUCAUGACAUUUUAAAUCUCUUCAGGCAUCUCUAAAAAUCUCAAAAGCCCCACAAGAGAUUCAACUCUCGUCUAGGGGCAAUUGUUCAUAUCACUCAUUGUCUGCUUAUAGGAAAAGCUCGACGAAGCUUGGUCUUACAACCUCGUUGAGAGAAUAAUCUCAACCUUACCUCGCCAAAGCACCAAAUCACACAAGGUGAGCCCCACAUAAUCACAGAAAGAUAUAUGAGAAAGAGUUCUUGUCAGCACCUAUCAAUUCGUCAAUUCCUCGGACCUGGUAAACACUUCGUCCGAUCACCUCACAAAGUCCCCUUAAGUUGACUCCAACAAUAUUCUUAGCUAACAUCUUCCACUCUAUCACCUACACCUAAGAAAGUAGGGCACUUGAUGACUGGGACCCAUGCCAAGCACCUCACCUCAGUAUUAAGACAAUGGGACAAACAAAUAGGAUUGACCAUAUAGACAACAUUCUACUCAAAUGCCCUCCUAACUAAAAGAAACCAUCAUUCUUAGUAGCUCUCUACACUACUUAUGGCGUGAACCACCGAGCAAAUUAGAUAAAAAUGUCAAAUUUAAAGAUAAAAAAGAGAAGGAAAUAGGCCAAUUUUGGAGAGAGGAAGAGAAAAUGUGCCUUUUAGAAUGUGUUUUCACUGCUAUGUCAGAUGAAAACGUGUCUUACAGGGUGUACUUUCUGACUUUUUUGUUAUAUUAACUCAUUUGGUUAGAUCGUUAAAUGUUAGUAGUCUUAUCCUUGAGUCUCGAGUUUAAUUCUUCUCCUACUAACAUUUGUAUUUUUUAUUUCAUAUUUUUAUUACAUUAGCUCGUUUGGUUAGAUGGUUAAAUAAUAGUGAUUUCAUCUUUGAGUCCUAGAUUUUAUUCAUCUUCUAAGCAUAUUUGUACUUUUCUAUUUCAUGUUGUUUCAAGUUUUUUUAUUUUAAAUUUAUAACUCUUUUGUUUAUAAAAUGAAAUAAUAAAUAUGUAAUUAUAUAAUAAAUAUAUAUUUUAUAUAUCAUUAUGUUAACAAUAUUUAAAAUUAAUAACUCCUUUAUUUAUAUAAAUAAAUUAUAUAAUAUAUAAUAUAUAAUAAUUAUAUAAUAAAAAUAUAUUUUUUAUAUUUAUCAUUAUGUUAAAUAUAUUUUAGUUUUUAAAAACAUCAACUAAUUUUUUAUAUAUUUUUCUUUAUAUAUAAUAUUUAUAUGUUAAAUAUUUAUUUUAUUCACCUAUAUUGUGGGUAUUGUGAUUUUUAAUAUUAUAAAAAUAAAAUAAUUAUUUGAAAUAUCAUUAUUAUUUUUAUACGUAAAAUAUUUUAAAUAUCAUUGUUUUUUCAUCUACAUUGUGGAUAUGAUAUUUCAAAUAUUUUUACAUGUGAAAUAUUUCAAAUAUACAUACAAACAUAUAUAAUACUAAAUUUUACUACACUCAUGAUAUAGAUUGAAAAAUAAAUAUUAAACAUAUAAAAAUUAUAUUUACUAAAAAUAACGAUAUUUGCAAUAAUUAUUUGAUUUUAUAAAUUAAAGAGUUAUUAAUUAAAAAGAUGAAUUAAAAAUUGAAAAAAAUAUAUUUAUUAAUUAAAAUUAGAAGAAGAAGAAGAAAAAGCUUGAAACAAUAUGAAAUAAAAAAUACAAAUGCGCUUAAAAGAAGAAUUGAACUUAGAACUCAAAGAUGAAAUCACUAAUAUUUAAUCAUCUAACCAAAAAAACUAGUGUGAUAAGAAUAUUAAUUAAAAAUAACAAAAAGAAGAAGCUUGAAACAAUAUGAAAUGAAAAAUAAAAAUGUGAGUAAAAAAGGAAUCGAGCUCAAUAAUAAAAUCACUAAUAUUUAACCAUAUAACUAAAAUAAUUAAUAUAUCAAAAAAAUCAAAAAGAGCAUAUUGUAGGAUGCAUUUUUAUCUGACGUGGCAGUGAAAAUGCGUCCAACAGGAUACAUUUAAACACAUUUUUUCUUUUUCUCUCUAAAAUCGAUCUAUCUCCCUAAAUAUUCUAGAAAUUAACCCAUUUUUCUUUUUUUUUUAAAGGGAUAUUUCUCUAAUUCAUGCAUGAACCAUCUAUAUCUUUAAUGAUUUUUCACACCAUUUACGAUAGAAACUACUAUAAUGUAUAACUUAAUUAUUAUAAAUAUAGAUAUAGAUGUGAUGAAUAUCAGUAAAGCAUCUAAUAAUAUUAGAGCUGAUUAGGUGAUAUAAUUACAUUGUAGAAGAAUCCAGGAGAAAUAAGACUUGAUCUGAUCCUUUUUACAUCAGGCCAAAAGCCGUUUACUCUGAAGUCAACCGAGCCGUAUUAAAAGAUUAGUUAAAUAAUGAAAAUGGGCGGCAAAUAGGCCCAAAUGUCAACCCACGUGCAAACUUUAGGGGUAUCAUGCCCUGUUGCCCUUAUCCGGUCCAGUUGAUGAUUCAGCAGCUACCCACCUGUCCAUAUCCAGCGUCAAUUUUUAAUGCAGGCAUCAAUUAUAAUUAAUUGAGAAGUACAGAAUGCUAUUUCUAGUUAAUCAAGUUGAUAAAUUUUAUUUUAUCAUCUUAAUUCGAUUUAAAAUUUUUUUGAGUUGAGUUAAACGAGAUAAAAUUCAAAUUGAAGUGAAUUGAAUAUAUUUUAAUUCGAUUUAAUUUUUUUUUGAAUUCAGUCGAGUGAGAUCAAAUUUAAAUCGAAGCGAAUUGAAUAUAUUUGUUUGAACUAACUUUAUAAAAAAAAAAAAGACUUUGGGUCCUUGUAAGUAUUACGACCUACCGUAAUUAAAUUUGUUAUUAACUUUCAUUCUCUUAUAAAUUAUUUAUUAAUAUUUUAUAUAAGGGUUAGAUUUCUUAUUUGUUUGGUUGCUUCAAUUAUCUUCUGAUUCUUGUCACCGUGUAUUUUAAAAUUAAAAAAUAUAUUAAAUGUAAAAAAUAUAAUUUUUUAAUAAAAUAUAUUUUAAAGAUAAAAUGUGAAAUUUAUACCAACAAGAAAUUUAAACACAAAUAUUUUAUGUGUAACAUCCCAAACCGGCCUAGACGUUACGACCGGAUCUUAGAGAUUAAUAGAAGAAAGCUUGCCUUAUUAAAAAAUGUUUGAUCUUGUGGAAAUAAUUUUGUAAAAUCUGCUUUAUUUACUUUAAAAAAUCUUCAUGGUUGCACAUUUGUUAUUUAACGGUUAUUAACUUAAUCAUUCCUCCGGAAACUCAAUUGCUUAUUUUGAUUUGCAACAGUAAAAACUCGUAAUUCAUCAAUUUUGAAAACAAAUGUGCGACCAGUUUAGUUAAGAGAGAAAUCUUGCAGUUUAAUUAAACUAACUUGCUAAACCCCAAUAAAAGCCCAAAACCAAUGAUAAAGUCCAAAAAAAUUAUCAACGGUCAGAAAAACAGUCUAUGUUUUAAAAUAAAAAUAAACCUUUAAAAAUCAGCUUGUUUAUGAGAAUUUGAAUCAGAGUUUUCGUACGCUGUCCAAUCUUAAUUCUGAGGAUUACUUGAGAAGAUAAAAUAAUAUGUCAUGGCCCAAAAAAAUAACAGAUAGUCAAAUAAUGCACAGACAAAACUUAUUACAGAAUAAUAUCAGAUACAAGGCAUGCUUAGCAUUGCAAUGUCCUACAAAUAAUUCCUACCCCCAAUCGCUAGACACCAUCUCCGUUCACCCAACACAACAAUUAGGGUUAUUAAGUACUCAUCCAACCAACACAUCAGAUUAACAUUAAUGUAAUAUUGAAAAAUCAUACAGUCGAACUACCAGAUAAUAUGCGAAAAAUCACCAGAUACGGAUAAUGAAAUUUAACUGCCAAAAUCAUUAUCAUAAUCUACCAGAACUUCCUCCAUGUUAUAUUUAUAACUCACCCCAAUGCACAUGCAAACAUCAAAUCACAUAUUCAGAUACACUAAGAUUAAUCAUGCUCAUUUAUGAACAUAGCAGAACGAAAACAUGCCAAUAGUGCAUACAGAUUUAUAGAUUAGAGACAUGCAUAUAAACUAAGUUGGAGUUACUAAAUAGAGACUUGCUCGUACACACAAACAUACAAUUGAGUAUACAGUUUUACAUGUUUUAACAUGCUUUUAGAAAACUUACGUACGACAAUAUACAUAAUAGUUUUUGGUAUAUUACUAAACUCCCUCAUUCGGCCCAAAUGUGGCCUUAAUGAAUGUUCAAAAUAGGCCCAUAUGACCAGGCACACGCCGUCUGCCAAGACUGUUACAUUCAAUUUUGCAUGAAUUUACGUGUUUUUUAGAGACAUACACCUAAUUGUUUUGGAGAGGUCGAAACCAUAGUAACAGUGCACGUUCUGCACAAGACAUCAACCUCAACCAAUUAGCAAGAAUACAUGAAACUGAACUUCGGGCAUUCGACCCUUGCUCAUUCAAAGCAUUUGGCCAAAUGAAUGGCCAUUACAAACCAGCCCUUAUGUAACAGCCCGUUUUCAGUGAAAUCGGAACAAUGGUUUCGGGACCACAAAUCUGAGGUCGGAAGAAAAUUUAUUUUAAUAUUAUUUUUUGAUCUACAGUAUGAUAGAAAUAUCGUAUAAAUACCAUUUACAUGCCUAACUUGAUAAAAAGUACUAAAUUGCAUAAAGUGUGAAAAUUGAAUUCUAGUAGUUAAAAGUAUCAAAUAGCAAUGAAAUUUAAAAUUGAAGGUCAUUAUAUAGCAAAUAGACCAUUUAAAGGAGUUAGUGGAUAAGUAUGAUUAUUCACCAUUAGAAAUUGAAGAAAAUAUUAAGGUUAAUUUUGGAAAGUAAAUGAUAAAAAGAUGAUAAAUAAAUUAAAUAAUUAUUAUCAUCUGUUCUCAUCAUCUUUCAUCAAAAAUAUGGAAACCCUAGCCAUAGAAGCUUAAGUUUUAGCAACCUUAUUUUUCUCAUUUGGAUAAGUAUUUUUUUUCCUAUUUUUAAUGAUUUUUAUGUUUCCGAUAUCGUAAUAGCUUAAUCUAGCUAUCUCGGGGAUUAAUUUGCAAAACCGUUAAAGUAAUAGGGUUUUUCCAUUGAUGAGUAUAGUUUAACUUUAAAGUUUUAUGAUAGAAAAUGAAAUGUUAUUGUUAGAUAAACAACUUUUGUAAAGAGAAUUUUGAUGAAAUUGUCAAUUAGGGACUAAAUUGAAAAGAUGAAAAAUUUAUGGAAAAAUUCUAAAUUUUGUGAAAUACAUAGGCUGCUAUUGAUAUGUAUAAAAAUUGGCUAGGCUUGAAUAAGGAUUAAAUUGUAUGAAUUUCAUUUUUUGAGCCUAGGGACUAAAUUGUAAUUAAUUAAAGUAUAGGGGUAAAAUAGUAAUUUUCCAAAUAUGUGUGUUGGAUUAAAUUGAAUAUAAAUUAUAUUAAAUUGAAUUAAAAUUCGUAUAGAUCUGGAUAGACCUAAUACGAAGUUAGAUCGAGGCAAAGAAAAAGUAUUGGAUUAGUAGCCUUGGUAUCUACAUAUACUUAUCGAGGUAAGUUCGUGUAACUAAAUUGUAUAUUUAAAUGUUUUAAAUUGAAUAUUGUUGUGUGUGAUUUGUACAAAUUGCCAUGUAUAAUUAUGAUCAUAUAUCUGAUAAUUAUCGAGUCCUGUUUUAACCUUAGAAAUCCGAAGGAUACAAAUGACAUGUUAUAAGGGUUCCUAAUAUAGUUGUAAUCCUCCAUGUGUUGCGGAUACACCACAACUCUCUUGAGCUUUCCAAUACUUGGCUCUUAUGAGCUUCUCGAUUAACAGCUCUCUUGAAAUGCUUGUAUAAACAUACAAGUACAUGGAUUGACGGAUUACAGAUUUGUACACUUCGUGUGUACUACCCGUGUAUCCUAUGAUAUUUUAAAUGCUUCAACAGGUAAAGUUUUGACAUGAAACAAUAUGAGUUCGAAAUGAACAAUUAAGGGUGUAUACUUGAAUUACAUAGAAAUGAUAUUAAUGAUAUAUUGAAAUAUGAGAUGGAUGAUACCUGUAUAUGAAUCUUGCCUAAUGAUUAUGUACAUCCAUGUGUAUUGAUUAUUGAAAGUGUUACAUGGCUAACAUGUGGAUGGUAUGUGUUUAGGCUUUUGGCCAAAUUGAUUUGGUUAUAUUAGCAUGCUUAAAUUAAAUGUGAUUAAAUGGUAAGUUAAUUUUCUUGUUAUAUAAACUUACUAAGCUUAAAUGCUUACUCUGUGUUAUUUUCCAUGUUUUAUAGUAAUUCGGCAUCUUGUUUUAGUUGGAAGCUAGUCAGAGUAGAUUCACACUAUCCAACGGCUCAUUCGGUAUAAAUAGUAAAUUAAUUCUGGUUAUAAUGGCAUGUAUAGGUUAGUUUGGCCAAUGUUGGAAAAUAGAUGUUUUGUUAAGACUAGCCAUUUGAAUGACUUGUGAUGAAUAUAUUUUGAUGUGUGUAUAAGUGGCCUUAUCAUGUUCGAUGUGUGUUUGAAAUGGUUGAAUGAUGAAAAUCUUAUAGGUAUAUUGAUGGUUAGGUUGAAUUGGUAUAUUUGGUAAAUUAUGCAUAUAUGUAUUAGGUCAUGUAGGUGAAAUUGGUUAUUUGGUUGAUAUGAGUUAUGUUGUCAUUUAAAGAGCCUAAGGGAAUAUUGUUGGUAUGUAAUAGUAUUACAUAUUUAAGUAUUGAUUUUGACUUGAUUUGAAUGCCUUGUGUAACAGCCCGGUUUUAGCUAAAUCGGAACAGUGGUUUCGGGACCAUAAAUACGAAGUCAAAAUAUUUAUUUUAUUAUUUUAUUAUGGUUUAUAGCAUGAUAGAAUUAUUGUGUGAAAUUUUCGUAAAUAAAUUUUACCGUUUAAGUGUUUAAUUCGGUAAAAAGGACUAAAUCGCGUAAAGCGUAAAAGUUGUGUUCUAUAAGGUAAAGAAAUCAAAUAGCUAUAGAACUUAAAAGUGAAGGUCCUUAUGUAGUAAAUAUCCCAUUUAUGAGAUAGUGGAUGAUAGUGGAGUGGCAAUUGGUGUUAUUAUUAAAGUUUUUAAAGGGUAAAAGGGUAAAUAAGUAAUUAAUAUAAGUUAAAUAAAAUAAAAACAAAACAUCAUCAUCUUUUCACCAUUUUCAGCUGAAACUGAAAGAGGAAGAAGCCAUUUUUAUGUUCAACAUUCGACAACCUUAAUCCCUUCAAUUAGGUAUGAAUUAUUAACUCGUUUUUAAUAAUUUUUACAUUUUUGAGAUCGUUGCUUCGUAAUCUAGCUAGCUCGUGCCUCUGAAUUCGAAACUGUUAAAGAUUUAACAUAUUGCAAUUGUUGAAUGCUUGAGUAAAUUGAUUAUUUAUGAUAGAGUAUGAAUAUUUAAUGUUAGAUUUUCAUCUUUUAUAAAGUGAUUUUUGAAAAAAAUGUCAAUUUUGGAUUAAAUUGUGAAAUGUGGAAAUUUAAUGGUUAAAAUGUGAAAUAAAUUGAAAAUAUGGGCUGAUAGUAAGAUAUGGAAAAUUCAGCCAGCUUGGGUUUGAGUUUAAUUUCAUGAAAUUGUGAUUUUAUGUGAUAAUGACUAAAUUGCAAAAAUGUGAAAUAAUAGGGGCAAAAAUGUAAUUUUGCCAAAAUAUGUAAAUUGUGCUAAAUUGAAUGAAAUUAUGAUUAAAUAAUUAAAUUUUGAUAUUAUAUAGAUUGAGAUAAAUGAGAUUUGGAUCUAGAACGGGGGAAAACAAAGUAUCGGAUUAGUCGACCAAAUUUAUCGUUUCAGCGAAUGAGGUAAGUUCGUAUGUUUAAUAAGCAUUAAAUUAUACAUGUUUAAAUGCUUAGUUGAGAUAAUUAUGGUGAAUGCUUAAAUAUUGAAUUUAAUUGUGAUUACAAUGAUUUGAAAAUGUUCGACGGAGAUUCGACAAAGUAAAAGUCACGGUUGAACCUUAGGAAUAGAUAUGAUACACAUGUCAUGACAUUAGGGUUACUAAGAUGACCAUAUUUGGGAUAUGGCAUCGAUAUGAGAAUUCGUGUAAGACCAUAUUUGGGAUAUGACAUCGAUAUGAGAAUUCGUGUAAGACCAUGGAUGGGUUAUUGGCAUCAAUACGAGAUUACAUGUAAGACCAUAUCUGGGAUAUGAAAUUGUUACGGUACUAUGUGUACGAGAUCCCCGAGUAUCCUUUAGUAUUCCAAAUGGUUCAACGGGAAAAAUGGAUGAAACAUGGUUAUAAGUGGUGGUACAACGAAAGCAAGGUAUUCGUGACAGAAAUCAACAAGUAAGUGAAAGUUGAGAAUGAAAGUACGAUCGAGUUAAGCAAGACAGGUAUGUACAGAACCUAUGUGAGAAUCGAAUGAAACUGAAUUGGUGAGUUCAUACCGUAUCAUGUAUAUGAAAUGAGAAAGGCAUGUGUUUAAAUAUGUUGUAUACCAAAAUGUGCUCAUUUGGCUAUAUGGAAGUAUGAAUUGAAUGUUAUAUGAGAAUUAAAUUGAUUAAACUUGUGGAAGCUAAGGUUUGCUAUAUAAAUGAUUAUAUGAUUGAUAAUGAAAUGAAAUAUGAUCUAUGUGAAUUGUAUAGAUGAAAUAUGAUAUGUGUUAUAAAGACGUAUGGAAUUGGAAAUGAAAUUUUAUGAAAUGUAUGAAAGAAAUCAUGAAAGAGUAAAAUUUGCAAUAAAACAGUUUUGGACAGCAGAAGUUGUAUAACUUUGAAAAAUCACUAAAAAUUGUGGGAAUCGAAUUAGAGGUUGAUAAGACAUGAAAUUAAAUCUUAUUAAAUCUAGUUUCAUAUAGAAGAAACGGUGUAAGUAAAAGAAUCUUGUAUUAUGAGAUAUUUGAAUUUUUGUGAGAUAAUGUCAGAAUAAUUUUGGAAUCCCCUGUUCUGAAUUUAGAAAAUCAUUAAAAAUUGUAUAAAAAUAAUUAUGGGUUAUAAUUUAUAUUAUUAAAAUUAUUAAGGAGUCUAUUUUCAAUAGAGACAAACAGAAAUAUCAUUCGAAACCCGUACUAAGAGAUAAUUAAUUUUUAGAGAAGAAGGGUUGAAACUGUUAGACAGCAGAACAGGGACAAUUUUGAAGAAUUAACUGUAUUUAUUGGCUAAACCAGAAAUUCUGAAAAUUUUAUAGUAAGAAGAUAUAUGAGUCUAGUUUUGGAAAAUCAAGCGGAUCUUAAUAUGGAGUUCUGUAGCGUAAGAUAUAAAUAAUUUAGUGACUAUGACUCGAGUAGACAGCUUAAUGUGAACAUGAGUAAAUAGUGGACCUACGUGCAAUUUUGAUUGUAUUAUCUUGAGAACAUGUCGUGAGGAUUGGUAAAAGUAGUUUAACAGACUGCUUAUUAUUUACAUAUCAACUUACUAAGCUUUAUAGCUUACUUUGUGUUAUUUUUCUAUGUUUAUAGUGUCCCAAAGGCUCGCUCAGGUUGGAAAUCUUCGGAGAUCCCAUCACACUAUCCAGCUAUGGUUUCAGUACUUAAAAGGUUUGUAAUUUUGGUUAUGUGGCAUGCAUAGGCUAGUUGGUUUGUUAAGUGUAUAAGUGAUUUUGGCUAUUGGUGCCUAUAUGUUUGAAAUGUAUUGAGCCAUGAGAUUUGACUUGUUUAUAAUGUGAGAUUUGAUAUGUAGAUGACCUUAUAAUUGGAAUGUGCUUAUGUAGGGUUGACCUUUAUGGUUGGCGAAUUGGUCUUGCAAAUGGCCUAUAUUUGUCCACGCGGCUGUUCAUACGGGCGUGAGACAUCUGUUACUUAGAAAAGUCUUAAAGUUUCGGAAAUUUUUAUGUGAAACCAGUUUAGUCCUGAACCUUCUUAAAAGCAUGUUUUAGAUCUUGUAGACCUAUUUAAGGGACAAUGUGAUUAUCAAUGAAUGUGAUAUGAAGAUAUGUGAUCAAUGGAUAUGAAAUGUUUGUAUAAUGAUGUAAAUUGUUCGAUAAUGCCUCUUAACCCUAGUCCGGUGACGGAUAUGGGUUAGGGGUGUUACACAUGUUAUGACUUAUUGAUGUCAAAAAAUCUUGAUUUAGGUUGAUGACAAAUUUGGUGAGAAAUAUGGCUAGAAAAAUGACCUAUUUUUGUCCACACGGGCAUAGACACGGGUGUGUGUCUCAGCCGUGUGUGACACAUGGCCAAGUGACACGGUCGUGUGUCCCCUUAUAACUUAAAUUUGCACAAAACAAAAUGCUCGGGCGUGCGGCUUGGUCAUGUUACCCAAGUCAGAGAGCUUAUAAGUUUAGACACAGGUUGGGACACGGCCGUGUGUCCCAAUUUCGAAUGCCCACAUGGCCUAAGACAUGGGUGUGUCUCUUGACCGUGUGAGACACACGGCCUGGCCAUACGAGCGUGUGUCCCUUGUAUCUUUGAAAAAUUUUGAUAUUUUCUAAAAAAAUUCUAAGUAACCAAUUUAGUCCCGACUUAUUUCUAAUGUGUAUUUUGAGCCUUGAGGGCUCGCAUAAGGGACAAUAUAAUUGAUUUUGAUUGGUUUCUAAUAUGUAUGCCAGAUGAUAUGAAAUGUCUGUUAAUUAAUCUUUAAAUUCUGGUAAUACUCCGUAAUCCUAUUUCAGCGAUGGAUACGGGUUAGAUGUAUUACAUUUAUUAGUAUCAGAGCCUAGUUUAGUAGAUUCUCAAACUAACGUAACAUAUAUGAGUCUAGCUAUACAUGCCAAUAUAUAACCUGUGAUAGUGUGAUAUCUCCUGACCGUUUUAACACAUGUUUUCAUAUAGGAAUGUUAUCCAACCGAGCUGAUUCCGAAUAAGCAGAAAGUAAUGCUCAAACCUCUGUGCAAAGAGCAACUUUAAGUAGUAAAAGACCCGUAUCUGAGGACCGGGGAGGAGAGGCUAAAGAAGCCUUCUUCCAAAUGAUGAAUGAAUGGUUUACUGAAUUUAGACAAACGAACUCGGCUAUGCAACAACCUCCACCCCC
This 125536-nucleotide long non-coding RNA is filed under the name Gossypium barbadense (sea-island cotton). RNAcentral's name for it is "long non-coding RNA (GBAR_LNC021877)". The record is from RNAcentral. Lineage: Eukaryota; Viridiplantae; Streptophyta; Magnoliopsida; Malvales; Malvaceae.